This 96017-nucleotide long non-coding RNA is filed under the name Nicotiana tabacum (common tobacco). Its description in RNAcentral is "long non-coding RNA (NTAB_LNC017563)". Lineage: Eukaryota; Viridiplantae; Streptophyta; Magnoliopsida; Solanales; Solanaceae. The record is from RNAcentral.
AUUGGGCUGGCAUUUCUUGCAACUCUGAAACAGGCAGAGUUGUAGAAAUUAAUCUCCCUGGUUACUAUGACGCUGGCGAUGAUUUUGCUCCAUAUUUUGUAUCAAAUACUAUGAGUGGCUCAAUCUCUCCUUCAAUUACACUUCUCACCUCUCUAGAAUCCAUUGAUCUUAGUAGACUAAUUGGAUUAACAGGCCAAAUUCCUUCAUCAAUUGGUGUUCUCAAAAAUCUUAAAAAACUAACCUUACAAAACAAUCAACUCUCUGGUGCAUUACCUGAGUCCAUUUCAAACUUGACUAGUUUGGAAUUCUUGAAUCUUGAAAAUAAUCUAUUGACAGGGAGUAUUCCAGAAAAUAUUGGGAAUUUGCAAGUACUACAGGAGCUUUAUUUGUCGAAUAAUUCAUUAACGGGGAAAAUCCCAUUUUCAAUUACAAAACUACAUUCCAUUUCAGGUCUUUUCCUAGCACAAAAUCAGCUUGUAGGAGAAAUACCAUUGCCUUUAAAUCCAGGCCAAUGGUCUACACUACAACAUUUGAGACUCGAAAAUAAUCGGCUCACUGGAAUCAUACCUUCAUCAGUUGGCUAUUUGACAUCACUUUUGAGAUUUUCUGUAGCAAAUAAUCAGCUAACAGGGCCUAUUCCUUCAACUUUAGGGAACUUAAAAUAUUUGCAACAAUUGAUGGUCAAUAACAACCAGUUAUCUGUUGUGUUACCAAACUCCGUAUGUGGACUUAGUGAACUUUCUGUCAUGUUUGUUUCUCAUAACAAGAUUUUAGGAUCAUUGCCUGAUUGUUUUUCUUCCUUUAAACAUCUUCGAGAAGUCGAUGUACCAUUCAAACGUUUGAAUUAACCGAAUUCUACCACAGGACAUAUGUAAGAAAGAUGUAACUACAGGAGCCAGAAUCACUGGCCAGUAUGAAAAAUCUAUUAAGCUUUGACCACAUGUAUUGUUUCUUGAACAACAUAAUAUAAAGAGUUGUAACUUUUGCUUCUUUUAUUUUCUUUACUUAUUUUUCAUCCCUUUGCAUUUACAAUUUAAUUUGGGCAUAUUUACAGCAACUUGCCAUAUGAAAAGCUAUCCACUGCAUGUUUUCUUUCACCACAAAAGCAAAUUAAAUUCAGUUGAUUAAUCAAUAUGUGCAUCAAACUUUCCCUCUUACUUCCAAAGGAUAGUGUGAUUUCCAUAUUGUGAAACAUAUUGGAGUAGUACUUUUAAAUGUUAAAAGAACUAAUUAUAUGCACAUAUACUUAACUUUCUUCGCGUUGUUUAUCUUUAACCAAAGGUUUUGGGUUCAUAAGCGUUUUUUAAUAGGAGCGUUUUAUCCUCGAAAACUGAGAUUUUUCGAUGCAAAUUCGAAUUAAUCGGGCUCUAAAUCGGAUACCGAACACGGUGAAGAAAAAGCAAUCUUCCUUUGAGCUAAGCAUAUUGAACGUGUAUGCUUUAUACAAAACUAAUUAGCUAACCAGUGCAGCUCGCUAUCGUCUUCGUCUCGUAAUGAUCGAUGGCAGGCAGAACCAAAAAAAGAAUGACGUUAUCAAAAGUGCUGGCUGUGGGGUUCGAACCCCACAGCCACAUGUAUUGUUUCUUGAACAACAUAAUAUAAAGAGUUGUAACUUUUGCUUCUUUUAUUUUCUUUACUUAUUUUUCAUCCCUUUNNNNNNNNNNNNNNNNNNNNNNNNNNNNNNNNNNNNNNNNNNNNNNNNNNNNNNNNNNNNNNNNNNNNNNNNNNNNNNNNNNNNNNNNNNNNNNNNNNNNNNNNNNNNNNNNNNNNNNNNNNNNNNNNNNNNNNNNNNNNNNNNNNNNNNNCACUUGAAAAAUAUUUUCAUAAUUUUUUUGAUUUUUACAAUUCUUAUGUCCAAACGCCUAUUUAAGAGCAAGGAGUUUCGCAUGAGUGUGAUUCAGAACUCUCAUAGUGCAACAAAAUACCAAGAUCCAAUCUCCGUUAUGAUUCUUGAAGACUCCGCCUACUCCAUCGAUACUAGUAAUUAGGGGUGGCAAAAUAAUUAAAAGAAAACAGUUAAUCACCCAUGUUAUCCACUAAAAAAUGGGUUGGAUGAUGAACUUUUUAAAAACGGGUCAAAUAUGGAUAAGAACCAUAUUAUCCAUUUAGAAAAUGAAUAACGAAUGGGUAACCAAUGGAUAACCAAUGUGUCUAACUUUUACAUUUGUAAAGCCUCAAAUUGGGGAUUCCUCAAGUUUGGGAGACUAAAAAUUCUCUCAAAAGUGAUCAUAUGUAAGAAGUCAUGGAUAAUAUGGUUACCCAUAUUAUCCGCGGUUAAUCAGUUUUUUAUCCGUAUUAAAUAUGAGGUGGGUCAGAUAAUUUAUCCGUUUUCUAAUAUUAUCCAUUUCCGACCCGACCCGCUCGUUUGCCACUAGUACUAGUAAUGCUUGACAAAGCUCCUUAAAGCAGUUAUGACGUGGGAAUGCCAUUUAAUAUGCACAAUUUUGAGAGUCUCCGGACUAGUAGAAAUAUUUGCUUAUAAAUCAAACUCGUUAAUGCACAUGCAAACUAGGUUCUUAGACAGAUCAUUAGAAAACUUGUUUAUAUUAUUAUUGUUUCUAUUGAUCCAAAGGUUCUAAAGACUAAAAGCAUAGAGUCGUAAAUCUUAUUUACAAGUUAAUGAAGAUAGCUAUGCUCGCAACAAUACCUCUCUAACAAGUGGCUAGAUUUAACUAUCUUAUGACUACAUCUGUUUCAUUUUUCAGUAAUUAAAAAAAACUAUUCCGCUUAUACUAAUUAAAAAUAAAGAAAAGCAUCAUGCAAGCCAGAUAUUACUAUUAUCUUCACUACUAUGGAAUAUUCUAAUAGAUUAUAGUUUAUCUUUGAUAGCAUUUGAUUAGAUCUUUGAUUUAUUCAACGUACGCUAAUAGAUCUAAUUAUUUACUAAUCUUUAUUUAUUCUUAAUUUUUUUUUGCUAAUGACGGGAGUAAUAUUUGAUUAAAAUUCAAAAGUUUAAUGGGUGCAAAGAUACUCAAUUCUAAAUAGUAUGAGACAAAUUUAACCUUUUACUCAAUUAGAGAAGUUAUAAAUAUCAAAAUAUAUCUUUCGACAUCGUGUUAGAUGCAUUCUACACUAUGAAUUGAAAGUUUAAGCAUUUCCAAGCUCAUAAUAUAAACUUAUAUUUUCCAUAUAAUAGAAAGUUAUAAAAUCAAUAAUUUUGUAAAAUUAAUUAGAAUAAUGUUCCAUUAUAAAGAAGAAGAAAAGCAACUUCUACUACCAAAUAGCAGAUCAUAGCGUUACACUUGUUUUAGAAUUUGCAAAUUUAAUUUUUUUGAAUUUUUGGAGAACUAUUUAUUUGAUCUCUUUUUGAAGAUUUUCAAAGUCAUUUUUUUUUUGACCAUCACAUGGUUCGUUACUGAUAGUUUUCUUUAAUCUAAAGGGAUAACUUCAGAUUAAAUUAUAUGGAGCGUAACAUCAGAACGACGCCGCAGUAUACCUCAAAACUAUUUCAACAUGGAGCACGAAAUGGAUCACGCACGAAUCAGAUUCAUAUUUUAAUUAAUUAUUUUUUAAAGCAGCUUAAAUAAAUAUCACCCGCAAAAAUCCCCUCACGCAAACAAAGGAAAGAAGAUGAAGUUCCAACCAAGUCAAUUCUUCGAAGCUUCUUCUUUUACUUCAUUCAACUAAAUACAAGUCAGUUCAAAGAAUAAUUUAUCGCCGUGCAAGUAAUUUCUCCGGUUCCGGUGAGAUCGACAAGAAGUUUCAGAAUGGCCGGAGGAGGAUGGAGAGGAUCUAGAUCGGGACCGAUACUUAAUCGUAUUUCAUCUUCUCGAAGCAUUCGUCUUGGUAGUGUACAACCUCAAGCACCCGGUCAUCGUACUGUCUUCGUUAAUGAUCGUGAAGCUAAUGCCCUUGCCAAAUUCAAGGUACUGAUAUUUCCUACUUAAGUUACUGGAUACGGACUAGUAGUGACUGUGCAGCGACUUAGUAUUAAUAUUUAUAUUUUUAAAUUUUUUAUUUUUAUGAGCAUAAUGAAUAGUGAGGAACAACCCGAUAGUGUAGAAAAAUCUUAAUUUUGUUAAUACAUGUAAGUUAAACCCUUUAUAUUUGGGUUUAAUUUAUGUGAACUGACAGAGUAGAAAGAUUGUAUACACUAUUAAUGUACUUUUACGGGUCAGUAUAGUAGCUAUAAUGUGCAUGAUUAUAAUGAAGUAAAAUAGUCCUUGUUUUGUUUUGCAAGAGGAUCUCUUAUUUCCGUGUCUUAAGUGUGUUUUGGGUGUGUGCUUAUUUCCACACACAAAGAAUUAAUAAGAAAGAAGAAAUGAUAUUCCUGAUUUUCAUUUAAUUUCCUUAAAUCCCUAGUGUCCAAUAUAGUCUUAAACUUUUGGUUAUGUAAGUUAGCUGUUUGGUCAACUGAUUAAGGGAGAAGGAAAAAGGAAAAAGGAAAAAGGAAAAAUAGAAAAGAGAAAGUUCAGUUUCUUUUUCUGUCAAUCUAUUUAGAUGGAUUAGUAAAGUGUAAUCAAAUGUAAAUAUGCCUUGUGCUGACAAGGUGCAGGUAAAUGAUUUAUUAAGGAAAAUGUCAAGUGGUAGCUAUUGUCCCUCUUUGAUAAAUUGUGUUCCUCGGACGCCACCAAGUCUGUUCUACACAUAUUUUAGCUUUCAUCUGAUUAGUUGCAAUGCUUUUGUUUUCAGGGAAAUUCUGUUUCAACUACGAAGUAUGAUGUCAUAACAUUCCUGCCAAAGGGGUUAUUUGAACAGGUAAAUUGGUUUUGCUCUUAUCCUGUGCCCUUUUUAGGCAUGUUAUUUUGCUUAGUUAAGCUUUCUGCAUUUAUGCCGACUUAAACAGUUAGUUUUGUUCUCUUCAUAAAAAACAGUUAAUUUUAUUCUUCCAAUGGAAAGCAACACAGUAUUAGCAUAUAAUUUAGAGGGCACACUUUUACCUUUUCAUCAAAAAAAUAAUUUAGAGGACACAUACACAGGGUUUGUAGUUUCUUUAGUAACUAAUGAGCGAGAGAAGUUCCUUUAGUAACUAAUGAGACUUUUUGAGGGUGUUUAUUUUAUACGCUAUCAGGUGAUAAAAAUCCAUCUAAAAAAAAAACUAUUUUCGUCCCUAAUUUUUUUUCCGUUGGGUAGCAGCUUAGUGUCCUUUCUAGUGGCAAAUCGUCGAGUCAAUUCCCUUUCAUUUUCAUUCCUUCAUUUUAAUCCUUGUAGCUUGUGAAAUGGAUUUAGACAAAGUUUGUAUUUUGAAUUGUUUCUGUUUGGUAGGAAGGGAGCCACAAGUGAUAGCUUUUAUAUCCCUUUUUUUGGAAAGGUAAAUAAGACUUUUGUUGCGGCAAAAGAUACCAGCACUAGCAAGUCCGUACAGAAGUAGUGAUUCCAUUUACAAAAUAAAAUUCAAGCUGAUACAGUGCUGAUACAUUCUACCAUUUCAUCUACUUCACAUACAUUUUGUAACCUAUACCAGAGCGCUAACAAGUAAAGGCAUCUAUUUUCUAGUAUAUGUACAGUUUAAGCUUUCCCUUGAAAGCACCUGCAGUUCCUUUCUGUCCAUAUGAUCCAGCAUAUGCAGGAAUUGUUUUUCACAACAUCUUCAGUUCUUUUCUGCCAGCAUCCUGGAUUGGAGACUUAACAGACUUAGGUAUCACUCAUAUGACCCCAAAAUUAUUCAGCAAAACCUCCCAGAGUUGCCUUGUGGUUGAGCAAUACAAAACAAGUGUUAUAGUCUCAUGCUUCCUGUUCAAGCCAACAUUAAAAAAGAAGAAAAACAUUUACUACAUAUUUGAAGUCACAUUCUCUACCUAACAAAAACAUGGCUCCAUAUAGGUGCUUUUUAGUUCCCAGAUGAACUUUAAAUAACUGGGACCUGUGCUCCUAGUUAAGUGACUGCCUCAAGUAUAUCCAAAUUUAGUUUCCUCAAGAGUAGGACAUUGGGCAUUUCACUUGGAUUUAAUAUUUUUAGGUUCAAUGUACCCCAAAAGAACCAUAAUCCGUAAAAAAAUAUAGAGGAAAAAUGAAGUGUAUAUCUUAUCAAAGUGAUCAUAUUUGUUUUAGUAAAUAUGCUCUUCAGACGCUUGAACCUGCUUGGAUGCUUCAAAUAGAUCUAGAUGAAUUGUCGAUUUAAAUAGAAGACAUAUGCAUUAGCUCGACCGGUAAUGCGCUUAGUCGUGGAUACCUGUUGAUGGUGGAAGGUCGUGAACCUAAGUUUAUGGUUUCCCAAGAAACACAAUAAAGAAAAAAUUUCCUAAGAAGAUACUUGAUGUGUAGAUUUCAGCAUAAGGUCAGAUAACUGAACGCCAUUUCUGGAUGGGCUACGGAGGCAUGGGAAUAGCACGUGGGCGGAAAGUCUUUUUAUUGGGGGAGUCUAACUUUCCUGUUUUGUUUAUCAUUUAAAGAUGAAGCUAUCAUGGUGCUCCAUGAAGGCACUCAACGGAUAUGAGAGGCCUAUUUUUGGUUGGGGAGGCGGACAAAUAUUUCGGGAUGUCGAGAUAAGAGAAGAAGGGGAGAUGAUUGCCAAUCUAGCUAGGUUGAAUAUUCAUUAGUUGCCAUGAUUUGUCGAAAAAACUUGCGCAUUUAUGUGGAGGUUUUGUAAAAGCGUAGUGCAGUAUGAUGGACGUGACUAUAAUGAGAACUCUUGUCAAGAAAGGAAGCAAAUUUUUCGCCAACAAUUUUAGCAGAUGAGGGUGACUCAUUCUUCAAGAUCUGGUCAAUGUUGGAGUUCACACUAAUGGUGAUUGGAGUGGGGUGGAAGGAAGAACAGAGGAGGGAGGUAAAAAGGGAGAAAGGGAAGGUGGAGAUCGAGGUGGAGUAGAGGAGGAGAAGAGAUGCCACGAUCGCUUGAAAUGACGAUGUACCAUAACAAAUAGUUGUAGAUCAAGUCACAAAAAUAAGUUAUAAAAGGAGACGAUGACACAAGGAGCUUCUUAGGCCAAUUUGUCCAUAGGCCAGGGUGAUUGGUGGCCUCUAGUCGUGCAAACGAAGGAUAAUCGUUGCUCAAAGAUGGAAUUGGGUUCAAAUCUCAGCCUUAAAUGGAUCUAAAAUAGGCUCGGACUCUCAGCCCUCACGGUGAAAGACACUAGAUAUGGAGAUUUGGGGUUGGGGAGCAUGUUGUAUCAAAAACUGUGAUAGCAAAAACUUAUAGAAUUGUGAAGGGGUUUGGAAGCCUAAAAACACUACUCUUCAUUUUCGGUGCGGCAUAUAGAGGAAUUAUCAUGAAGGGAUGUAAUGAGUUCAAUGGCUACAUAGUUGCUACAUUGUAUUCAGGGUUGAGGAUGGAAAAAUGUUCGGUUUUUCGGAGCACAAUUGGUGUGGAAGAGUACGUUAAGGCCUACAUUUUUAACAUCUACAGAGUUUGUGCUAGAAAGUGAUGAUCGUACAACAUAGAAAGAGGAUACGGGGUCAUUGGGAUUUAGAGUUUAAGAGGAAUCUCUAAGAUGGGGGCAUAACGAAAUUCCAAAGCCUAGUUGAAAUGGUCUACAAGCAAAACAUAAUGUUAGCCAAUCAAGACUUGUGUAGAUGGCAAUGUUGUCAAAGGCGAAAAAAGUUAAAAGUGCUCUAGGUCUAUCGGGGCUUUAAAAGAUGCGAGGACUUCAGUGGAAAAAGAUGCAACGAAGAAAUAGAAUAAAAACAUAUAUGUAAUGCAAAAACAGAGCAGCGACUUCAUUUAUACUGAUUUCCUUAACAAUUGACAUAUAUUUGGCCAAUCAUAUUUAUUGUUAAGUACCGCUCUAUUCAAAGUAGAACUUAUGGGUAAUAAGACGCAUGGCUUAGUGCCUUGCCUACGCUGAAGCACAACCUAAGCGAGGCGAAGCGCCUACCUUGAGCUUCUCUGCGCUUGGGCCUUAAGCGUACCUCAAAUGAUCCUUUGACAACACUGGUACAUGGGGGUUGGAAUGCGACAAAAUGUUCUAUAUUAAGUCAUAUUACCAUAAGCUUUUGGUCGUAGAAGGAUCUGCCUUCUCAAACCUUUUCUUUAUAAGGAAAAUAUUUUUAUUAACGACCUGCAUUUUCAAACCUAUCGGUUUGGAUUUAUAGGGGACUAGAAAAUGUGUGCUUUUUGCUUGUCCGGCGGCAGAUGGAGUGAUCUUGACAACAAAAAAUUGAGAAAGAGGUUUACAUAUGUCAAUUGGUGUUUUGUGUGUAAAAAUUCGGCGAAGACGUAGAUCAUCUCCUUUUGCGCUAGCGGCAAAGGGAGUGAUUAUGACAACAAAAAAAUUAAUAAAGAGGUUUACAUAUGUCAAUUGGUGUUUUGUGUGUAAAAAUUCGGCGAAGACAUAGAUCAUCUCCUUUUUCCCUGUUAGUAGUAUCUCGACUGUGGUGAGAUAUUUUGAAAUGGUCUGGUUUACAAUGGACGAUGGCAGACUUAGUGAUUGGGGAACCAUUUAGCUGGACCUUUAAAAGAAGAAGAAAAGAUGAAGAGCUUAGGAUGUUGCUUCACUAGCCUUGAUGUGUAUCUUUGGAAGGAGAGAAAUAAGAGGGUUUUUGAAGGGAUAGAACACUAGAGCAUGAUUUUAUAUUUGUGAAGAAUAUAUUUUUAUCCCUAGUUUCUUUUUGAGCACCCAUGAGGUUUCAGUUUGUAUAGAAAAUAAAGUGUCUCUUGUAGAGUCUCACUUUUUUUUCUUUUUUUGUAGAUUCUCUACCUUUGGUAUACAAUUUUUAUACCGGAGAUUUUCCCAUCAUUAAUAAAGUUGUUUAACCUUAUUGAACAACGACUGGCGUUGUAGUCUAUUAGUGUGUUAGACUGUUAAAUCAUUUUAUCUAUAGCGAGUGGAUUCAAUUUGAAUUAGGCAUGACUUUUUGAUAAGGUAUUUGACAUGAAAUUUUUUCAUGAGGCCAUACAUCCGUAUUGUUCAAUCUGUCUUUCUGUAACCUUCAUCUUAUUUCUGUACCAUUCUUCUUAUACUGACAGUUCAGGCGGGUGGCUAAUCUCUACUUCCUUAUGAUCUCAAUUUUGUCAUGCACUCCAAUAAGGUAUAAAUUACUACUAUGUAAUGUUUUUAUGUGGCUUACCCUUAUUAUCUCUCUCUCCGAUUAUGCAUUAUUUGUGCUGAAAAUGAGAGAAGAGUCUAGUUUAGAGAGAGUGGGGUUAUUGUUUUUUGUUAAGCAUCUAAACUAGAUUAGAGUUCAAUGAUGCGUGAUGCUAUUGGAGGUUGUUUGGCCGUUGACACUAAGUAAUGAAAUUUCCCUUUAUUUAUUUUUUGUCUUGGUCUAUAAGUCAUCUUGCAAGCUAUUUCAAGAAAUUAAUUUAUACCUGAAUGACAUUUGCUAUGUUUUUUCAUGAUUUGCACCUGAAAAAAGAAUCUUGUUUGAAUGCAGUCCCGUAAGUCCAAUAACAAAUGUGCUUCCUUUGAGCAUGGUGCUUCUUGUUUCUCUAAUUAAGGAGGCUUGGGAGGACUGGGUGAGUACUAUCUACUUCAUUGCCUUCUUUCUCCUUUGGUUCUUAAACUGACUGUUAUAUGGACUAUAUUCGUUAAAUAGAGUAAAAUUCUAUUGACACCUUUAUCCUUUUCCCCUUUUGAUUCGGAGCUAUGUGCUUAUGCUUUCCUUUCUUGUUCCUUCCUUUAUUAUUUGUAACAGAAGCGUUUUCAGAAUGACAUGUCUAUCAAUAACUCCCCCAUAGACAUGUUGCAAGACCAGAAAUGGGUAAAUGUACCAUGGAAGAAGCUGCAGGCUGGAGAUAUCGUGAGAGUAAGUAUAAGUGUGUAACGGGGUCUUUGAACUUUGCUUCUUCUUCUGCAUCGUGUCUUGUAAAGUGGAUUAUCAGGAUAUGGUUUUGCCAUUUCAUAUCUAUUGUUUUGGUACUCAUUAUUAACAUCCAUUUACAUGUUUUGUAACUUUCUCUAGGAUCUUUAUUUAGCUUGUUUUGUCAACUGCUAUAUGUUAUAUGAGCAAGGGUGUGAGUCUAAGGCACAAGUGUGUUACCAGAGUGGAAAACGCUUUUUGUAUAUUUUGGGGAGUUCAUUUGAAGUAUGUCACUGUCCACCCCUACUGACACAGUUCCAGCGGGCAGUCUUGGUAACCUAGGUAACUGGAACUGUUGCAUCACAAGACAAGAAGUUUAGCUCAUAGUUCAAAUUGGCUAUUGUGGAUAAUUGGCAAAAGUUAAAAUACAGAAGUGGCUGUUCUGGGUUUGCUUCUUUGGUUAAUUUAUAUAGAAGCCAAAAUUUACCAUGGCGUUUUAGGAGCUGGAUGUCUGGUCAUGACACCAGUUAGUGUGAUUAUAUCUCCUUCUAAAUUCUGGCUUUGAGCCCACAGCAAUUGGGAUGGGGAAGAUGAUCUAUGGUAACUUACUAAUAUGUGCAGAAGUCAUUUAACCUUACCUUCCCUCCUUGGUGGAGGUAAAGUGCAUUUGCAGAAGAAGCUAUACAAUUAAUAUUCACUUUUGAUUAUGCAAAAUUGCUAGAGUAUUUAUUUUUACUUUUCUGUUAAUUGCACAUCUCUAGCAAAUCACUACUUGGUGCAGUUCUGUGCUGCAGACCAUCUGUUCAUUUCAUGGAUAAAUUCCAAAGCUGUUUUAAAUAAACAAGGGAAUACUUAUUCAAGAAGUCCAUCCCAAUAAUAAAGUAGUGGCUGUGGCUCCUCAUGGUAUUAAAUUGGUAGCAACGACUCAAUAAAGCUGUCUUAUUAUAAAACAAGGGAUAAGCCUGGGCUAUUUAAUUCAUUUGAACUAUGGGUUAAGCUCUAGAAUUUGAGGCGCGUGGACCACCAGUUAUUUAGAAUCUUACAGUUUUGAAUAUUGUUGAAUCUGAAGAGUUGCAAGAUCAAUGCAGUCUGCUUGUUCAGCUUGCUUUGUCCUUUCAGCGCGGGGAUAGUCCAUCACUGAUGUGGUUGACAUUCUGGAUGCACACUUCACAAAUGGAAAAUGCUUUCCACCCACUCCUCCCUAACUAUUGAUUUAGGAAUGAUUUCAGUUCGGUUAUUCAAAAGUAGUUUUUGCACUUUGAAGGAACUCUUAUACAGCCUUCUGAAGAAAAUUGCUCGAAGAAUGUAAGGUUGUACAAGAAGCCUUUUUCUUGCAGGUUAAGCAGGAUGAGUUCUUCCCCGCAGAUCUUAUCUUUCUUGCCAGCACAAACCCAGACGGAGUCUGCUAUAUUGAGGUUGUACUUGAUCCUUAUCUGAUUUCUUUUUUACUUGUGAUAAAAGAUAGGUUGCUCUAAAGUAUUUGGAAAAGAGGUACUUGGAUAAUGUCACAAAUAAAUGUAUUGGUUUUCGUCUCUUCCAUCAUGCUCUCUACUAACUGGUACAUGGAUUUCCUCAGACGGCGAAUUUGGAUGGUGAAACUAAUUUAAAGAUCAGAAAGGCACUGGAGAAGACCUGGGAUUAUGUGUCUCCUGAGAAAGUAUCUGAAUUCAGAGGUUUGGUUUCUCUACUGCUAUUGACCAAUCAAAUAUAUCUGCAUGAUAAUGCAUGUAAUAUUGACAUUUGGUUGUACAAGUGCAAUGAAAUUACUUCAAGUCCAGUGGAAGAUCUAGUUGUACUGUUGUAGCAUAUAGCCUCUGAAAUAGAUGUGUGGAAUUCCUUAUUUCCAGCUUUUCAAAUGCUUGCUGCUUGAUAUCCUUCGACGUGUCAGAUUUAUGUUCAGUCCAUGAAAAGUUAUUCCAAUGAUUAGCGGGACAAAUCCUAUAGCUGGUUCUUUCGUAAAAUGCACUUCAUAACGUUAGUAGUUGCAGUUUAGUUACAACUACUUCACAUCUAAGUUCAUAUAUGGUUGAUAAAUGUUCAGAUCUCAGCAUGAAGUGCACAAGUCAAGCCAUUGCUCACAUGCUAUUACAUUUGAUGAAAAUGUAUACUCACUUUUCUAAAUGUGUUAAUGAAGGAUGCUAUUUAAACACAUUUAAGAUGUGCAACCAUGUGUAUCAUGAUCUCCCGCAGAUGCUUCCCAGAAGAGAUGUUAUUGUUUAUUUUAUAUCAGAAUUAUGAUGACGAAUAUCAAAUGCUUCUUCCAUAGAAGCCUGACCUAUCUGAUUGCAACUUUAGGAAGAUCUUGCCCUGAUAAUAUUACGUGUUUGAUGUUCUCUUGCAUUUUACUUUAACCAGGCGAAGUACAAUGUGAGCAGCCUAAUAACUCAUUGUACACAUUCACUGGCAAUUUGAUUAUUCAAAAGCAAACCUUGCCACUCAGUCCAAAUCAACUUCUUUUACGGGUAUGUAUUUCUUAUGUUGUUUCCCCAUUUGUUUAUUUUAUGUUUCUGGUUUUAAAUAUUGUGUGGUAUAUACUGAUUAAGGGAAAAAAAUAUAGUUCACGGUAAAUGCAUCUUCGAGCAGAUAUCCUAGCUGACUAUGAUCUGUUCUUUGCCAUUUAUUCACCUGCUAUUCUUGUCCAUUCCCUUUUAUGACUUAUCUUUGAAUUUUUGUCUGCUAAGUUGUGAUAUCUCUAAUUCAUAGUACAUUUGGUGAAUUUUAGUUUCAUGUUUUCUUCUUGAUAUCGCUGUAUUUCUUCCAGGGGUGCAGUCUGAGAAACACUGAGUACAUUGUCGGGGCUGUCAUUUUCACUGGGCAUGAAACAAAGGUAUUGAGUCUGAAUUUAACUUAUAAGUUACCCUUUUCUCUUCCCUUUGCUUCUUCCUGUUCUUUUUUCUUUUUGAGGGUGCAGCAUACCUUUUUAUUUAUUUAUAGCAUCCUUGUCAAGAAUGUUUCAAGGAAGUAGGUUUAAUGUCAUGAUCUAUUCAGUAAUGAUGUUUUCUCCAACUAUUUUGCUGCAUUCUUGUGUUAUAAAGUUACAGUAGCAACCUUGUUUUAUGUGAUAUUCUAUAUUGCUGUUUCUACAUCGCUUUGCUUUGCGGCCAUUGCUACUUGGCUUUUCACUUUGGUUCUUAUUCUCAGUUGCUUCUGCCAACCAUGGUUUAAUACAGGUUAUGAUGAAUUCUAUGAAAAUUCCUUCCAAAAGAAGCACUUUGGAGAAGAAACUUGACAAACUUAUUAUCGCUCUCUUUAGUGCUCUUCUAUGUAUGUGUCUCUUGGGAGCCAUAGGCAGGUUUGAUCAAUUGCUAUACCCUUCCUGCUAUUUUGGAACUUCUGUUACGUUUUCCUCCAUGCUGAAAAUUUUGGAUUGGCUUGGAAUUUUGCAGUGGUAUCUUCAUAAACGAGAAGUACUAUUAUUUGCGGUUUGAAAGUAGCAAAAAUUCAGACCCACAAUCCAACCCUGACAAUAGAUUUGUGGUAAUUGUGUAGAUUCUGACAUGUUUAUCUUUCCACUUGUCUGUGCAGCACUUCUCCCUAUUUGUGUCUCCAAUUACUCUUUUGCUGUCUGCUCAGGUUGCAGUUCUGACCAUGUUCACUUUAAUCACUCUCUAUUCACCGAUUAUUCCGAUCUCUCUCUAUGUCUCCGUUGAGGUAGAUUAAUGGCAGUUUCUUUGUUUUUUGUUUUGGUGCUUUGCAGAUUUUGAUUUUAAUGUUCUGUGUGCUUUCAUCUUACUUUCUUUUGUCACUUUCAGAUGAUUAAAUUUAUACAGUCCAAUAAGUUUAUCAACAAUGACUUGCACAUGUACCAUGCUGAGAGCAACACCCCCGCACAGGCUAGGACAUCUAAUUUGAACGAGGAACUUGGGCAGGUAAAUGUUUAUGCUGUUACGAAGGGGUUGAAAUUAAUUUGUUUAGACGAUCUCUAUGUGCGCUAACAUAAACAGUGAUUUUGCACAACAAGGAAACAAGAGUGGUUGCUUCAAUUUUUACCCUCUGCUCUAGUGUAUGUUCUUAACAAAUGAGUUCAUGAGCCACUGGCUACUUCUCUAUGGACAGGUGGAAUACAUAUUUUCUGACAAAACUGGAACUCUUACGAGGAACUUGAUGGAGUUUUUUAAGUGUUCAAUCGGUGGAGAGAUAUAUGGCACUGGUGUCAGUGAAAUUGAGAUGGGAACUGCUCAGCGAAUUGGGCUGAAAGUUGAGGUAAAUAUACUCUUGGGCAAGAUAAAGACAGAUUCAUGACUCUGUCUUGCGUUGAUUUUGAGAAUUGUUACAGGCUAAGAAAUCAUCAACUGAAGCGCGAGAGAAAGGUUUCAAUUUUGAUGAUGCUCGACUGAUGCGAGGUGCCUGGAGGAAUGAGCCUAAUCCUUAUUCAUGCAGGGUAAAUAUAUGAUUAUUAUUUUUGGAAUAAAAGGAGAACAUGAGUUUUUUUUAUAGUAAUAAUUGUCACGUUUGAACAAUCAAAUGCCAUAGGUUUUCUUUUGAAAAGAAAAAAGGAAAAGAAAAUUGCUGUCUUUGAACUAUCUUUUUUUUAAAAAAUAAAAUAAAAAAUUCAAUCAUAAGAGUUUUCACUUCUUGCUUAUGAAGUUUUUGGUAUCAAAUUCAGUCAAAUCUUUAAUCAACACUAGACUAGUAAUGAAAAUCUUAUUUUCUUAUUAUCUUGCUUUCUUCUCUGUCGUUCUUCUUUUUGAGGUUAGUUAUCCCUGUAUAAACUUAAAACAGAUAAAUAAAAUAUCCCUCUCUGACCUUAAAACCUUUAGAAGAGGCAGAUCACAAAGUUCAACGUGAUACCAGAGCGCACACAGAUUCUAGGGACUAGGUUGCUUCUUACCACUGUCCAUUGACAAAAUAUUUGCCACAUGCUUGGUACAAGAAAAAACAAUUAGGUCAUAGUGUGAGGCGGCGUAUACAAAUCUAAAGAUGUCCCCUUGCUGUUAGAUGAAGUAGUUCCCACAAUUCUAACCUAAAGCCUUCAAUUAAUAGUCUAGUACUUUGUGGUGUGAACUUCCAUUUCUUUUCCAAGUUCAGUGUCUACGUUUGAAUUUGUAUGAUUGUUAAGAGAAGUUGAAAUAUGUGUUGUUUGGUUUCAGAAGGGGGAAAAUGUGAGCUCAUAGUUGCUUUUUUGAUUGUUUAGUAUCAGAAUAGAGAAAAUUACAAUACGUGAGUUGAAGUGGGUCCAAUGUAACUUUUUCUAUCAUAUAAUCUAUCAUAGAACUCUUUCUUGGGAAAGUGAAAUUUAUUUGCAAAAGGAAAGGUGAAUUUUAUGUAGGGAAUGAAGGGAGUUUAAACUCACAAGGGUAUAUUUUGUGUGUGAACUAUCACCUUCAUAUUGAGUUGUCCUUGUAAAACAACUGUCACAUGGGUGCACUAACACUUACUUAUCUAGCACUUAUAGAUGGCUAGUUUAAUGAGGCUAGGGUUGUUUGUUCAGGAAUUUUUCAGAUGCCUUGCUAUAUGCCAUACGGUGCUGCCUGAAGGUGAAGAAACCCCAGAAAAAAUACGAUAUCAAGCGGCAUCCCCGGACGAGUCUGCUUUGGUUGUAGCAGCAAAAAAUUUUGGCUUCUUCUUUUACAAGUGUGUGCCUCUUUAGAAUUACUGUUACAUUUAUGUUGUCUUCUGCCAUAAGGUUCCGUUUAUUGAAACUUAGCCUAUGAAAUAAAUGUUGAAGGUUACUAACAUACACCACUAGGUUUGAAGAUUUUGGAAUAUGGUUAUCUACAUAUCAUAGUAGUGAAAGUAGUCAUAAUAUAAUGGGAGAGCACUCAUCAUAGGGACGCUAUUUUAUUCAGGAGAAGAGAAUAAGCGCCGAUAUGGAGUCAUUAUCUGAUAGGAGAAUAGUUUUCAUCGGAAAGCUACUGUAGAUCCAGUUCCUGUUAUUAUUUACUUAUUUUAUUGAAGCAUGUGAGAAGAGAAUAAAAUCACAACACAUUUUCAGCAGGAUGCCGUUCCUGGUGCCAGCUCCAUAGGAGGUAUAAAUGGAUGAAAGUACUAUAUUGGGUGAUAAUUAUCGCUGAUAUUCAGAUAUAUAUAGUCAUUUUGGGCUACCUCUGAGUUGCAUGCUUUAUUUUCUCAACAACGGUUGAACUUAGUAGGCUUUUUGGUGAGUGAUUGAUCAACUUAAAACAAAAAAAGAAAAAUUAGUUGUGCAAUUGUUAUCAAGAGGGCAUUUUCUAUCAGAAGGGGCCAUUGUGUAAUUAGAACUAGAAUUAAUUAAUAAAUAUCUGCGAGGUCUAAGAUUCUGGAAAGAGUUAAUCAUACUGCUUUUUGGCACUAUUUCUGUUUUAGCUGGGUCACUGGUAACCAUGAAUAUAAAUUUUCUGCAGACGUACACCAACUAUGAUUUAUGUACGCGAGUCACAUGUUGAGAAGAUGGGGAAGAUUCAAGAUGUUCCCUAUGAGAUUCUAAAUGUUCUCGAAUUCAACAGGUGUCAGCACAUUCUAACUUGUAUAUUAGCUUGGAUUACCUGCGUGAUGCCUAACGAGGUUGACUAUUAUCCUUCCGUUUUGUGUUUAGUACGAGAAAGCGCCAGUCUGUUGUAUGUCGUUAUCCUGAAGGCAGAUUGGUUCUCUACUGCAAGGUAGGCACUUUAUGUGGAACGAUGCAUUUGAGGAGAUUCCUUUAGUACGAAGUUAUCAUAAAGACUACUUAUUUCAGGGUGCAGAUAAUGUAAUUUAUGAGAGGUUGCAAGAUGGAGACAAUGAUUUGAGGAAAAGAACUAGGGAACACUUGGAGCAAUUUGGGGCUGCUGGACUUCGGACACUUUGCUUGGCUUAUAGAGAUUUAACCCCUGAUAUGUAUGAAAAAUGGAAUGAGAAAUUCAUUCAAGCUAAAUCUUCUCUCCGAGACCGUGAGAAGAAAUUGGAUGAGGUGAGCAUAAUGUAAACUAUUGCCCUUUAAGUUUAUAUCAUCUUUCCAGAUUUCCAGCUUUUCAGUUGUUCUGAUUUUGCUUUCUUUCUGGGAUUGACUUUUGUCUUGACUUAUUCAUCCGUUUUGUUGUGAUGUCAUUUUAGUUUGAGGGGUAGAAUGCAAUUAUUUCCAUACGCAUUUAAGUUCUUAUUUCCAUUGGAUUUGCUCGUUCUAGCGUUAUUAUGCUCAUCUUUUAAUUUAAGAGAGGUGGUUUUCUUUUGCCAGUUUGUGAUGCCAAACACACUGCUUCUGUGUUGAACUGUCUAGUCCAGAUUAUCCAAAGCUUCUUGGAAUUCCUGUUCUGGGCCCUGGUUCCUGACUUGAAUAACACAUCUGAAAUUGAUUUGCCAACUGUGAUCAUUCUAGAGACUGGAUAAUAUAGCUUUCACCUGCGUAAAACCUGACUAUUUAAUGGUUUAUCCGUGUCUUAGAUUACAAUAUUCUUGAAUACACAGAAUAUAAAUGGAUGGAAGUGGUAUAUUGGGUGAUUAUUAUUGAUAUUUUUAUAAUUGUGGUUACUCUCACAAUUGUGUGCUUUAGCUUGGAAAUCUUCUCUUGUCAUUGUUAAUGCCAAGGUUUUAUUGGUGGUCGAAAGAGUGUAAGCAUUUAGCAUUUUACAGGUGGCAGAGCUGAUAGAAAAGGAUCUUGUCUUGAUUGGAUGCACUGCUAUAGAAGACAAGCUUCAAGAAGGUGUACCUGAGUGCAUAGAGACGCUUUCAAGGGCUGGAAUUAAGAUUUGGGUGCUUACCGGUGACAAAUUGGAAACAGCAAUAAAUAUAGCUUAUGGUUAGCAUUGAUGACAGGCAGUUUAUCAUUUGUUAAUCUUGAUUCAACUUGCACCAUCUUAUCCUAGUCUCAUUUGCAUAUGUUGCAGCGUGCAAGUUGAUCAAUAACAGCAUGAAACAAUUUAUCAUUAGUUCAGAAACUGAUGCAAUCAGAGAAGUGGAAGAUAGAGUGAGCAGUACUUCUCAAUCUUCCUGUUUGUCAGUUACAAAAUACACAUUAUUUAACAAUUCUUUUUGUGUUCAUUCACAGGGUGAUCAGGUGGAGCUUGCUCGUUUUAUGCAAGAAACAGUGCAGAACGAGCUUAAAAGGUGUUAUGAGGACGCGCAGGAGCAUCUUCGUUCUGUAUCUGGACCAAAAUUAGCACUAAUAAUUGACGGGAAGUGUUUGAUGUAUGCAUUAGACCCGAGUCUUCGUGUAAUGCUGUUGAAUUUAAGUUUGAAUUGCAGUUCAGUGGUUUGCUGCCGUGUUUCUCCGUUGCAGAAAGCACAGGUGAGGUCAUGUAGGUGGUUUUCCUUGAAUGGUUACUAACUGAACUUUUCUGUCUGUUGAAUAUGGGUGACUUAAUAUGGAUGAUCACUUCAUUUAUUCCUGUUGCAGUUUCGUUAGUCUUGGAAUUGUCAAGCUGACUUGUGGUUUCUUCAAAUUAAGCUGUUUAUGUUUGGUUAAUAAACAUAUGGGGUGGAGUCAUCCAUCUUUUCCCCUGUUAUCCCAUCAUGCAAUUCUAGGCAGAAAACAGAAGUUAUUUUAAUCUAUGCAUCUGUUUCUCUUUCAAGACUUAAUAUAAAAAUACACCAUCUCAAUGUCGCUUGUUACCUUUCUCAAAAUAUUGUUGCUAUAUGACUUCAUAGUAAGAGCUCAUUAUUCUCAAAUAACUUAUCCAAAAAGAAAGAAGAGAAGAGGUCGUUAAUCUCAGAUAUUUAAUGUUUUGAAAUUCUUUUUCGUGGUUCCAGUUUCAAGUUUAGGUUUCUUCAGGUUUCACUGUGAUUUUUUCUAAUUUCAACAGUGUAAUUCUUCAAGUUAAAAACAUUGUAAUUUCUCUUCAAGUUAGGAUGAGCUUUUUGAUUGUAAUGAUACAGGUUUUAGCAACUUCUUCCACUGUUUUUCAGGUGACAAGCUUGGUUAGGAAGGGGGCAAACAGAAUAACUCUCAGCAUUGGUGAUGGAGCUAAUGAUGUGAGUAUGAUUCAAGCUGCUCAUGUUGGUGUUGGAAUAAGUGGACAGGAGGGAAUGCAAGCAGUGAUGGCUAGUGAUUUUGCAGUAGCUCAGUUCCGUUUUCUCGCUGAUUUACUGCUUGUCCAUGGACGCUGGUCAUAUCUGAGAAUAUGCAAGGUUUAAAAGUUUAUAUGAUCUUUGUGCACAAAACUGCAUGAUCUCUGUUAGGGUAAUUAUGUGAUCUAGAACUUUUACAUGCAGGUCGUCACAUAUUUCUACUACAAGAAUCUGACAUUUACCCUGACUCAGUUUUGGUUUACCUUCCAAACUGGAUUCUCUGGUCAAAGGUUCUAUGAUGAUUGGUUCCAGUCUCUGUAUAAUGUGAUGUUCACAGCUCUCCCUGUUAUUGUUCUCGGGCUUUUUGAGAAGGUAUAUGAUGUGUUAUAGUUUGUUAGUUCUAAGCAACAUAUGAUGGCAAAUAAGUCAGCCAGCUUUUUCUCUAAUUGUUAUGUUAUUCCUUUUUUGGCUAUUGCUACACCUCUUUUGUGUAUUUAGGACGUCAGUGCUUCCCUCUCCAAGAAAUAUCCUGAGUUAUACAAGGAAGGAAUAAGAAAUACUUUCUUCAAAUGGAGAGUUGUGAUUAUCUGGGCUUUCUUUGCAAUAUAUCAAUCAUUGGUGUUGUAUUAUUUUGUUACUGCUUCAAGUACGAAGGGCAUGAAUUCAUCUGGCAAGAUGUUUGGCCUGUGGGAUGUUAGUACAAUGGCUUUCACUUGUGUUGUUGUAACUGUCAAUUUGCGUCUGCUUAUGAUGUGCAACACAAUUACAAGAUGGCAUCACAUCACUGUUGGAGGGAGCAUAAUAUUGUGGUUCAUAUUUGUCUUCAUUUACUCGGGUAUUUCCUUGCCAAAGGAGCAGGUGAGUUUGGUCACUUAUUUACUGUAUUCUUGUGAGUAUUCAUAUGCUAAUAUGUCCGAUAUUCCUACUCACUGCAGAAGAAUAUCUAUUUGGUCAUCUAUGUCUUGAUGAGCACAUUUUAUUUCUACAUUGUUCUGCUUCUCGUACCUGUUGCUGCUCUUUUUGGCGACUUCAUUUAUCAGGGGUAAGUUUCUUUAGUUAAUUUUCAAGUCCUCGUACCUAAUAUCACGAUAGGUAUUUUAUUCGCCCAAAAAAUAUUAUUGCACCCAUUUCAGAAUUGUGGAUUUGUCUGGACUUUGUUUCUAAAUUUUGUCAAAUCCAGCUAAAUAUGGUUCGUUUGAAGGAAACAUUAUUGUCUAGUGGUAAUAAAAUCUGUUUGUGCAUGAAAACAGCGGAUCCCAUUUGUGGAACCUUCCUGCCAAUUUGAUUAAGCAUGAAUAUACAUGCAAUUGAACCAUUUGCAAGUGGCUUGGGCCAACGCUAGUUUUUUAUUGAUUACCACAAAAAUUGUUUUUCACUUGGAUUCUUCCAGCUGUAUAAACUUUUCACUGCUAAUUCCUUGGUGUGUCAUCUGCAUAUAUUAUAUGUGAAACAACCAAACUGUUCUCUCCAUUUCCUUCUNNNNNNNNNNNNNNNNNNNNNNNNNNNNNNNNNNNNNNNNNNNNNNNNNNNNNNNUUUCAGCCCCCGUCUUUGAAAUAAUUUAUAAAAACUCUCACGCUAACUUAUUGGUCUGAGAUCUUUAAUUUAAGUGGCGCCUUUUUUCUUGGGAAUGAGAGCAAUGAAGUUAGCAUGGAUGCUCCUUUCAAAUGUACCUUCAUGGUAGAAAUACUCAAUAGCCUUCAUGAUAUCUUUCUUUAGAAUAUGCCUACACUUCUGAUGGAAAAGCAUAUUGAAACCAUCAGGCCCAGGGGCCUUUUAUUACCCAUUAAAUUUGUUUGACAGCAGCUUCAGCUUCUUCAGAAAAAGGUCUUUGUAGCCAGUGUCUUCUGUCAAUAUAGCCACAUGUUCAUCAUGCCACAUGCGUCUCAAUUUCUCCUUUUCCGUAAACAAGUCUUCAUAAAAGCUCAAAAUAUGACCUCUGAUCACCUUUUUGCUCUUGCCUUUAAUAUUUAUUUAUUUGUUUAUAUUAUUUAAAAAUCGAUGGUCUACUCUUGCUUAACAAUAUUAGCUGCUUUUUUUCAGGGUUCAAAGAUGGUUCUUCCCUUAUGAUUAUCAGAUUGUUCAGGAAAUCCACAGGUAUGAGAUCGACAGUAGGAUGGGGGUCCUGGAGAUUGGAAAUGAGCUUACACCAGAAGAAGAAAGGAGCUAUGCAAUAAGGCAACUACCUGGACAGAAAUCAAAACACACUGGUUUUGCCUUUGAUUCACCCGGCUACGAGUCAUUUUUUGCAUCUCAGGCUGGCGUCUCAAUCCCCCAAAAGGCGUGGGAUGUAGCUCGGAGAGCAAGUAUGAAACCACGGUCAAAGAUGCCUCGGGAUAACUGACUUCCAGAUAGUACAGUUUUUCUUCCCUUUACACUGUACUUCUCUUUUGACCUAGUCAAUUUAGCUAAUACGUAGAAUUAGCUGUGUAAUAUCUCGUCAUGUAGUCUUAUUCUUUUACCACCUGCCUCGCCCUCUUAUGAUUGUUUGGGUUAUAGUUAUAAUUAGGUUUAGUGAGCACUGUAGCAAAUUUAGUUCAGAAGAAAACGAUACAGAUGUAACACUAUCUGGAAGUUGGAGCAGCUAAUAGUUAAGCUUGUAUCUGUUUAUUGAUAGUUUGGAUAUUCCCAAGGAACAUGAUUAAUAGAUCAGUCUUUUUGCAGUGGUAAUUCAAAUGAGUUGUAUUUUGUUAUUUCAGCUGAUUACAGCAAUAUGGCUCAGGGGAGAGCUCUUUUAACCUACCAAAUCUCUUUUCCACACCUGUUCUUUCGUUGUGCUACUGUCAAGGUGAUUCUGUUGUAAAAUGAUAUUCACCAGAUACUCAUCUUCUACCGUGGUAGAUUCAUCGACUAGUAGUGUUUCAAUUUCAGUUCCUUGACUCUUGCUCGUCGUAUUAGCUAAGAAUAUUCAUAUGGAAGAUGGCUAAUCGGACUCCCUUGCAUAUCGGACUCCGGAUUCGCGCCGCGUAGGGCCCCAUUCGAGGUGAAACAUUCCCUACCAAGGAUUUUUCCAUACCCAGGGCUCGAACCCGAGGCCUCUGGUCAAGGGAAGAGCAACCCCAUCCGUUGCACCACAUCCUUUGGUGGUAACGCAGCUCUAUCUUAUUCGUUUAGCAAUUGUUGGAACCUUUUUAUGCUGCAAUAGGAUUCGUUUCUGGGUCAUGUUUUUAGAAGUAUUGGUUCUGAUAUAUUUUUAGAUAAUAUUACAUCCAUUGUUUAUACGAUCUGCUUUACAUUUGGGAAUAUUGUUUGGGUUUUCGGAGUAGUUUUAAGCUUAGGAUUUAUAUACUGCUUAUAUGGAAGUAUUGUUUAUAUGAUGCCUCCGAAAUGAAACAUAAGAAAUUUCAACCUCUGAAAUUCCAUAGUGUAUUUCAGAGGCGUAGUGUUAUAGAAGUAGCAGUAAAAGAUGCUAAGACUAUUUUCUUUUCUUGUUUGAUUUUUUUCAAGUGAGUUCAAAUAAAAAAUAAGAAACUAAGAAGCUUGUUAUACAAGCAAAAGAGAACGGAGAAGGGACUAUUCACUAUUAUGCUUCUUUAGUAAGAGCCGAAGAGAGUGAUUAGACAUAAAAGUUCCUACUUUUUAUUCUUCACUAAAAAGGCACAGAAUCGUGGGUCUAAGACCACCUUUUUCACACAUGUUCUCUUAAUAUUAUUGCCUUUUAAGCCCUCGAAUUUUAGUUGUGCUAAAAGUUGUCAUGUACGAAUCACCAAAAGAGGAUAAGAUUUCUUAGUAUCAUGUGAUGAUUUUUAAGCAAUAAAAUGGAUUCCCCACAACUCUUGUUCUCUUAGAUAGACAGUGCAUGUGGAUACUUAGGCAAUUAACACCGUAAAGAUAAUAACGAACAUAAUAUCAUUACUUAAAAUUAAUUAAGUUAGCUGCCAUGACGACACUUGCAUAGUUUAAGUGAAGUAUAUAUAUACUCUCUCCUUUUUAAUUUAUUUGACAUAGUUUAACUCGAUAAGGACCUUAAGAAAGAGAGGAAAACUUUUAGCAGUUUACUGUGCCUUCAAACUUGAAACAGAAGCCUUUGAGAAGCUAGAAGAAUUAGAUUCUCCGACACAAGUUAAUUUUUUAUUAUAAGUGUUUGUGUUGGAUACGCUAUGGCAAAGGACUAAAUAAAAAUGGGCUUUAUGCUCAUUUCAAAUGGAAUUAAGAAGGUAUGCGAUAUUCCAUAUAGAAGCCUAUGUUCCAAGGAUCCAGCCAUUCCUAUUUAAGACAACUCUACUUUAUAUAUAUUUGAUGGAUUUGCUCACCUUUAUGUUUGUAUGUAUGUAUAAAUUUUUAAUCUUAAAGAGAGCAUAUCUUCAUUUAAAGAUUAUUGGAACUGCCAACAAGGAGUGGUUCAAGUUAUUUGAGGCAUAUACGUCAACCACCAGCAGCCGUAAUCACAAUAGAAAGUGGAAUUGGCACCAAAACAUACGAAGCACAAUUAAAAUAAGUUAGAAAUUGGCAUAUAUGUCUGCUUUAAUUUAAUGCAAUUUUCAGCUUUAAUAAAGACAAAGGCAGAUUCAUAUUUUCAAGUCAGUGUAUUUACUAUGUACUCUAAUGUUUACUCGUAAAAUGAUACAAUUAAAUUUGUAACGUGGUUUAUAAACACAUGAAUUAAUUUUAUCCGAGAAUAUAAAAUAACGAAGAACAUAGAUAAAUAAAUUAAAAAACUUAAAGAAAAUACAAGCCUGAGCUUCUCCGAAAGUAAGAAUAAGAACAAUGUAUAAAACAGAAAGAGAGAAUAUUGUCAAUUGAGUAAACAUAGCUUUUUGUGAGUACAUAUAUUUCUUGUGUACAAUGAGUACAAAUUCUUCUAUUUAUAGUUCAUCCUGCUUUUUUCAACCGAUAUCUUUCUUUCAAACUUUCGUCCCCGGUUCCAGCGCCUUGCCGCCUCCAGAAGUCACUCAGCACCGAUCACAUGUUCGUAACGGUGCCAGCUAUUUGCUGACUCAUAUCCUAUUUGUCUUCACUGCCACGUGUCAACUCGACGAGCAUCCACAUGUCCUUCUUCAAUUUUACCCCAUACAGAUAGUCCCCCUUCUUUUCGGUGACUAAACUUUAUAUUACCGGGAAGUAGAUAAGACUUCUUUUCUUGACGUGAAAGUUCCUGAACGAUUUCUAACAUUUGAAAGGACGCAUAUCUCCUUGCAUUUAAUGAGUCGAACACGUGUUAUCCUACAACUCGACAAAUACUUUCGCUAGUUACCUAAGUAAUGAUAGCCUUGUAUUCUGCCGCCUAUAAACUUCUCCACUUCUCAUCAUUUUUACCUUCACUUUUAUCAAUUCCUCUACUUCGAAUUUCCUUAGAGCUUUUCUGCAAACCUCUCUUUCUCAAUAAAACUUUCAUAUUCACAUUCUCUAUCACCAUGUCUUGAACUAUCUCUUCCCCCGGUUACUCAAGCACUUUCAUCGGUGGCGGUCCAUCCAAGAAAAAUAAAUCUAAGAAAAUCGAUGCCGGACCUCCUACUACUUGCUCAAUCAUCUCCUCUUAACUAAAUUCUAAGACUGAUCUCCAGAUUCAACAUGAACACCUUAACGCUAAAAAUGACAGGAACAAGCCCGUCAAUAGAUUUCUUUCUUCCAUUCGUCCUACUAGUAUCCCUAUUAUGAAAGAAGAUUGUGGCUGGGUCAAUAUUGAAGUUUUAUCCCCUAAUGAAGUGGAAAGGGUCACCUUCAGUAAACCAUGGUACAUAUAUAUAUAUAUAUAUAUAUAUAUAUAUAUAUUUACAUGUACCCUUUCACUUUAAGAAUGGGCCAAGAAAUCGAUUCCAUCAUUUUAGAGUUUUUCCACAACUACCAAAUUUGCUUGGCUCAGGUAGGUCUUUGAAUAUGGCGAACGGUAGCUUGUCUUCAGUUUCUGUGCUCCCGGGACGGUGAAACCCUCACUCUUGCUCAUUUGAUCAAACCUUUACUCCCCAAAUAUUUUUCAUGGAGGCAUGAUCAAACUCAGCAAACGCGGUCACCAUGCUAUCGUCACCAGUCACCAGUGUUGAUGAUGAUAAUGACCGUGGUUGGAUGGAGAGGUUCGUUAUCAUUGCUACCGCAGACAUUCCACCGUCGACAACACCUCCUAUACCUGAAUCCUGAAACUUCACCCGUAAGGUUUUUGAAUAUCCCUCUUUCACUGCGUUAAAGAAAAAUCUUUCCUUUACUAACUUUCCCUUCUCCCAUUUGAGCUACCCGUUGGGUUCCUCCAAUGGUUCAGAACCUAACCCAAUGGGUACAAUUUUUUUUAGAUGUUUCCACACCGGACUCUCGUAGGUGGAAAGAAAUUUUACCCAAAUUCAACUGGAAGGCCAAGAACCAUGGUAAGUAAAACUUCCUCUUUUCCUUUCUAAUCUUUAAUGUGAUGCAGUAUAAAUUUCUUGAAUUCCUUUCAAUAUAUGUAGGCCUUCCGAAGGGGCCUUUUGUCUGCCCUCCUAUCGAGGUUUCCCAUGACCCCAAGGAUAGCUCAUCAACAAAUUCAAGAAGCCCUUGACCGAUAGAGGGCUCGUGAUCCCCCUCUUGCUUUCGGAGAAGGCUCUUCUUCCUUGAGUCCCCAGCCUAAGGAGAAAAAACCAAAAGAAGACGUACCUUCAAGGCUGAGACUCAGGAGAAGUCUCCAAUAAAAGAAACCCUAGUAGGACCGACCACAAUGGUCCUUGAUAAAGAUGAAACUAAGGACGAUGAUGAAGCGGUUUCUCUUCAAAGAAAGAGAAGAAAAGGAACUUCUCCAGCUCAACCAAAUACACAACUGGACGACAUCCAAAGACUCUUUACAGUGUGAGAAAUGGUUAAAAACGCUGAGUCUCGUUUCUAGACCCCAUAUGUCGCUUCCAGUUAGAGGAGUUACACCUCUGAUAUUCCUCCACUUGCAACUUCAACACUAGCUGCCCUACCACCAGCUUUUACCUUACCACCAGCCCCAAUUGAACAAAUGGAAGAUGUUCGUUCCCCUUGGUCACCCGAUCAUGGGAACAUUGAGAAUACUUUCCCGACACCCAUCCAAAACCCCGAUAGUAAACGUAGUAUCACUCUUUCUGUUUCGAAUGAGUGUCACUUACUUUCCAAGCCAGUGGGAGUUUCCAAUUAGUUGAAGCCUCUGGCUUUGAACAAGGACCGACAGAAGAUGGAGGCUCUUUUUGCGGAACAACAUACACUUUGCUGCUCAGGUAUCAUAUUACCCUUCUCUUUCCUAUUUUUUUACUAAACCAUUAUCUCCAAUAACGUUAAUUUUUGACUUUUCAGGCUAACCUCCUUGCCUCCGAAGGCUUGCAGAAGAUGGUCCAAGCCAAAGAAGAACUUGCUGUCGAGCGGGAUCAGAUUUGCAGCUGAACGAGAUCAACUCGCUAAGCGCCUCUUGGCUUUAGAGGCAAGACUUGCUCGAUGGGCGAGCUAGAAGCCCGGUUGGAGCAAUUCGAGCAGGAAAGAAUGGUUCAUAGCCAAGAGGCCACUCAACUGCAUACAGAACUUGAGGAGUUGAAGGUCAAGUGGGCUAAGCUAUAUGAUGCUGUGACUAUAGCGGCGGAACGUGAUUCUGUUCCAUGGAACAAAUAAACAACCUGGAAGUAAACUUGCGUUCCAAAUUUGAAGAAGUUGUUGUGGUCAAGGAGAAGAGAGCAAAAAUGGAGGAAAGGCUCAAAAUGAUCAUAGAGCAAAAUUGCGAAUACGCGAAUACAAAUACUGACCUUUGCCGGACCUAUGACAACGUGAGGGCUGAAAAUGACCAGUUGCAGUCUAAAAUCAAAAAGCUCAAAGCCAAAAUCCAGGAUCAAGAGGAUUAUUUCCUUUUAAAGAAAACUUAUGCAAUUGAUCACAUGAGGAUUGAGACAUUAGAGGAUGCUAAAAAAGACGUUCCUAACAUAGACGACUGCAUUGCUGAAGCUCUCAAUUUAGAGAAAACCGCCUACGAUAACAUUCAUGCCCGACCCAAUGCUUCAUGCUCCUCGAGCACUUAUUCUGAGUUCUUGAAAACCGAGAAGGAAGCUAAAGAAAAAGAAAAUAAGGACAAGGAUGAAGGUGUUGGACCGGAUGCGGAACAACCUUCAUCAUCAAAAGAUAUAGCAUAGACUUCUCGUCCUUCGGACUCUGCUGAUAGAACAAAUUAAUGUAUUUUUUUUUAUUGUAAUUAUGCCGAAACCUCUAUUGAGUUCCACAUUUUGAGCAAUAAAAGACAUCUUUUACUUAACUUUUGUGCAAAGACAUCUUUCCAGUGAUAAAGCUUGGAAAUUUUUUGCAUUCGAUAACUUUAUUACCGGGUAUUCAUACUUCCGAUUUUUUAUCCUUUAACUAUGAGGGUUUCAUAAGAGAGGUCCCUUAUAUUUAUGAUGCUAUUGAAGAGGAUGUCUCAUGUUCAUUACGACACUACCAUUUGAAGUUUAACUAACUUUCAAAUGAAAAAGACCAUAUCAUAUCAUUUGGACAAGAAAUAAGAUAAAAACAAAAGGAAUUUAAUUUUUUCCUUCCAUUUCUAAAAGUAUAUUUAUAUGAGCAAAAAUUCGCUUAAGUAAAUAAAACUGCCAAUACAUGUAGCUAACUUGUACUGCUUAUUCCUAUGAGGCUAAUCAUGUAGUCCCCGGUCAUGACAAGAUACAACUUCCGGUUCUAGCAGACCCGAAUGUUAAUGACACUUUUAGUGAUCUAAUAUACAAUAGUUCCCCCCUAGUGUUCUAAUGCGAAGUAUGAGAAUUCGAACACUGGAGUUUUUGUUAUUGUCGACGAUCCUUCUUCGUAGUAUGCUUUACGCUGUUGCCUUAUUAAAUAACUUGCUAGAAAAACCCAAUUGGGACAGAAACUAGACGAAAGAAAAAAGAGUACAACACAUAAUUUCAGUAUCUUCAAGGAUCUUCAACAGUAAUACCUUUUGAGGUGAGUCACAUUCCAAUUGCUUGGUAAUUUCACUCUAUCUUGAUUUUUUAAUUGAUAUGAACCUUUACCGGUUAUAGUUGAAAUCCGGUAAGGUCCUUCCCAUGUUGGUCCUAGCUUUUUAGCAUUGACUUCUCGAGUACUUUGAGUCACCAACUUAAUCAAACUUAAAUCAGUAUUGCUUCAUUAUUCUCCUCACAUAUGUGAGUACCUCAAGUAAAUCCAACUUAACUAGUAUUGCUCCAUUAAUUUCCUCCAAGUUUGCCCAGGAGUACCUUAUGAUCGGUUCCCCAAUCACCACCGGAAUCAAAGCUUUCGCACCGUACACAAGGUAAAAAGGUGUUUCACCUGUGCUUGACUUUGCCGUUGUUUGAUAUGCCCAUAGCACUCCUGGCAACUCUUCUUGCCAACUGCAUUUAGCAUCCUCUAAUUUCUUUUUAAGGUUUUGAAUUAUCACCUUGUUGGUUGACUCCGCUUGACCGUUAGCAAUUGGAUGAUAUGGGGAAGAUGUGCUUUUGAUCUUCAAUCCUUCCAAAACAUUUGUGACUUUGGAGCCCAUAAAUUGUGGCCCAUUAUCACAAACAAUUUCUUUUGGUACUCCAAACCGACAAAUGAUAUGAUCCUAAAUGAAAUCAAUCACUUCUCGCUCUCCAAUCUUUUUAAAAGCACCUAUUUCAACCCACCUAGUGAAAUAAUCAAUUAAAACUAAAAGAAACUUUACAUGCCCCGACCCUUGAGGUAAAGGAACAACUAUAUCCAUCCCCCAUUUCAUGAAUGGCCAUGGUGACACCAUUGAAUACAAAGGUUCUGCCGGAUGAUGCACUAAUUGCGCAUGACGCUGACACUUGUCACAUUUUUAUACAAAUGCCUUUGUGUCUUGUUCCAUCCGGGACCAAUAGUAACCAACCCUUAUUAAUUUAAGAACCAACGAGUCCGCACCGGAGUGAUUUCUACAAAACCCUUAGUGAACUUAUCUCAUCACAUAAUCAGCCUCUGAUGUCCCUAAACAUCAAGCCAACGAUCCUGUGAAAGAUCUUCAGUAUAAUUGACCAUCAAUAAGGUAAUAAUGAGCAUCUUUAUUCCGUAGUGCUCGGGAGGCUUUGGAAUCUUAAGGCAAUAUUUCAUGCCCUAAAUAUUCUAUAAACUCGUUUCUCCAAUCCUAGAUUCGGUUGGUCGAGUUAACUUCGCAAUAUCCAUCCACGUCUAGGACUGAAUGCAACAGCUGCACAAAUGCACCAGAAUUAACUCCUUUCAUUUUUGUGGACGAUCCUAAAUUAGCAAACGUGUCUGUCUCCACGUUCUCUUCCCUUAGGAUGCUGUAUCGACCACUCCCUGAACCGAGAAAUCAAAACUUGAACUUUAUUCAAGUACUGCUGCAUGCGCUCUUCUUUGGUGUCACAGACUUCAUAUAUCUGAUUCACUAUCAUCUAGGAGUCAUAUUUUAUUUCAAUCACCUCGGAGCCUAGUCCCCAGGCUAAUUCAAGUCCUACAACCAAAGCCUCAUACCCGGCUUCAUUGUUAGUCAAAGAAACUAUUCUAACGGCCUAUCUCAGGGUCUCUCUCGAAGGAGUGAUUAGUACUAUCCUAAGAGCAGACCCUUUUACGUUGGAAGCUCCAUCCGUAAACAAAGUGCAUACACCGAAGACGGUUCCCGAUACCAGAACUGCUUCUUUAGCAGCUAAAAACAUCAUUCCCGGACUAAAGUCAGCCAAAACUUGUGACUUAAUAGCAGUCCGAGAUUUAUAUUUUAUAUCAAAUUCACUAAUUUCAACUGCCCAUUUAGCCAGUCGACCCGAUAAUUCAGGUUUAUGAAGGAUAUUCCUUAAGGGAAAGGUUGUCAUAACAGUUAUUGGGUGAUAUUGAAAGUAAGGUCUAAGCUUUCGACAGGCAACUACAAGAGCCAGACCCAACUUUUCCAGGUGCGGAUAAUGUGUCUCCGCUCCCUAUUGUAUUUUACUAACAUAAUAAAUAGGGAAUUGCGUACUUUCUUCCUCCCGGACCAGGAUUUCACUCACCGCAAUUUUUGAGACUGCUAAAUAAAUUAUUAAUUGUUUUCCCUCCUUCGGUUUAGACAUUAGCGGAGGACUGUACAAGUACCUUUUCAAGUCUCUCAACUCUUGCUGGCAUUCCGGAGUCCAUGAAAAGUCAUUCUUCUUUUUCAAAAGUGAAAAUAAAUAAUGAUAUUUUUCUGAUGACCUUGAUAUGUGUUACGACCCAAAACAAACCUGUCGUGAUGGCGCCUAUCAUGGUACUAAGCCGACUACUUAGACAUUUCCAACACUCGAAAGCUUUGAAAGAUACAGAAGCAGUUAAAAUUAAGGAAAACCUUUUAAAAACAGAGUAAGAAAUUAUAAUUCAAUACAAAAUCUCUCCCAAAAUCGGGGUGUCACCGAGUACAUGAGCAUCUACAUAAGAAAACACAGUCUAAUACACCGUCUAGGAAAUAAAAACUAAAACAUAAAAUGGAAGAUAAGGAGGGAGAGUCAAGGUCUACGAACGCCAAGCAACUACCUCGAUAGUCUCCGAAAAUCUGAACUCCACAACUCAGCAACCGCCUUAACCGGAAGCACAUGGAUCUGCACACGAGGUGUAGGGUAUAGCGUGAGUACAACCAACUCAAUAAGUAACAAAUCUAACCUUUGGAAUGAAAGGUAGUGACGAACUCAGCAUGUACAGUUCAAUAUAGAAAUAACAGUACAGAAAUGUAGGCAUACUUUCAAGUUCAACAGUUAAAUUCAAUUCAAGUAAAAUAGAUCAGAUUCUGAAUGAUAUGAGGAGUAUGACCUCUCUAUAUCUACAUGCCAAUGCACAUGCUGUAUGUGAUGCACCACGCUGAAAGCCUCAUGUACUCUCACUCUCAGAAUAUCGAUCCGAAAACCAUCCGAAAUCAACCCGAGGCCCCCGAGACCUCAACCAAACAUACCAACAAGUCCUAAAACAUGAUACAAAGUUAGUCGAGCCCUCAAAUAACCUUAAGCAACAUCAAAAACACAAAUCGCACUCCAAUUCAAGCAUAUUGAAACUAAGGAAUUCCAACUUCUACAAACGACGCCGAAACCUAUCAAAUCUCGCCCGAUUGACCCCAAAUUUUGCACACAAGUCACAUUUGAUACUACAGACCUACUCCAACUUUCGGAAUCAGAAUCCGACCCCAAUAUCAAAAAGUUCACUCCCGGUCAAACUUUUCAAAAUUUAAUUUUCGCCAUUUUAAGCCUAAUUUCACUACGGACCUCCUAAUCACAAUCCGAAAAAAUCCAUUCUAUUUCUCUGAUGCGCAUGUCGCGGAGCGAGCCUGGGGAGAGGAGUAGAGUCCAGCAAUAUUAAGCCCCAAAAUAUAGUUUCUAUUAAAAUCUCAUGCUCCUAAGUCCAAAAUCACCCAACGGAGCUAACAGAACCAUCAAAACUCAAUCCCGGAGUCAUUUAUACAUAAGUCAACAUCCGUUCACCCUUUUCAACUUAAGCUUUCAACUUUGAGACUAAGUAUCUAAAUUUAUUCUAAAACAUCACCGGACCCGAACCAACUACCCCGGCAAGUCACAUAACAGUUAUAAAGUACAAAAAGGAGCAGUAAAUGAGGGAACAUGGCUACAAUUCUCAAAACAACCAGCCGAGUCGUUACAAUAUGAAUCUUAAGGGCUGCCAACCUGCCAGUCAACCUUUGAACUUCCUUCACACUUGUCAGUUGGUCAUGGAUAUUUUUUAUGGCCUUAAUCUUGUCGGAUUUUACUUCAAAUCCUCUUUGAGAAAUCAAGAAGCCAAGAAACUUCCCGGACCCAACUCCAAAAGCACAUUUUUCAGGGUUGAGUUUCAUGUUGUAUUUUCUCAAGAUAUUAAAUAUCUCUUGUAGGUGAGUCAAAUAAUUUCCUACACUAAGAGACUUAACCAACAUGUCAUCAAUAUAAACUUCUAUGGUUUUACCAAUUUGACGUUCAAACAUCUUAUUAACGAGCCUCUGAUAAGUGGCUCUGACAUUUUUAAGCCAAAAAGGCGUAACAUUAUAACAAUAAGUGCCACAAUUUAUGAUAAAUGAGGUUUUUUAUUGAUCCUCCAGGGCAUUUUAAUUUGAUUAUAUUCACAAUACGCAUCAAGAAAAUUUAUCAAUUCAUGCUCGGUUGUAACAUCGAUCAUUUGAUCAAUGUUUGGUAGGGGGAAAGAAUCUUUAGGGCAUGCCUUAUUUAGAUCUUUAUAAUCUAUACACAUUCUAAACUUAUUAUUCUUUUAGGCACAACCACUACAUUAGCUAACUAAUCAAGGUAAUUAAUUUCACGAAUUGAACUUAUAUUUAGUAACUGGGUUACCUCCUCUUUAACAAACCUGUUUCUGUCUUUUUGACCUUAGCUAUCGACCAUUUCUUUUGCUUCACCGGAGGAAAAUUAGGGUCCAAACUUAACUAGUGUACAACCACAUCCAUUGGAAUACCUGUCAUAUCAGAAUGAGACCAUGCGAAAAAGUUAGCUUUAAAAUUUCAAUAAUUUUAAACCUGAGUUUGGGACUCAGCCUCGUUCCCAGGUAAACCUUUCUAUCUGAAAAUUCUGUGAAUAAAGCACUUUGUUCAAGUUCCUCUGCAAUUGACUUUGUUGCAUCAGCUUCUCCCGGUUCCUAGAAGAAUCUAGGCAUCUGAUAGUAAUCCAAUGUUUCCUCAUCUCUAUCAACUUCAACCGAGUUUGGAAGGGAAAUAGACAUUGGUUCCUGUAGUUUCUAUUUGCUCGUUCCUUCUGCUUUGCUGCUAGAUAAGGUCACUGCAUUCAUUUCUCUCGCAGCAGGUUGAUCACCUCUAAUUUUCUGGAUCCUAACUGGUGUAGUUAAUUUCAGCAAUUGAUGGUAAGUUGAUGGCACAACCUUCAUUUCAUGGAUCCAUGGUCUGCUAAGGAUUACGUUGUAGCCCAUAUCGCCAUCCACAACCUCGAACAAGGUGGAUUUUGACACUCUUUCGGCAUGGGUCGGUAACACAAUCUCUCCCCGGGUCAUUAUGCUUGUUAGGUUAAACUUGACCAGAUGCUUUGUUGCCAGAACUAUAUUUUCGGUUAAAUUUGGUUGUUCCAAAACACUCAAUUGGAUGAUAUCAGCUGAAUUACCUGGAUCAAUCAACACACAUUUAAUUUUAAAAUCUAAAAUAUGAAGUGUAUUACUAGAGCAUUAUUGUGCGUAUAAUAAGGCCAUCAAUGUCUUCUUUCGUGAAUGUAAUUUCAUAAUCUUCUGAUGCUUCUCAGAUUCUUUAUUGCCGAAAACGUCACCCCAUUUACUUCAAACCCACCAAAAAUCAUGUUUAUUGUUAAACGGGGUGACCCUGCAGUUGGUUUUACUGAUUCUAUUGUAUCUCGAUUACUCUCAUAAUUGUUCUUGGCCUAGUCACUUUGAAAUUCAUUAUGAUGACCAGUUUUCAACAACGUCGCAACUUCUUCACGAAGAUACCGUCAGUCCCCUGUCAUGUGGCCAUGCGUUCUGUGGAAUUCACACCACAAACUAGGAUCCUUUUGACUAGGAUCUGAUCAAAUUGGCUUUAAAAAUAUUGCCUCCUUGAUAUUUCUCAUAGCUGAAACCAAUUCUACCAAACUAAUGUUGAAGUUAUAAUCUGAAAACCGAGGAUACCCUGACUCCCGGGACCUUGGCGGUUCUUUAUCUUGCAAAGCCCUACUACUCCGACCACGAUACGUUCUUCUAUCCGAUACAAAUGUUUUCGAGGCUGAAAAUCUUUAGUUCCAAGCCCAUCGGCUCUUUCAUAAGGCUGGAAAUGACUUAUGGAUGACCUCUGAUCUGCAUCAAAAUCACUUUUGAACUUUUCCUAAUUCCAAUCACAAUUACGAACUUUGGAUGACACCGAAGAACUCAAUUGAUCAUCUUCAAUUUUAAUUUUUGAUUUAUAGCGAUUAUGGACAUCUGCCCAUGUGGUUUCCUGAAACUCCAAUAGGUUUUCCUUCAAUUUCCUGGAGGCAUCGGAGCUUAGAGGAUUGAGACCUUUGGUGAACACUUCAGCUGCCCACUCAUCCGGUACUGCCGACAACAACAUCCUCUCCUUUUGAAACCGAAUUACAAACUCUCGUAACAAUUCAGAUUCUCCUUGAGCAAUUAUGAAUAUAUCUGCUUUCCUACCUUGGACUUUACUAACCCUAGCAUGGGCUUUAAUAAUAGAAUAUGAAAGCAUUUUAAUAGAGUCAAUCGAAUGUUCAGGUAAAAGAGAGUACCAUGUUAAAGCACCCUUUGUUAGCGUUUUGCCAAAUUUCUUCAGCAGGACAAACUCGAUCUCAUGCGGGGCCAAAUCAUUUCCCUUUAGAGAUAUAGUGUAAGGUGUGAUAUAUUCUUAUGGAUCCGAAGUUCCAUCAUACUUCGGAAUAUCUGGCAUCUUGAAUCUCUUUGGAAUCAACUCUAGGGCUACACUUGGUUCGAACGGCAACUGCGUAUACUUCUUCGAAUCUGACCCCUUCAAUACCGGUGGUGCCCUUGGGAUUUGAUCUAUCAGAGCAUGGAAUUCUUUAGCAUUUUGAUCCAUUCGAUCAUUCAUUUCCCUCAUGAAUCCCAUGAGCUCGGUUUUAAAAGGGAUAAUUUGUGUUAUUGUCAUUCCCGGAUCCACUACCUGCACCACCUACUUAGUUUUCAUUAAAUCCAAACUCCUCCCUCGAAGCGAUGUUACCGGUUCUUUAGCUGUUUAAUUUGCAGGAAUGCUGGGAGGGGCUCGAACUCCUCCAUAGGAAUUAUUAGAGGCAACCAAAAGAGCUUUCUAGAGCUUAGUCAUUAUCGAGUCCUUUCUUGAGAGAUGAUUCAUGAUUUCCCUUUGUUGUGCUCUCAAAAUUUUCACCAUUUUGAAAAUAGGUUCAUCGUCCAUAUCAUCAGGAGCUGAGCUUCUCAUACACGGAGGAUUUCAUUUUUUGUGAACCGGAGUUGUCUCAUCUCCAUCGUUACGAGUUUCGCUGGUGGAAUCAUCACGUUGAUCCCCGUCACAGAACAUAUCCUCAUGCUUGUUGUUCGUUCCCACAUUGAAGGAGUUGUUUACAUCAUUAGUUUUCAUAUCUGUUUUCAGUUUACAAAAUAAAAACGUCAAAAUGCAUUAAAAACAGAUGAAUGGAUCAUAGUAAUUCCACAGUUGUCUAUGCCCCAUGGUGGACGCCAAACUGUUUACCCGUAAAACGGUAAAAUUAAAUUUAUAACGUGAUUUAUAGACAUGUGAAUUAAUUUGAUUCGAGAAUAUAAAAUAACGAAGAACGAAGAUAAAUUAAUUAAAGAUGCUUGAAGAAAAUACAAGCCUGACUGUCAAAUAAGCUUUUUCAGAAGCAAGAAUAAGAACAAUGUAUAGAGAAGAAAGAGAGAAUAUUGUUAAUAGAGAUAUUUCCUGUGUACAAUGAGUAAAAAUUCUACUAUUUAUAGCUCAAUUCAGGGAGACAAGAUCCCCAAAUCAAGCUCUUUUUUUUAUUAUGAAUAAAUACCCCUCUUGAUGGCUGCAUAACAGUUGAGUAUAAAUGCAAAGAUUCUUUGUAAUGACUGCUCAUUGAAUGCUGCUUUUUUCAAUCGAUAUCUUCCUUUCAAACUUUCGUCACCGGUUCCAGCGCCUUCGGAACUCACUCAGCACCGGUCACAUGUUCGUAACCGGUGCCAGCUAUUUGCUAACUUAUAUCCUAUUUGUAUUCACUGCCACAUGUCAACUCAAUGAGCAUCCACAUGUCUUUCAUCAAUUUUACCCAUACAUCUAAUUUUGUGAUAAUGUUUCUAACUUAAGGCGUGUUUGGUAUGAACGGAAAAUAUUUUCCUGAAAAAUAAGUAAUUUAAUUUCUUAUUCAUUUUCUAGUUUUCGGUUAGUAAGUAAAAAAUAUUAUACCAUGAGCACUUAUAUAUAUGAGGGUGCGGUAGGGCGGGGGUUCAGGGUCGGGGAUCGUGAUUCAAGAUUUGACGAUCAGGGGUUCAAAGAUUAGAGGUUAGGGUCGAAGUUUGAGGGGUGGGCCUAGUUGUUGCCGGUAGGGGGUAGGGUUUGGGGUUGGGUCGGGUUGUCAGAGGUGGGGGUCGAGGUCAAGGGUUGGGGUAGGGUUGAGGUCAGGGUCGGAUUCCGGAGGUUGUGUCGGGGGUGAAUUAAAAAUGGAGAUGGGAGGAUUGAAACUGUCAAUUGAAUAGAUUUGAUUAAUAUUUUUCCUUCUCUUGGUAGAAAAAUAAAUUUUCAAGGAAAAUAUUUUUCAUCUUACCAAGAAACACUUUAAUAUACACUUAUAUUUUUAAAAACGUUAUUUACUAUAUAUGGUUCAAUUUGAAUGCAAUAAAUGCACUACCCACACCGUCGCGAUUGUAAAAGCAGGUCACGACCCCAAUUUUCCUCCUUAGGAUGUCGUGAUGACACCUAAUCUUUAAGACUAGGUAAGCCUUCCAUUUUACAAUAACUUAACAAGAAUAAUCAACAUGAAUACUAAAAUAGAACUACAAAACUCAUAUAGUCUCCCAAAACAUAAUCUUAACAACAACUUUUCCACAAACAAUGGAACUAAGUCAUAAGAUCUACAGAGUAAACUAAAAUGUCUACUACAUCACUGUCUGAAUGAAAAUACAACAGGAAGUAAAGAUAAAGGAAGGUGACUCCGAGUCCUGUGGACGCCGAGCAGUCAUACCUCAAAGUCUCUGUAAAGUAGCUAACAGUCGCUCACUAACGUUCGGCACGAGCAGACAUACAUGGAUCUGCACAAAAAGAUGUGUAGAGGUGUAGUAUGAUUAAAACACAAUAGUACCCAAUAAGUAUCAAGCCUAACCUCGGUAGAGUAGUGACAAGGCCAGGUCAAAACACCUACUAGGACAUAAAAACAUAAUGAAAACGUAAUAACAAGAGGUAACGGAAAGCGGAGCAAUAAGUAAUAUGAAGCAAGUUAAUAACAUAGACUAAUGAAAAGAUGUAAGAAUAAAGAUAACAUAAGGGAAGCAAUUGAAAAGAACCACAAUGUUCAUAUACAGACAAUAACUGAUGGAACCAGGAAGAACAAAACAACAAGAAGCGUUCCCACCAAAUAACUCUUUGCAACAUGAGAUAAACAAGAAACAUCACAACGAAGUCCUCGUGCACAAUAAGAAUCACAACCAAGGUAUCGCCUGGUAUUCACAUUUCUCAAUUUCAAUCACAAUCUUUCCUUAUACCGCCGCGUGAGCCUUACAUUUAAAUGGUUUUGAAAAUAUUUUUUUUUCGAAGUAGCUACACGCACUUUAGACCACCUUAUGACGCCACGUGGCUUCACGUAAUUCACUUACAAGCAACAUGCACAUAAGUCUCACCUUAUGCCACCGUAUACACAUUAACCUCUAUCCUUAUACCGCCACAUGCACAUCAAUAUCACAUCACAAUAAUGUAAUGAUCCGAUCGAUCGUUUUUGAGCUUUAGCAUUCCAUUCAUUGGUUUGAGAUUGUGAGUAGCUUCAUAUUAUGUAUUAUGACUUAUGUGUAUUGUUGGUUUCAAUUUUUGAGAGGUUCGGGAUUGAUUUGGAAGGAUGAUUCUCAUUUUCGAAGCUUUAAGUUAGAAGAGUUGAACAAGAUUUGACUUUUGGGUAUACGAAAUCGGGUUUUGAUUGUUCCGAUAGGUUCGUAUGAUGAUUUUGGACUUGUACGUAUGUUCGAAUUUGGUUUCGGAGUUUCCUAGAAGAAUUCGACACUAUUUGUUGGAAGUUGCCAAUUUGAAAAACUUGAGAGUUCAUAAGUUUGACCAAGAGUUGACUUUGAUGUUAUUAGACCCCAAUUGAUAUUUCGAGACUGUAACGACCCGACCGAUCAUUUUGAGUAAUUGCACUUAGCUCAGUGGUUUGAGGGAAUGAGUAUCAUCGUAUGAUGUAUUAUGACAUGUGUGAAUCAUCGGUUUUGAUUUUCAGGUAAGUCGGAAGUGAUUUGGAAGAAUGAAUUUCAUGAUUGAAGCUUUAAAGUUGGAAGAGUUGACCAAAUUUGAUUUUUUAGUAUUUGAACUCGGAUUGGAGUUUUGAUGGUUCCGUUAGGUCUGGAUGGUGAUUUUGGACUCGGACGUAUGCCCGGAUUUGCAUUUGGAUAUUUCUAGAAGGUUUCGGCGCUAAUUGGCGAAAGUUGGAAAUUUGAAGGAUUGGAAAGUUCAUAAGUUUGAUCGAGAGUUGACCUUGAGGAUAUCAGAUUUGGAUUGUAGUUUCAGGAAUUAUAAUAGCUUUGUUAUGUCAUUUGGGACUUGCGUCCAAAAUUUGAGUUCAUUCCGAUUUGAUUUGAUAACGUUCGGGCCGAGUUUUGGAAGUUGAAAGUUCAAAGUUCAUUAAGUUCGAUUUGAGGUGCGAUUCGUGGUUUUGAUGUUGUUAUGCAUGAUUUGAGGCCUCGAGUAAGUUCGUGUUAUGUUAUGGGACUUUUUGGUGUAUUUGGACGGGGUCCCGAAGGGCUCGGGUAAGUUUCGAACGUGGUUCGGAUCAUUUUGUCACAUGUUGCAUUGCUGAAGGAGUGCUGGUUCUAGUGUUGCGCACCUGCGAUUGGUUUUGCGCAGGUGCUGUGUUCGCAGAAGCGUUAAUAUGGUUGCAUCUGCGAUGAAGGCUGAGUUGGGCUACCUCAGCAGAAGCGGGAUUUUUAGCGCACUUGCGUCAUCGCAGAUGCGGGGAAUUAGUCACAGAAGCAAAGUGUGUCACAGAAGCGGGAGCUAUUGUCGCACAUGCGUGUGCGUAGAAGACGGUCUCUUUCCGUAAGUGUGAUGGGAGAGUUUCAGUGGUUUUUUGGCAGAAGUGCGUUUUGGUCGCAAAAGCGACGCCGCAUAAGCGGCUAUGUGUGUAGCAGAUGCGAUGAUGUCUGGGUAGAAGCUCUAUAUCGAGGGCUUGACUAUUUUAUUCACAUUUUGAGUUGGGGAGCUCAGAUUUGAGCGAUGUUGGAGGCAAAUAUCACCACAUGGAUUGGGGUAAGCAUUCUAUACUCAAUUUUUAUUAUAUUUCAUGAAUCUAUCCUCGUUUUUGGUAUUUGGUUGAUGAUUUUAAAAGAGAAAUUGGGGUUUUUGUCUAAAGUUUUAUAGAGUGAAUUUUUGAGUUUUGAAUAUCGAUUCGGAGUCGGAUUUGAGUGAAACUAGUAUGGUUGGACUCGUAAUUGAAUGAAUUUUUGGAAAUUUAUGAGUUUUGUCGGGUUCCGAUAUGUGGGCCCUAGUUUGACUUUUGAUUGACUUUGCGCUUUUGAUUAAGGAUUUCACCUUUAUCGAUUGGGUUUGUUUCCUUCAGCAUUAUUUGAUGUUCUUGAGUUGCUUUUGGCUAGUUUCAAGCUGUUCGAAGGUCGGUACAUGCGAGAUGACAUUUUUUGGAGCAUCAUUUGGUUUGCUCGGUAUUAGAUUUGGCUUGUCGAAGUAAGUAACACUUCGAAAGUUGGUGCUGAGGGCAUGAAUCCCUGAAUAUACGUGUUAUGUGUUCGGUGUUGAGGUGACGCGCAUGCGAGGUGUCGGGCGUGUGGGCAUACACCAUGUGAAGUAUGACUCGGUUGAUUCUGUGAUACUGUGUGGCUACCUAACCUUAUUUUUAUCCAUGAAAUUUCUACGUGCUAGAGUAAUUGAGCUGUGAUCCAUGUUAGAAACUAUGUUUAGGCUAUAUACUUAUUUUGUUGGGACCCACUGAGGUCAUUCCUGUUGUUGAGUUAUUUGCUUAAAUUGCAUUUACAUACUCAGUCAUAUUCAUUCAUUUACAUAUCAUAUCCCAGUCUCUGCUCUCAUUUGUUGUCAUAUCAUGUUGUUAUCAUUAUUUAGGUUGUUUGGCAUAAUAUUUGUGAGCCCGAGAGACUGGAGAGAUUGAUGAUUGAGUUGGGGCUUGAGAGCCGUGUUAUGAGUGAGAUAUGUGGAUCGGGUUGCACGCCGCAAUAUGCAUUAUGGCUAUAUGUGGAUCGGGUUGUACGCCGCAACUGGCCUUAUGGCUAUAUGUGGAUCGGGCUGCACUCCACAACAGGUAGUAUUGAUUCUUGAUGGGAUCGGGCUACACACCGCAGAAAGUACUAUUGAUUCAUGAUGGGAUUGGGCUACACGCUGCAGCAAGUUAUAUUAGCGCUUGGGCAAGAUCCGCCCCUCCGGAGUCUGCACACCCACAGUGAGUGCAAUUACUAUUGAUUCAUGAUGGGAUUGGGCUGCACGCCGCAACGGGUACCAUACAGUGCUGAGUGAUUGAGAGUAACUGAGUGUGCUGAGUGAUUGAGCGUGAUGAGUGGGAGUGUGAGACUGUGAUAUUGAGUACUCUGAGAGUGUGAGUACAUGAGUUCAUCACUGUGACGCAUUGCACCUGACAUGAAUACUUGACAUACAUGCAUAGUGAUGCAUUUCCUCAUGUUACAUGGUUUUGUGACAUUUAUGACUUCACAUGCACAUUGAUAUGUAGGCAUAGAGAUGUACUUUCCUCAUGCUAUCUGAAAUUGAAUCAUCUUAUCUGUUGUUAAAAGUUUUUGAGAAAGAUCAAAGGUUUCUGACUUACUCAUAUUUUGGUGAUUUCGGUGAAGAAUUUAGGUUUUACUGUUAUACUUGAAAAGCAUGACUAUAUUCCGUAACUGUGAACUAGCUGAGUAUCAUAUCUCUGAGUUAUUUCUUGUACCAAUUUUAUUAUGUUGUUAUGAGCCGUUGUUGGCUAUUGGUGUUGGACUCUGACCUUUGUCCCAGCUCGUCACAACUUUCAACCUAAGGUUAGGUUUGUCACUUAUUGAGUACAUGGGGUCGGUUGUACUCAUACUACACUUCUGCACCUUGCGUGCAGAUUUUGGAUGCUGAUGUUGCUGUGUAUGGCGGGAGCUGUAGUUGAAGAUGUAAUUGCGUUCCGGUCAUAGCUGCCUCUUGUUCUUGGUAGCUUUAGAAUUUUUAAUAUGUUCAUGUAUAUUUCAAACAGAUGUAUUUAUUUCAUACUCGCUUAGUAAACUCUAAAUCUUAGAAGAUCAUGAUUUGUACUACCAGUCCUUGGAAUUUUGUAUAUAAGUUCAGUUAUUUCAUCACUUAUUUUUUCAGUAAAUCUCAUUUGAAUUGGAUUGUUGCUAAUUGCCUUACCUAGCAUGUUGGGCUAGGUGCCAUCACGACUAGUUGAAUUUUGGGUCGUGACAGAGACUUUGGAUAUGUUGAUAUAGUUGAAUUAAACUUGUGUGAAAAGUUUGAAAGUAAUCCGAAGUGUUUUAGUGUGAUUUGGACACUCUUUUGAAAGAAUGAAGAUUUAACAACUUAAGAGAAAUUGUAUUCGGUCUGAGUCUCGAUUCUUUGUUGUGAUGUUCCCGUGGGUAUUUUGAGGCUUUGCAUAAGUUUGGAUGAUAUAUUUGUACUUGUUGGUAUGAUUGGAUGGGGUCCCGAGGGCCUCGCGUGUGUUUCGGAUCAUUGGUUGAGAAACUAGUUAUGUUAAAGAUUUGAAGUUUGACCAUGGUCAAUAUCGGGUCAAGAUGACCUUUUUUCGGUGUUUUGAAUGCGCGAGCAGGUUUGUAGUGUACUUUAUGAUUGAAUUGUAUAUAUGAUUUGUGUCCGGGAGGUUUCGAAUGAGUUUUGGGUGCUAAAACAAAGAUUUUCACAUUGCUGCCUUUUUUUUUCCUGGUGUAAGUAAUUAAAAAAAUGCCAUUUAUAUCCUUGAAAUUUUCAGAUGGCUUUUAAAACUUCAAAAUAUCAUACCACCCUCAUUUUAAGCCAAAUUGGGUGAUUCAAGAGGCUAUCUUGGGUGUAAUCUCGCGAGGAUCAUGUUGGGCUUAUUAAACGUGCGUUCGGGAUCAUCUAGGACCUGAUUCGAGCUGGGACAACUGUUACAUUUUUUUCUUGUUUCAUAAUUGAAGUUGCUAUUAUUUGUCCUAUCUUUCGUUGUCAAGUUUAUUCCUACAUGCCUUAGCUAAAGUUUCUAUCACAUGUUCUAUUACAUUUUUCGAGGUUUCUCUUAUAUGCAUUUAGUGGUAGUUGUUAUACAUGCUAUUUCACCCAUUGUUGAGUUAUUCUCAUGCAUUUAUUUGUAGUUGCUAGUUCAUGCUAUCUCUUUCCUUGUCGAUCCUAAGUUAUGCAUUUGAUUUGAAGUUGUUAUUUCAUGGAAAUACCUUCAUUGUUGAGUUAUUGAAGUUGAAGUUGUUGAAAGCUAUUAACAGGGUUGUGGUUGAAAUUGUUGGUUGUUGGAAUAUCUUACUUUGUUGAGCUGUUUCUCAUUUGUUUUGUUAUUAUUGAGAUUCUUGUACACAUUGUAGUUGAGCCGUGGGCUAUGUAUUGUGGUAACCUUAUUAUUGUUGAUUUGGUAAUAUUGUGGCAUAUGGGCACGUGUGGUGCGAGUUGAUUAUUGUGUUGUGAUAUUGAUACGUAUGCGGCAGUAUAAGGAUAAGGGUUAAUGUGCAUGCGGCGACAUAAGGUGGGAUUUAUGUGCGUGUUUCUAGUAAGAAAAUUACUUGAAGCCUCACGGCGACAUAAGGGGGCUAAAGUGCGUGUAGUUAUUUUGGAAAAAAUAUUUUCAAAAAUAUCUAAAUGUAAGGCUCACACGGCGGUAUAAGGAAAGGUUGUGGUUUUGAAUUCUGAAAUGUUGAAUAUGAGGCGUGGUACCUCGAUGUGAUUUUCUUGUACAUUCUUUAUUUGAAAGGAUUAUUUUUUGAACGGUUAUUGUUUUUCCUUGAAUCAUCUCACUUGUAUUUUGAUUGUAUUUGGUUAUUGGUUGUUAUUUUUGUGUGGGAACGAUUGUGACUUCUUAUAUGAGUCAUGCAUUCUAUGUGAUUUGCUGUGUUGCUUUAAUGUGCCAACCUGUGCCUCCAUGUUACUUGAUUGUAUUUGGUUAUUUGUUGUUAUUUUUGUGUGUGAACGAUUGUGAAUUCUUAUGUGAGUCAUGCAUUCUAUGUGAUUUGCGUGUUGCUUUAGUGUGCUAACCUGUGCCUCCAUGCUACUUGGUGAAUUGAUUGUUAAGAUGAAUUUACUUGCGUGAAGUCAUCAUCUCAUACUUUGUUGAGUUGUUGGUAAUAUAACUAUUUUAGAUAAAAGAAUUAUUAACAUGCUUUAUGUUGUGUGACUCUUAAUAUAGAACUCGUUAUCUCGCUCGGUGCUUUGCUAUUUUUAAAUGAUUAUCACAUUUUACUUUAAUUGGGUUCUCAAAUUAAACUCAUUACCAUAUUUGAUGUUUUACUUUGCGUGAAAUUAUUAUCACACCUUACUUUAACAAAUUCUAUAUUUAAUUCGUUAACUUAUCUGAUAUUUUUCUUAAUUUAAAAACACUAUUUUACUUUACUUUAUUGAUUUCUAAACUAAACUCAUUUGAUACUCUAUUUUGCAUAAAUUGUACUUUACUUUAUUUGUUUUCUAAAAUAAACUCAUUAUCUCAUUCGAUGCCUUACUUUAUUGAAGAUUGUUAUUAUGCCUUAUUGUAUUUAAAUAAACCUCUCGAACAUUUUAUUUGGCAUUUGAUACGGAUACAAUGUAGAUGGUAGCACGUAGACUUUGCCAUGCAAAGUUGAUUGAUAAUGUGGGUACGAGGUGCCAUGCGUGUAAGAUUCAGAAUUGUGGCUUAUUAUUUGUGGUUACGAGGUGUGGUGCCUCGGAGUAAUUCUUGUUGUAAGUCAUGCAUUGGGAACGAUUUGAUUACUUGAAUUGUCAUCUGUUUUCCUAAUUUGAGUUCAUUCAUAUUUCAUCUGUGUUCUGAUUAUGUUGCUGCUUUAUUACCCGUUUACUUCUUGUUGCCAAUUGUGUUUCUAUUAUUCCUUUGUUGGUUUUAUAUUAAUAAUAUUUAUGCUGUUAGCCUUACAUUAACGUUCUUUGCAUUUCUAUUUUAUGUUAAUAUCUUGCACAUGUUUUAUGUGUAGUGAGUGUCUCGACUUACCUCAUCACUACUCUAUUGAGGUUAGUCUUGAUACUUACUGGGUACUGCUGUGGUGUACUCAUGAUACGCUUUUACACAUUUUUGUGCAGAUCCAGAUACUUAUGAUCUUGUUGGAUCUUGAGUGUUGUGUCUACGCGGAUGGAGACUUCAAGGUAUACCUGCUUGACGUUCGCAGGCCUUGGAGUCACCUUCGGAUAUUAUCUUUACUACUGUUUAUCUUAAUUUCAGAAUAAUAUUGUAUUUGGAAUUUCUAGUGUAAGUUAGUAGAGCUUAUGAAUAUGUACUACCGAUUUUGGGUAUUAUAUAGCAUAUGUUCAGUUUUAGUUACGUUAUCCCAUUUAUCAGUUUAAGUUUUAUAUAUUUAAGAGGGUUAUCUCUGUUAGAUCUCUUCAUGUGUUAGGCUUACCUAGUCUUAGAGACUAGGUACCAUCAUGAUUCCUAAGGUAAGAUUUUGGGUCGUAACAAGUUAUUAUCAGAGCUCUAGGUUCAUAGGUGCUACGAGUCAUAAGCAAGUUUAGUAGAGUUUUUCGGAGCUGUACGGAGACGUAUGUACUUAUCUUCGAGAGGCUACGAAACUAUUAGGAAACUCCACUUCUUUCAUUCUUUAUCAUGCGAUAUUGAUUCAGCUUGAAGAACAUAUCUUACAUUCCCUUGCAUCCACUCGUAUAGGAUAUUGCGCACUUAGUAUCAGCCAUGCACUGACGGUUUGUGAUGCUGUGGAUGGGCUACGAGAGGGUCCAUGGAUUCUCAAUCAUUGUCUCAACGUGUUGUCCAUAUUGAGGAUGGGGAUGUAUUAAUGGAUCUUUCAAUUAUUCACGUGUAGGGUGCAGCGGGGUCUGGUAUCUGGUUGAUGCUGUACGGCUUAUGAAGGUUGGUAUUGUGGAUCAUCGGAUGUUAGGUCCUAUGGCUUCGCUCCAAGUGGGGGAGUCACCUAUCAACGAUCAGAUUGCAUGGUCAUGUGUCAUAUCGAUUUUGGUGAGGUAUAUAUAUGUGGUAUUGAAGGGCUCCCAGGAAUUGUAUAUGGCUAAGAUAUGAAAUUUGCAUGGGAUAGUGCUGAGACUUGCGAUAUUUCUGCAUCAUUAUUAAUUCUACAUUUCAGUAUCAGAGAUGUUAGAUAAAAAACUUCAGAUUCACAGAAAGUCUAUUCAGAGUGGGUAUCUCGGUUGCGGCAUUAUUAGGUGUUUCAGAGGAAAUACAGUAGUUUAUGCACUUUCGAAUGAUGUGGUUCGUGCUAGGAUCUCUUGCGGUGAGCUUUGUUUUAGGAUCGUAGUGUUCCGUCAAGGAGAAGUUUUAAUUUGAAGGCAAGUCGAGAAGGAUUCGAAGAAAUGAGUCUACUUGGUGGUGUUGGGGUCAGCAUAGUAAUAAAGGUAAUUGGUUCCUUUGGUGUGGUAAUGCAUUACCGAUGUUUUGUGGUAAUACUCUUGGGUUUGACGGCUUGCGUGACUUGGUUGAGUUGGGGAAAUUCAGUUACGAUGGGUUGGUUAUUUGAGGACAGGUUUCAAAGAGUUCUUGAUAGUGUCGACCACUGCUUGAGCCAGAUUCUGCUACUGGCAUAAGGAACAUAUGGCGUGUUAUGAUCUUUUCUCCUAUAUGGGGACACACGUUCUAGAUAACAAGGACUAUUUCAGAUGCUUAAAAGGAUGCUAGUAUUAUUUGAUACCACUUGAGGAGGGUGCGCACAUCAGAAGGCGCACUGUGUUUUGACUUGCGGAUGCCUGAUUGGUAUUACGAUAAUCGCCUGGUUGAUAAAUCGUUGAUGUUCAGAUUUUGCUAAGGAUCUGAAGACUAAGAAGAUUCUCAAAGGCAUCUUAUUCCAUGGUUGCAGAUGGUGAAGGUAUGCUAAGAGGCUGGUGAUAGAUGGUAUAUGCUAUAGAUAUGUUAUUAUGGGCUUUUCGGAGGCUAUCUACCUAUUUCGAAAGGAUCGAAAUUGAUUCGGAGGCCACUGGUAGGCCUAAUGAGAAUGUGUAUUCUACAUUGGGUCAGAUUUGUUUACCCGGCACAACUGAUGUUAUUGGUGGUGUCAUCGAUUAGAGUUGAUCUUAUUCGUGUUGUGAUGUGUUCCAUGUGUUACUAUCCUAUGCUACGGUGAGUUGUGGACUAUUUGCUAGUUGCACACAUGAUGCAGUACUGUUUGGGCUUUGUGGAGGAAGUUGAGCGAGAUAGCUCCUGGGGUCUUAAAUGGUUGAUUGCGCUUAGUUGUGGUCUUCUUUUUUGUGGUGUAUAUAUAGUGAUAUCCGUUUCUCCAUGGCUAUGGUCAUGUGCCUCGCAUAUUUGUUGAAUAUUACGCAUAUGGUUAUUGAUUGUAAGACUCAUGCUUCGAGGUAUUCCAUAUGGACAGUUGUUUGGAUCGGGUAACGAAUCGAAACGGGGUUAUGUUGGGAUAUGAUCCUUUGUGCUCAUUUCGUGUGGUUUGUUUCUCAUUUGUGAGAUGGUUUCAUAAAAUUGUGCUUCGUGGUGGUAUAUGUUGAGCCGCGGGGCGGUUCUCUCAUUUGAUUCUCUUUCCAUCAUUUGGGUACAUCCGAUUUAUUGCUUGUUUGGUGUACGAAUUGCAUGGUAUAUGGCUCUAAAUAGGAACGAUGUACCAUGUUAGUAGAGUAGUUUGUAUUGGAAGAGGUGAGAUUAUUUGACCUGGAAUGAGUAUUAUCGGACUUGAUUAAGGUAUGUUGGAAGGAUAAUGUAACUAGCCGGCUUAGAUUUUUGGCUAUGGUUCUUGUCAGACAAGAGAGCUUCAUGACUUGUUGAUUUGAUUGGUGGUUAUGAGUUUCUACGUAUGUCACCCGAAAUCUGACCCAUCAUGAUGGCGCCUAUCUCAAUACUAGGCAAGCCGACAUCAACAAUAACCCACAAUUUCUUUUAAAUACGAAAAAUAUAAAAAUUAAGUUUAAGAGAAAAUCCCAUAAAUACUGGGUAAAAUAUAUUCCUAAAACCUAGUAUCACUGAGUACAUGAGCAUCUAUACGUUACAAAUAUGGAAAAACACGGUCUAUAAUAGUUUGAGGCCAAAUACAGUAAAUAGGGAGAUAGGGAAGGAGAGACAAGGUCUGCAAAAUACGGCAGCUACCUCUGAAUCUCUGAAAAAUCAACGGUGCGAAAGAAUCAACACCCACUAUGUUCGGGAUCACCUAGAUCUGCACACGGAGUGCAGGGUGUAGUAUGAGUACAACUAACUCAGUAAGUAACAAUAAUAAAUAAGAACUGAAGGUAGUGACGAGCUUCACAGCUAAGUCCAAAUACAGAAAUUUUCAACAUAAAAGGGUAGGCAUGCUCUCAAGUUCAACAUUUAAAAUUUCACAGUAAUUUCAUAUCAACUUCGACUGAAACAGAAGAAAGAUGUCUUUUAAAAAAUUUCCAAAACCGUGAUAUAUGAUAGCUGGAAUGCAGCAAUAAUAAAAGCAAUGCAUCCUCUCAGAGUGACAGUCACUCAGUCCUCCCAUUCACUCCAACCUCACAGUUAUUCUUUCCUCACAGUCACUCAUUCUUCACAAUCACUCAGCACUCGCACUCAAUAGUUACCUACGCUCACUGGGGUGUGUACAAACUCAGAGGGGUGUAAUGAUCCGACCGGUCGUUUUGAGUAUUACAGCCCCAUUCCCCCAUUUACUGCUCUAUUUGUGCUUUAUAGCGGUAUUAUGACCUAUCAGAUGAGUGAGUUUGGGUCCGGAGAGAUUUCAAACUGAAUUGAGACACUUAGUCUCAUAGUGGAAAGUUUAAGUUGGAAAAGUCGAUCGGAUAUUGAUUUAUAUGUAAACGACCUCGGAUUUGAAUUCUGAUAUUUUCAGUAGCUCCGUAUGGUGAUUUUGGAAUUAGAAACGUGUCCGGAAAAAUAUUUGGAGGUCUGUAGUGAAAUUUGGCUUGAAAUGGCAAAAAUUAAAUUUUUGGGAAGUUUGAAUGGGGGGGGGGUGACUUUUUGAUAUCGGAGUUGAAAUCCGAUUCUGGAAAUUGGAUAGCUUCAUUGUGCCAUUUAUGACUUGUGUUCAAAUUUUGAAGUCAUUCCGGCUUGAUUUGAUGUGUUUCGGCACAAGAUACAGAAUUUGAAAGUUCAAAGUUCAUAGAUUUUGAUUUGAGGUGCGAUUUAUCGUUUUGAUGUUGUUAGGUGUGAUUUGAGGCCUCGUGUAGGUCCGUAUUAUGUUAUAGGACUUGUUGGUAUGUUCGGACGGGGUCCCGAGGGGCUCGGGCGUGUUUCAGAUUGAUUUCAGAUCAUUUUUCUUCAUGUUGUUAUUGAGGGUUGUUGCUGGUUCUGGUGUGACUUUGCGCAGGUGCGAUGGUUGCAGAAGAGACAAAGGAGCCGCAGAAGCAUCCAGGGAGGCUUUGGACAGAGGCCGCAGAUGCGGACAUGCGGGCGCAGAAGCGCUUGCGCAGGAGCGGCCCAACGCGUGCAGAAGCACGACCGCAGAUGCGGUUUGCACGUCGCAGAAGCAUCCACAGUCGUAGAUGCGAGCUUCUUCCGCAGAAGCGGAGGUCGCAGAUGCGGCUAUGCUACCGCAGAUGCGGAAGACGCUGGGCAGAACCUUUAAGUUCGGGGUUUCACUAUUUUUAGCCAUUUUCGGAUUUUGGAGCUCGGUUUGGGCGAUUUUAGAGAGGAAUUUUUCCACACAACUUGGGAUAAGUGUUCUUGACUCCCUUGUAAUUAUAUUACAUAAGUUAAUCUUCAUUUUCGGUGUUAGAUUAUUGAUUUUUGAAGAGAAAUCAGAGGAGUUUUCUACAAUUUCAUAAAAUGAAAUUUUGAGAUUUGAACACCGAUUCAAAGUCAGAUUUGGGUAAAAUUAGUAUGGUUGAACUCAUAAUUUAAUGGGUUAUCGGAUUUUGUGAGUUUCGUCAGAUUCUGAUAUGUGGGCCCCACUGUCGAUUUUUCGAGCGUAGUUGGGAAUUUUCAUAAAUUGUUAAUUUGUAAUCAUUGGAGUAAAUUGUGAUUUAUUUACACGUUAUUUGAAUAGAGACAGAUCGUUUGGCUUGAAUUGAGGAGAUAGGAAGCGUUCAGAAGUUGAUACGCGCAGAAUAGAAAUUCUGGAGCAUUGUUUAGCUUGUUCGACAUUGGAUUCAGCUUGUUCGAGGUAAGUAACUCUUCUGAUCUUGGAGCUCAGGGUAUGAACCCUGACUAUACGUGUUAUGUGUUUGGUGUUGAGGUGACGCACAUGCUAGGUGACGGGCGUGUGGGCGUGCACCAUGUGAAUUGUGACUCCGUUAUUUCUGUGGUACUGUGUAGUUACGUGAACUUAUCUGUAAUCAUGAAAUCUCUACGUACUAGAGUUAUCGAGCUAUGAUUCGUAUUAUAAACCAUGGCUAGGCUACAUGCUUAUUCUGUUGGAACCCACUGAGGUCAUUAUUGUUGUUGAGUUAUUUGCUUACAUUGCAUUGUCAUACUCAGUCAUAUUCAUUCAUUGCAUAUCAUAUAUCAGUCUCUGUUGUUAUUUAUUGAUACAUCAUAUCAUCAUUGUGGGCUAGUUCAUGUCAUUAUGAGCCUGAGAGACUGGAGAGGUUGUUGACUGAGUGAGGCCGAGGGCCUGAUUUUGAGAUAUUGAUACUAUGGCACGUGAGUUGUCCGUGCGGUUUAUAGCGCUUGGGCUGAAGGAGCCCCUCAGGAGUCUGCACACAUCCCCAGUGAGCGCGGUUGAUUUAUAUUGAGGGAUUGAUCUUCCUUGGACAUGGAUCUUGUCUAAAGCAUUUAUACUUGGGGAUGGAUCUUCUUCAAGGGCUGGAUUGGCCCUACUCGGUACUGAGUGACUGAUGAUUAGUUGAUAUGUAUAUUUCGGGAUGGAUCUUCCCUGUGCCAGAUUGGCCAUAUACAGUACCGAGUGAUUGAGCAUGAUGAGUGAAAUGUGUGAGACAAUGAUAUUGAGUACUCUGAGAGUGCGAGUACAUGAGCUCAUCUCUGAGAUACAUUGCAUUGACAUGCACACAUGACAUACAUGCAUAAAGAUAUAUUUUCCUCAUGCUGUACGGUAUCACAUCAUUCGUGACUUCUCACAUAUAUUGGCCUACGGGCAUAGUGAUGCAUUUUUUCACUGGCUAUCUGGAAAGAAAAUGAAACAUCUUAUUUAUUGUUGAAAGGAUUUUUGGGAGAAUUACUGUUUUCAAACUUACUUAUAUUUUUGGCAACUUCGGUAAAUGACUUGGGAUUUUCACUGAUACACUUGAAAGGCAGAACUAUUUUCUGAUAUCAUGAUUUAGCUGAGCAUUUAUUCUUUGAGUUACUUCUUUUAUUACUUGCUUUAUGUUGUUAUGAAUUGUUGUUGGUUAUUGGAGUUGGACUCUGAUCUUGGUACACGCUCGUCAUUACUUUCAACCUAAGGUUAGGUUUGUUACUUAUUGAGUACAUGGGAUCGAUUGUACUCAUACUAUACUUCUGCACCUUGCGUGCAGAUGCUGCUGUGUUCGUUGGGAGCUGGUUCUGAAGAUGUACCUGCGUUCCGGUUGUAGCUGCCUCUUGUUCAUGGUAGCCUUAGAUUUAUAAAACUCUGUUUAUGCACUUUUCAAACAGAUGAUGUAUUUACUUCAUACCAGCUUUGUAAACUCUAUUCUUAGAAGCUCAUGAUUUGUACUACUAGUCCUUGGGGAAUAUGUAAGAUUUAGAUAUUUUCGUUUACUUAAUUGUCUUGUUAAAUUUCAUUGGAAUAGGAUAAUUGAUAACUGGCUUACCUAACGGGUUGAGUUAGGUGCCAUCACGACUAGUUGGAUUUUGAGUCGUGACAAGGGGCUCCUUCAGCCCAAGCACUAUAACAAGCCAAUAUGGCAUAAAUCAACAAAAUAUGCUACGACGUGCAGCCCGAUCCCAUAAAUAUUCUCACAAUUAGGCCCUCAGCCUCACUCAGUCAUCAACCUCUCCAGUCUCUCAGGCUCUCAGAAAUCAUGAUAAGCAGCCCAACAACAAUGAUAUGGUGAAUCAAUAAUGAAUAAGAGAGACUGAGAUGUAAUAUGCAAUUAAAAAUCGUGACUGAGUAUGAAACAACAAUUUAGCAGAUAAUUCAACAUGUACACGACCUAUAUGGGUCCCAACAAUGUCAACACAUAGUUUAAACAUGAUUUAUAGAUACAUUUCUCUAAAUACAUGGAAAAAUGUCCGGAUAUCAACAGAUUAUUCAACUACAUAGUUCCAUAGAAUUGUCCAAGUCAUAAUUCCUACGGUGCACGCCCACACGCCCGUCACCUAGCAUGUGCGUCACCUCAAACCAAUCACAUAUCACAUAUCACAUAAUCCGGGGAUUCGUAGCCUCAUGACCAAAUUUAGAACUGUUACUUAUCUCAAACCGUAUAAUUCUUUAUUCUGCUAUGCCCCUGCCUCGCGAAUUGGCCUCCAAACGCCUCGAAUCUAGCCACAAAUAAUCCGAUUCAGUCAUUAAAAUUUAUUAGAAUUAAUUUCAUAAGAAAAUACUAAUUUUCCAACAAAAUCCAAAAUUUAACUCAAAAUCGCUUGUGGGGCCCACGUCUCGGAACCCGAAAAAAGUUACAAAAUAUGAACACCAUUCAACCACGAGUCCAACGAUAUAAAUUUUACCAAAUUCUGAAAUCAACUCGACCCUCAAAUCUUCAGUUAAAGUCUUUGAAGAUUUUUACCAUUUUCAACUCAAUCUUUACCCACUUGAACUCAACAAUCUUUCCACAAACCUUAUUGGUAUGUGUAUGUAUAAAUAAUACUCUCACACCCAAGAAUCAUACUCCCAAUCACCCAUCUUUACCCAAACUCUAAAUUGAAGACUAGGGUUAGAAAUUCUUACCUCUUUGAAGCCCUAGCAAGAUCCUUGUGAAAUCUUCAAACCUUGAACAAGAAUUGAUAUACAAAUGACUAGGUCUUCACUUUCUCUCUCUAAGAUGCUCUCACCUCUCUCUAAAAUAUCAGAUGAAACCCUUCAAAAUGACCCCCAAUAGUGUUUUAUAAGAAUAGGGUCGGGUUUAUAAAACCAGAAAAAUGAAACUCCGAAACAUACUCUACGGUCGUUACACAUAAGUCAGCAUCCGGUCAACCUUUUCAACUUAAGUUCUAAACCUUGGAACUAAGUGUUCCAAAUUACUCCAAAACCUCAUCGGGCCCAAACCAAUUACCCCGGAAAGUCAAAUAACAACCGUAAACCAUCAUUUGAGCAGUAAAUGGGGAGACAGAGUUGUAAUAUUUGAAAUGACUGGCCGGGUCGUUAUAGCAUGUUUCUUUCACCAUUGGCAGUGUACGAAGAUUUGGAACAAGGUUUUUAUUAAUAAGAGGUUAGAUACCAGUAUCGGGUUUUCUAUUUGAGAAGCUAUUGUGGUCGGGAGCUAUUGCUAUAUGUAUCUAGGUUAUGUGUAAUAUCAUGUGAUUAUACUUGGGAUAUGGUUACGGCUUGAUGCAGCUUGAUUCAGACUUAUACAGUGUAUAGAUGCGAGAAUCGGGUAUUAUAAUGAAUUUCAGAAGAUCGAGAUUGGGUUCUAAGGGUUGUGAGCUAAGGUUGAGGUAAAGAUCUUUGGUAAGAUUGUGUUGUCGAACUUAUAUAGGUUGAGAUAAUAUGGGAUAACUCAUGGGUAUGUGUAUGACAAAUUUAUACAGCGAUUUGAUGGCUUUGGAACGACUCUUGGCACGUUCGAGGAUGAACGUAUGGUUAAGUGGGGGAGAAUGUAACGGUCCGAUCGGUCGUUUUUGAGCUUUAAUAUUCCAUUCAGUGGUUUGAGCCUGUGAGUACCUUCAUAUUAUGUAUUAUGACUUGCGUGUAUUAUUGGUUUCGAUUUUGAGCGGUUCGGGUUUGAUUAGGAAGAAUGGUUCUUGUUGUACAAGCUUUAAGUUAAAAGAGUUGAUCAAGGUUUGACUUUGGGUAAACAGACUCGGAAUUGGGUUUUGAUUGUUUUAAUAGAUUUGUAUUACGAUUUUGGACUUGUACGUAUGUUCGGAUUUGGUUUUGGAGGUUCCUAGAAGAAUUCGACACUAUUUGUCGAAAGUUGGCAAUUUAAAUAACUUAAGAGUUCAUAAGUUUGAGCAAGAGUUGACUUUGAUGUUAUUGGACUCCAAUUGGUAUUUCGAGACUUUGGAUAUGUCUAUAUAGUUGAAUUGAACUUGUGUACAAAGUUUGAAAGUAAUCCGAAGUGUUUAAGUGUGAUUUGGACACUCUUUUGAAAGUGAAGAUUUAACAACUUAAGAGAAAUUCUAUUUGGUUUGAGCCUCGAUUCUUUGUUGUGAUGUUCCCCUGGGGGUUUUGAGGCUUUGGAUAAGUUUGGAUGAUGUAUUUGUACUUGUUAGUAUGAUUGGAUGGGGUCCCGAGGGGCUCGGGUGUGUUUCAGAUCAUUGGUUGAGAAACUAGUUAUGCUAAAGAUUUGAAGUUUGACCACGGUCAUUAUCGGGUCAAGAUGACCUAUUUUUAGUGUUUUAAAUACGUGAGCAGGUUCGUAGUGUAUUUUAUGAUUGAAAUGCAUAUAUGGUUUGUGUCCGGGAUGUUCCGAAUGAGUUUUGGGGUGCUGAAACAAAGAUUUCCAUAUUGCUAGUUUUUUUCCUGGUGUAAGUAAUUACGAAAAUGCCAUUUAUAUCCCUGAAAUUUUCAGAUUGUUUUUAAAACUUCAAAAUAUCAUAUCUCCCUCGUUUUAAGCCAAAUUGGGUGAUUCAAGAAGCUAUCUUGGGUGUAAUAUCGCAAGGAUCCUGUGGGCUUAUUAAACGUGAGUUUUGGGAUCAUCUAGGACCUGAUUCGAGCUGGGACAACUGUUGCAUUUGUUUUUUUUAUAAUUUAGUUAGUUUUUCUCACGAGGUAUUGGAGCUCGGGUUUGGGCGAUUUUGAAGGGAAUUUUUACUACUUGGGUUGGGGUAAGUAUUUUUGACUUGAAUUUGUUAUUAUUUCAUGAUUCCAACCUUGAUUUUAGUGUUUGAUUAAUAAUUUGAUGAUUUGAAUUAGAAAAAUUGGGGAUUUGAGUAAAAACUUUCUAAAACAUAAAUUGAUGGGUUGAAGGACGAUUUGAGGUCGAAAUUGAAUGAUUUUGGUGUGGUUGGACUCGUACCGGAAUGGGUGGUCGAAUGUUUUGAGUUUUGUCACCGAGGUGGGGACCUGGGGUUGAAUUUUUGGGUUGACAUUUUGGUUUUCAUUAAAGAUCGAAGCUUUAUUAUCCAAAAUUAUUUCCUAUGGCUUUUAUUUUUGAUAUUAAGUUAUUUUGACAAGAUUCGAGCCGUUCGGAGGUUGUUUCACACAAGAAGGGCUUCUUAGAGUGUUGAUUUAGAUUCUUUGAGGUAAGUAUCUUACCUAACUUUGCGUGAGAGAAAUACCCCAUUGGAUUUAGGUUUAAUUGCUAUUUGAAUUGUGUGAAAAACGUGUAUACGAGGUGACGAAUGUGUACAUGGACUUAUAUGUGAACAAUUGGCCGAUUCAGACUCUUAGGUCACUUAUAUGCAUUUAAUUUAAGUUGAUAUUAUUUGUCCUAUCUUUCGUAGUCAAGUUUAUUCUUACAUGCCUUAGCUAAAGUUGCUAUCACAUGUUCUAUUUCAUUUGUCGAGGUUACUCUUAUAUGCAUUUAGUGGUAGCUGUUAUACAUGCUAUUUCACCUAUUGUUGAGUUAUUCUCAUGGAUUUAUUUGUAGUUUCUAGUUAGUGUUAUCUCUUUCCUUGUCGAGCCUAUCACGACCCAAUCCCACUAUAGGUCGUGAUGGCACCCAACAUUACCAUUAGGCAAGCUAAUGGUGAACUACCAACUCAAUUAUUCAUUUUAUUACUUUUGAAAUCAAAAGUUUUAUUAAAUAAAGAAUUUAAUAUAUUUGAAAUCAUGGAUACAUACAAUAUUAGUAAGAUAUUAAAAAAAAAUGACGAUAAUAAAGCAAAACCAUUAAUAUCAACUAGAAUAUCCCCAAAUCCGGUAUCACAAGUGUAUGAGCAUCUACUAGGAAGUGCAAUAACAAUACAACAUCUGUCUAGAAUACAAGAGAGACAGGAUAAAGUAAAUAAUUAUGAUGGAGACUCUGUGUGCUGCGAGUCGUAGGAUGGAGUAGAACUCACCAUAAAGUCCCCUCAGUAGCUGUGCCUACGCGCCCAAUGACCACCAAAUGUACCUGUCAGAUCCUGCACAUUUAGUUCAGAAGUGCAACAUGAGUACGCAAAUCAACACAUACUCAGUAAGUAUCUAGACUAACCCCGGAGAAGUAGUGACGAGGGGUCGAUAUCGACACUUACUAGUGGUCCAAUAAAAUAAUAUAAUAGAUUAUGAACAGGUAUGAAACACAACAAUAACCAUGAGGUAAAAACUGUAACCCACAUAAUUCUCCAAUAUUUCUUUUGACAAUAUAAAUCUCUCGAAUGCCGUAUGCUAUCUCAACAUAUCCAAAAUAUCAAAUGCAAUCCCAAACGGAUAAGGGAUACCAUAUAAAUGACAAGUCUUAAUGAAAGGGGCAUCUCACGAAUAUUCGAACUCCUAGCGGUAUUACACAUGAUUAUGCCGAGGUCAUACGGCCCGAUCCGGAGUAGUGUGUACAUUUUCGAGGGUCGAUCGGUACGAACCAAAGAUGCAUCGGCAAUCGUCCUGAUCUACAGGAAAGGAAGAAACUUAUCGAAUUACGAGUCACAUGCUUACAACACAGGUACAUGAGCAUAAAGUAAAUAUAACUUUUACCGUUUAUCAAAUAUCUUGCAAAACAACUCAAGAUGAUAAAGCAUAGUCUAAUAUAUUACCAAAUAAAUCUCAAUUAUAACUUCAAUUAAUUAAGCAAGCAAUUGAGUUCAAAUAAUUCGAAUAUUACAUGAUAAAGUCCUAAGUCUACCCGAACAUAAACAUGCUUUAGCUACGUACGGACUCUCGUCAUCUCGUGCGUAUGUAGCACCCACAACUAGUAGCACAUAACAAUUUGAUACCUACGGGGUAGUUUCUCCUCACAAGAUUAGACAGGAGACUUUCCUCGCUCCAAAAUUCCAAUAACCGGCUCCAAUGUCUCUCUAACUCCUCAAUUCAAAACCAAACGAUCCGAAACUAGUCAAACUGUCACGACCCAAAACUCACUAUAGGCCAUGAUGGCACCCAACGUCGCCGUUAGGCAAGCCAACGGUGAACUUCCAACUUGAUUAUGCAUUUUAUUAUUUUCGAAAUCGUGCAUUUUAUUAGAUGAAGAAAUCAACGCAUUAAAAUCAUGGAAACUUACACUUUAAAUAGAAUAGCUAAUAAAAGUGUAUAAAUGCUAAGUAAAAUCACCACAACAUCUAGAACAUCCCAAAAUCAGGUGUCACAAGUGCAUGAGUAUCUACUAAGGAGUACAAUAAUAAUACAACAUCCGUCUGGAAUACAAGUUAGACAGAAGAAUAUAAAUAACUCUGAUGGAGACUCUGUAUGUUACUGAUCGUAACAUGGAAUGCAGCUCACCGUAAAAUCCCCGCAUUAGCCGCGCCUCUGCGCCCAGAGGACCACCGGAAACAUAUAUAUACCUGCACAAUAAGUGCAACAAGUGUAGCAUGAGUACGUAAAUCAAUACGUACCCAGUAAAUGUCUAGCCUAACCCCAGAGAAGUAGUGACGAAGGGUCGACAUCGACACUUACUAGUGGUCCAAUAAGACAAGUACAGUAAGAUGUAAAAAAAUAUGGGGCGGAGUAGAUAAGCGGUAUGAAAUAUAAAUACGAGGUACAAUCCUCCUCUGAACGGUAAACGCAAGCUCUUACUAAGAAGUUACCUCCUCAACCAAAGUAUAUCUAGAAUGGACCUCACCAGAUAGGUCAUCACAACUCAAAUCAGGAAACAAAUAAUACACGAAUGUGUUGGUUUCUUGUCAGAUAUUACGUACGACACUGCCGAGGUGAACAACCCGAUCCACAAGAGUGUUUUAUAGAAAUGUUGCGGCGAACGACCCGAUCCCAUCAUACUGUGUGCACUGCCGAGGGUCGAAUGACACAAACCAUAGAUGCAUCUAUUAUACUGCCGAGGUGAAUGACCCACUCCCAUAAGAGUGUGGUACAUAAUCUUGCCGAGGCAAAUGGCCCGAUCCCAUUAGAAUGAGAAGCUUUAACGGGUCAUUGACCCCACUUAUGAAUAAACGUGUGAGUAAUGAAUUUUUAAGGAAAACCUUUCGAUGAAAACACAUAUCGCGGGAGAAAUCCGUAAGAGGAGCACAAUUAUUCCGCGGCUAAUCAUGAAGCUCGCCAAAUCUCUACAAUAGCAAGUCUAUCAACUACGCAAGUCUAGUCUAAAGUCGUAACGUAAAAUAAAGGAAUUUAAUAGGCAAGGGAUAACUCAAACAGUACAGUUAUAGCAUGACGGGAACCUAAGUCUACCCUGACAUAACAUGAAUCUAGCUACGUACGGACUCUCGUCACCUCAUGUGUACAUAGCCCUCGCAACAAGUAGCACAUAUCAAAUACAUCACCUAGGGGUAGUUUCCCCCUCACAAAGUUAGACAGGAGACUUACCUCGCUCCGAAGUUCCAUAACCGGCUCCAACGCCACUCAAACACCUCAAACCGAUGCUUGUUUCUCCAAAACUAGUCAAACAAUGUGCAAAUCCAUAAAUAUAUACUCUAUUACUUAGAAUUAAUCAAUUCAUAACAAUUCCUAACUCCGCUCGAAAAGUCGAUAAAGUCAACCCUUAGACCCGCAUGUCCGAAUUUCAAAAUUUUUCGAAGAUAAACAUUACCCAUAACAUUACGAACUCAAAUAUAUAAUUUAUUCCUAAUUCCAUGUCCAAUUUUGUAAUAAAAAUCCAAAAUACCAAAUUCUAGGUUUCUUUCAAAAUCCCCAAAUUUUUACUAAUUUCCAUGUUAAAAUUCCAUAUGAAAUCCUUGAAAUUAACUUACAAUACGUGGGAAGUACUUACCUUGUAAUAGACGAUGAGAAUCCCCUCUUCAAGAGCUCCAAAUAUCGCCCAAACCAAAUAAAAAUAUGGGGGAAAUGGGCUAAGCCUCGAAUUAAAAGCACCCCACUGCCCAGUGACUUUCGCAUCUACGGUCCAAUAGCCACUUCUUCGGCUCCGCUCCUGCGGAAAACCAUCGCAGGUGCGGCUCCGGCUCAAGCCAGCAUCCUCUGCUUUUGCGGCCCAAAUAGCGCAUCUGCGCUUUCGCUUCUGCGGACAACAAGUGCUUCUGCGCUCACCCACCUGCGUGACAAAGACCGCUCCUGCGUCCCCAGGCCUUCUUGGCCAAUUCCGCUUUUGCGAUCUCCUCUCCACAUCUGCGACCUUGCAGGUGUGGAAUAUUCCUCGCACCUGCGCUCCCCGGUCCCGUCCACAAAUUUCGCACGCUCGAAAAGUCAACAAAGUCAUCCCUCGGGACCACAUGCCUGGAUUACGAAACGUUUUGAAAAUAAACAUUACCCAUAACCCCACGAACCCAAAUAUAUAAUUUAUUCCUAAUUCCAUGUCCAAUUUUAUGGUUAAAAUCCAAAAAUACUAAAUUCUGUAUUUUUUCCUAAAAUCCCACAAUUUUCAUAAAGUUUUAUGUUUAAAUCCAUAUAUAAUCCAUGUAUUUAACUUACAACAAGUGGGAAUAACUUUCCUUACGAUAGAUGAUGAAAAUUGCCUCUUCAAGAGCAUCAACAGUCGCCCAACCAAGUGAAAAUGUGAGAGGAAUUGGCUAAGUCCCGAAAUAAAAGCUCACUUCUGCUUAGCGAUUAUCGCAUCUGCGGUCCAAAAGGUCGCACCUGCGACAACGCUCUUGCGGACAAACCAUCACAGGUGCGGAAGUUCAUUUAACUCCGACCAUGCGCACUUGCGGCCCAAAAUUCGCUCCUGCGGGACUGCUUAUGACAUUCAAAACCCCGUGCUUGCGCACAUGUAACGACAGAGCCCUUCUGCUUCUGUGACUCUAGCCCGUCCGAUUCAUUUCUGCUUCUGCGGAAUGUUCCUCGUAUCUGCGGACUCGCAGAUGCGGAGAUUACCUCGCAUCUACACCUUCCCAGGUCCAGUGAAACUGUGCUUCUGCUACCACUGGACCACUUCUUCGGUCUCGCACCUGAGGCAAAUUCCUCGCAAGUGAGAUUACACCAGACUUGAAGCCAUCAGCACUACCUCCAAGUGCAAACAUGCUACGCCAACCGUCUGAAUCAUUCCCGAGCCCCCGGGACACCAUCCUAAUACACCAACCCGGCCUAAAUCACCUUACGAACUUACUCGAAGCCUCAAAUCAUAUCAAACAACAUUAAAACUAUGAAUAGACAAUCAAAAUCCUUCUUUAAACUUUCCUACAUUUAAACUUCGCCGAAUGCGUCCGAAUCACACUUAAACGUUCCAUAAUUGACGCCAAACUUUACGUGCAAGUCACAAAUCAUGUUAUGAACCUAUUCCAAUUCUCAAAACUCCAAACAGACAUCAAUAACACCAAAGUCCACUUCAAAUCAAACUUUGGAACUUCUAAUACCUUCGAAAUGCCAACUUUUUACAUUGAGCGCCGAAAUGCUCCCGAGCUAUCCGAUACUCAACCCAAACAUACUUCCAAGUAUAAAAUUAUUAUAUGAACCUAUUAGAACCUUUAAAUCCCGAUUUCGAGGUCGUUUUCUCAAAAGUCAAAACUUGGUCAACACUUUCAACUUAAAGCUUCUGAAUUGAGAAGUUUCCUUCUGAAUCAACUCCAAACUUCCCGAAAUUCAAUUUCGACCACACGUACAAGUCAUAAAAUAUAAAGUGAAGCUGCUCAAGGCCUUAAAAUUCCAAGCGACACACUAGAUCUCAAAACAACCGGUUGGGUCAUUACAAAGCCUAAGUUAUGCAUUUGAUUUGAAGUUGCUAUUUCAUGGAAAUACCUUUAUUGUUGAAUUAUUGAAGUUGUAGUUGUUGAAAGCUAUUAACACGGUUGUGGUUGUUGGUUGUUGGAAUAUUACCUUGUUGAGAUAUUUCUCAUUUGUUUUGUUAUUAUUGAGAUUCUUGUACACAUUGUGGUUGAGCCGUAGGCUAUGUGUUGUGGUAACCUUAUUAUUAUUGAUUUGGUAAUGUUGUGGCAUAUGGGCAUGUGUGGUGCGAUUUGAUUAUUGUGUUGUGAUAUUGAUGCAUAUGCAGCGGUAUAAGGAUAGGGUUUAAUGUGCAUGCGGCGACAUAAGGUGGGAUUUAUGUGCGUGUUGCUAGUAAGAGAAUUACUUGAAGCCAAGCGACGACAUAAGGGGGUUAAAGUGCGUGUAGCUAUUUCGGAAAAAAUAUUUUCAAAAAUAUCUAAAUGUAAAGCUCACACGGAGGUAUAAGGAAAGGUUGUGGUUUUGAAUUGUGAAAUAUUGAUGUGAAAGGUGGUGCCUCGGUGUGAUUUUCUUGUACAUUCUUUAUUUGAAAGGCUUGUUGAUUUGAACGGUUAUUGUUUUUCCUUAAAUUAUCUCACUUGUAUUUUUAUUGUAUUUGGUUAUUUGUUGUUAUUUUUGUGUGGGAAAGAUCUGUCACGCCCCGAACAUGGGGGGCGAGACCGUCACCCGGUGCCUCACCUAUCCUUGCGUACCAACUUGNNNNNNNNNNNNNNNNNNNNNNNNNNNNNNNNNNNNNNNNNNNNNNNNNNNNNNNNNNNNNNNNNNNNNNNNNNNNNNNNNNNNNNNNNNNNNNNNNNNNNNNNNNNNNNNNNNNNNNNNNNNNNNNNNNNNNNNNNNNNNNNNNNNNNNNNNNNNNNNNNNNNNNNNNNNNNNNNNNNNNNNNNNNNNNNNNNNNNNNNNNNNNNNNNNNNNNNNNNNNNNNNNNNNNNNNNNNNNNNNNNNNNNNNNNNNNNNNNNNNNNNNNNNNNNNNNNNNNNNNNNNNNNNNNNNNNNNNNNNNNNNNNNNNNNNNNNNNNNNNNNNNNNNNNNNNNNNNNNNNNNNNNNNNNNNNNNNNNNNNNNNNNNNNNNNNNNNNNNNNNNNNNNNNNNNNNNNNNNNNNNNNNNNNNNNNNNNNNNNNNNNNNNNNNNNNNNNNNNNNNNNNNNNNNNNNNNNNNNNNNNNNNNNNNNNNNNNNNNNNNNNNNNNNNNNNNNNNNNNNNNNNNNNNNNNNNNNNNNNNNNNNNNNNNNNNNNNNNNNNNNNNNNNNNNNNNNNNNNNNNNNNNNNNNNNNNNNNNNNNNNNNNNNNNNNNNNNNNNNNNNNNNNNNNNNNNNNNNNNNNNNNNNNNNNNNNNNNNNNNNNNNNNNNNNNNNNNNNNNNNNNNNNNNNNNNNNNNNNNNNNNNNNNNNNNNNNNNNNNNNNNNNNNNNNNNNNNNNNNNNNNNNNNNNNNNNNNNNNNNNNNNNNNNNNNNNNNNNNNNNNNNNNNNNNNNNNNNNNNNNNNNNNNNNNNNNNNNNNNNNNNNNNNNNNNNNNNNNNNNNNNNNNNNNNNNNNNNNNNNNNNNNNNNNNNNNNNNNNNNNNNNNNNNNNNNNNNNNNNNNNNNNNNNNNNNNNNNNNNNNNNNNNNNNNNNNNNNNNNNNNNNNNNNNNNNNNNNNNNNNNNNNNNNNNNNNNNNNNNNNNNNNNNNNNNNNNNNNNNNNNNNNNNNNNNNNNNNNNNNNNNNNNNNNNNNNNNNNNNNNNNNNNNNNNNNNNNNNNNNNNNNNNNNNNNNNNNNNNNNNNNNNNNNNNNNNNNNNNNNNNNNNNNNNNNNNNNNNNNNNNNNNNNNNNNNNNNNNNNNNNNNNNNNNNNNNNNNNNNNNNNNNNNNNNNNNNNNNNNNNNNNNNNNNNNNNNNNNNNNNNNNNNNNNNNNNNNNNNNNNNNNNNNNNNNNNNNNNNNNNNNNNNNNNNNNNNNNNNNNNNNNNNNNNNNNNNNNNNNNNNNNNNNNNNNNNNNNNNNNNNNNNNNNNNNNNNNNNNNNNNNNNNNNNNNNNNNNNNNNNNNNNNNNNNNNNNNNNNNNNNNNNNNNNNNNNNNNNNNNNNNNNNNNNNNNNNNNNNNNNNNNNNNNNNNNNNNNNNNNNNNNNNNNNNNNNNNNNNNNNNNNNNNNNNNNNNNNNNNNNNNNNNNNNNNNNNNNNNNNNNNNNNNNNNNNNNNNNNNNNNNNNNNNNNNNNNNNNNNNNNNNNNNNNNNNNNNNNNNNNNNNNNNNNNNNNNNNNNNNNNNNNNNNNNNNNNNNNNNNNNNNNNNNNNNNNNNNNNNNNNNNNNNNNNNNNNNNNNNNNNNNNNNNNNNNNNNNNNNNNNNNNNNNNNNNNNNNNNNNNNNNNNNNNNNNNNNNNNNNNNNNNNNNNNNNNNNNNNNNNNNNNNNNNNNNNNNNNNNNNNNNNNNNNNNNNNNNNNNNNNNNNNNNNNNNNNNNNNNNNNNNNNNNNNNNNNNNNNNNNNNNNNNNNNNNNNNNNNNNNNNNNNNNNNNNNNNNNNNNNNNNNNNNNNNNNNNNNNNNNNNNNNNNNNNNNNNNNNNNNNNNNNNNNNNNNNNNNNNNNNNNNNNNNNNNNNNNNNNNNNNNNNNNNNNNNNNNNNNNNNNNNNNNNNNNNNNNNNNNNNNNNNNNNNNNNNNNNNNNNNNNNNNNNNNNNNNNNNNNNNNNNNNNNNNNNNNNNGGGCUCACUCAUAGGCGGUCGACCACAGUAGGGUCGGUAUAUAACUUACCAUCUGAUCAGAGGUUGCCCAAUAUGGGCUUGCCCACCGAUUAUAGCUCCAUAGUGGUGAAAAUACUAUAAUACUGUAUAUAUAUAUAUAUAUAUAUAUAUAUAUAGACCCUCCGCUCUCUUGACUGGAAGAAGACAAUACUCAAUUGAAUAUGAAGUCUCGAUAAGGGAGAAUACUGUAACUUAUAAGACUAGGAUAAUGUAUAUAAAUUCGGGAGUAUGAACUUCUCUUUAUGUCUCGUUAUCAAACACAUGUAAUUACGAGAUCAUGCCAAAAUGAAGGAAAGGUUUAGCCUUAACAUACCUGAGCCGAUUCUCUUGACAAUCCAUCUAAUACACGCCAAUUGCGACAAAACACGUAACAGCGGAUCGAAGUAGGGAAAUAUCCGUAUCAUAUUCUUGAGAAAGAUUGCAUCGUACUUCCUUAGAAUCGCAAAAUCUCACGUUGCUAAGUAUUAAGUAGUCUUGUAUGAGAUUUGAUUCUAGAAAAUCCCGUAUGUAAUUCGUAUGGAAUUAUAAACGAUUUUGACAAUUCACCAGCUCCAACCAUUGUCAAAUCACAUAUGAAAUCUUUCUGAAAUGUAUGCUUGCAUCUUCUAAUCUUAAGGGGAUAGGCAAACAUUAGCUUGCAUGUGUUGAGAGAAAUGGAUAUUAUUAUGCAAACUUUUAUUAGAAGGCUAAAGAGAAUAUGAAUCACUUUGUAUGCUUUAACAAUGUGACACCUUGUUACAUAGUAUAUGAGUCACUUAUUGGAUUUAUUAUCCACUUCAUGGGCUGCCACGUUGGUGCCUUUAACCUUAUCCAAAUAAUUCACCUUUUCCUUAAUUAACUCAUUAAUCCCCCCACUAAUCCAAUAAUUAAAUUAUUACCCACAUAAAUAAGAAUUAUCUCCAAUUACUUAAAAUACUACUUACUUUUGACACACUUUAUAUACCUUACUAUCAUGGUCAUAUGGUACCUUGUAUGGUACUAGUCCAUAAAUACCGGGUAUUGUAGCUCGGACCGUAUUUUAUCCCAAAUUAUCAAACUUCGACGAAUCUCAUUUUCUUCGAUUUGCUUACCCUCUCACCUUCACGAAUUUACUUAUCCCUUAUUUGAAAUAGCAUCAUACUUAUAAUCCCAAGAUAAUCUCAUUCCCGAGCUUUCGUCGAUUAACUUACGACGAAACUUUAACGUACAAAAAUGCGGGAUGUAACAUCUCAUUUUCGAGCUUUCAUCAAUUUAUUUAUGGCAUACUUUCACGUACAAAAAUAUUGGGAGUAACAUCAUUCCCCCCUUUGGAACAUUCGUCCUCGAAUGUUGACUGAUGCACUUAUCAUUUUCAUAACCUAUGUCUUCUGAAUACUCUAGUACUUUCCUUGCCAUCUAGGAAACUGUUCUGUGAAUAAUUCCAAAGGCCAAGGAAUUCCCCCCUUUAGGCCUCUUUCUCACACCACGACUUGUGGUCGGAAUACUUCUAAUCUCGUAACUGUUGCUGCCUUCUAUCAUGCAGCUUGUACGACUUUUUUUUUCUUGCAUGUGCACAUAUGCGACUCUUCCCUUUAGCUUUUAGCUAAUCUCUAGGCCUCACUUUGGGAACAUAUACAGAACUUGACAAUGUCCCUCUGGAAAUCUAUAGGUAUACUGAAGUUCUUCGCUCGGUACUUUGUCGAACUUACGAAUAUUGCUAUACCUUAUUUCAUAGAUCCUUUUAUCCAUCCGUAUGACUUUACUGCAUCUAGGUAGGUCAUACUAUACUGUAACUCUUACUUCGAUUUAUCGUUACUGAUAUCUACUACCUAACUCCAGGUUACUCUCGUUGCUUAUCUUUAAGACUGAUGGCCUAAUCUCAUCUCAUACUUUGUAAAUUUUAUCCAUCCAUUGUUGAUUCACCUCAAUAUUGAUCUACAAUCUACCACUGAUAACUUGAAACCUCUUACAUAAUCACUAGGGCUCACGUUGCAUCAUGGAAUAUUUGAAGUGAUUUUCCUGAUCCGCAUGCGGGCGAUACGAUACUAUACUUCCAUAAUUGUAUUUCAUAGCAUCCCAAUAUGAUUCUCUUUACGUGGGUAUUUUAAUUCUGUACAAUUCAUGAAAUCCCCUUUUUUUUCCUUCAAAUUAUUACUCAAUAGAAGGCCCAAACGUCAUCCUUUAUCUAUCACAAUCACACCCUCAUUCUGCUACCAGGGCAGCAUUCCAUCUGUUCUAAUGCUACUGGUCUUAGACUCAUUUGAGUUCAUUCAGGCUAUACUGAGCUUUCUAUAACUUAGAGAACCAUCAGCUCUCUUGUUUCCAUGGGCUUAAUCCCGAGGACUUAUCCAUUCUCGUCACCUUCUCACUCGUCCUUUCUUAUCCUUACUCCUGCCUUCCAAAAACUUUCUCGCUCUACCAUACUUUAGCUUGCGAUUUACACAUAUCCAUUUAUACUACUCGCAACCUUCCUUCAACUUGCUUUCCCCAAAGAUUUCCUUAUGUUAUUUUGGAACAUCAAACGAGGGAUCACAUCAUCUCUAACUCUUCUUUACUUUCUUGAUUAGGCCUCUUGAUACCUAGAAACCAUAGACUGGAAGAUAUGCCACUGUCGACGCCGCUAUCAUUCCUGGAUACCGGAUCUCUGCGCUUCUGGCCUUCUAUCUGAAGUAUGGACUAUUCGCAACCUUAUGCAUUUGAGUAGCUCGUACGUUGUUCACCUUUACCUUACUUACCUUAAAAUCUUACAUCACAUCUUCUAUCUCUUUUCAUGACCUCCAUUCCACAUAGGUUACUUCAUAUCCACAACUUGAAGCUCUUAUUAUAAUACUCGCACCUCUGGGGCAAUAAUCCGGUGGGAGCUUCAUAAUGAAUUCUUAUGAGGCUGGUACUCUUCUAACUGACUUUAUUGUAGAGCCAUUAUAGAAUAUGGCUGUCGUACUAUCUCUCUUAUACCUAUGAUAUUAAGAGUGAUUCUGCUAUGUUCUUAAUCACGAUUUCUAUAAUUUUCUGGGUUCAAUAAUCAGAUUCCUGAUUUUUUUUUAUUGAUGUAGCUCUUUUGUUUCCUCUUCCUCUGAUCAGCCUUCAUGUAGGCUUAAGCUAUCUUCCGAUCUGCGGCUCCUAGGAUUAGUUAUUACUUUAGCCUUUAAUGGGCGCUAUGGAAUAUCCAUGAUACAAUCUUCUAACAAUUCAAUCCUUUGUCUAUGCCCUGGGCUAAAUUCUUUCUUUUAAUUUAUACCGAAGUCUUCUAUGACUGUAUGAAUGUCAACAUAUAUGCUGCAUGGAUAAUACUCCUAACUUUUAAGUGCGUUCAUAACAUAACUAACUCAGGACCAUCGAUCGAAUAAUCCUUUUCGUUCCUUCUCAGCUUUCUUCAAACGUAAGCAAUUACUUUUCCUGGUCUUUCUGCCCCCUUGUUGCGUGCAUACCUAGCUUAUCUUAGUUUCCACGCAUGACGGAAUUUUCGUGCAACUCACAUGAUCUUGAAUAUUACUUUUGACUUUACUUCCCGUUCAUUAGCCACGACAGGUGCCACUUUCUCAUGGAGUGCAUACAAAGUUGUAGUGAGACUGUUUUUACAUGACCAUCUAUUCUUUAUGUUACUAUGCUUAGGUUGAAGCCUUCUUCCUUAUUUCCUCAGCUAGUCUUUCAUUGUAGUACUUAGGGAGGACCCCCGAUUCUUGCAAAGCUGCGAGCUUACUACCUUGUUUACCCGACUGAAUUUUUGAUGUUCUUUAUUACUUGUAAUUAUCCUUACGUACUUUCCUCUAUGCCCUUGUGCUCGUAGGGUUGCUUUUGAACUUAAAUUUUGAAUGUUUCCCAGUGGCACUCUCUUUUAUUUCUGUAACACUCAUAUUGCACAUUUUUAACCACCCAACUCCUAUCUGAAUAUUUCUCAAGGAUCACGAUGUCAUAACUGUGAGGCUGAAUUCACUAUAUUGGGUUUACUAUAUUUAUCUUGCACGAUCUGUUGAUUUGUCUGUAUCCUCUUGUCUAGCCAUAUCUAGGCUCUUCCUGAAUCAACUACUAACUACUAGUUGGCCCAUUCUCAUAAAUAUAUUCUGCGUAAUCCCUCUUGGGUUAUUUUCUUUGUCUUAACUUACCUCUUGCACUAGCUCCUUAUGUCUCAAGUGUUCAUUCACACUUAUUUAUCAAUAACAUCCUGGGGGAAACCCUUACCGCCUCUCCCCGACGUUGUACUUGCAUUAUGUUCUGGAGUCGUAGCAUAUCUGUAGGAUAUUUUGCCUUUUCAUCUGGUUCUUCGGGUUGCCUAACAUUCUUUCUCUACUAGGGACGAGAGCCAUACUAAGGUAAUAUUUAUCCCUUCCAGGAUUCCAAUACCUAUCUUUGUAGUACUCAUAUCUAGCUGUACUAUUUUAGAGUGCACCAUCUGGGUGUCUCAUAAGGAGAUCUAUUAGCAUAUCUGCAAUAUCUUUUGGAAAUGUCAGCUAACGCAAACAAUCCAUCCAUCAUUUUGGGUUACUCUAACCCCAAUCGGAUCCUGAUAUUCUGUCAUUCUCUUAAACUAUAUUUGUUAGCUCCCAUAGGGCAUAACUUAGAUCGGUGUGGCCAAUUGUACAUACCUCUGUUACUGUUGAAGAUAACUCAUAAUGCUUAUAUCUCUCUUCCUGAAUGGUAAAUAAUGAUAAUCUUUACUAACUGGGUACCUCGUACCCUUCUUCAUCUUGCUUCUUUUACUUGUUGAAAUUUGUAUCUAUCUUUGGAAUCUCUCAUUGCCUUUCACCAUAGGGGUGGAUAAAUAUUCUUGCCUUAAGGCUCCUUAUCAAGAGGCUUACACGUCUUAGUACACACAUGAUCUACUGAAGACCUUACAUAUAUCCAUCAUAGGAAUGAUGCAAACUCGAGUUCCUCUGACUCAACUCUUCCACAGCCACAUUCAAUCCCUUACCAAACGUCUUUCUAGAUGUAGGCAUCGUCGUAUGAAUAAGAUAGAGUUUAGGAAAUUGAGUUCUUACAACUAAGCUCUACCACACGAUCUAGAGUAAGAAGAAAGAGUGACAGUCCUAAAUGCCCUGUAGCCUCCUGCUUAUAAGUGUGGUGCACAACAUACCCAUAAACAAGACUCUACUAGACACGGCUUGUAGACUCUCUAGGAUAGAACUGCUCUGAUACCACUUCUGUCACGUUCCGAACAUGGGGGACGAGACCGGCACCCGGUGCCUCACCUAUCCUUGCGUACCAACUUGCGACUAAGGGACUCUGAACAUAUAAUGUCAUAUUUUGGCCAUGGGGCCACAUUGCUAUAUAGUUGUGAAGCAAAAUAUAAAACUGAACGGAAACUAACGCUGACUAAACAUCAAUAUAAAGCUGGCCGACUAGACCGUCAUAACUACUACAGCUGGCAAACCAACAAAAUAUACAUACAAGGCCUACAAGCCCAACAUACUGCACUAAGUGACAUGAUAUGUCUACAAGCCUCAACUGAUGGAUGUACUAUGAUCGGAACAGGGCCCCGACCUACCUAUAACAUAUAUACAUAUAUACACCAGAUGUACAUAAAACUCUAGACCUGGCAACUCCGAAGGAUGUGGAGCUUACCGAUCAAGCUAAACUCGGGAAACACCUACUGAGGAGGUCUACCCGUCUAUCUGUCUGAACCUGCACUCAUGAAAUGCACCGUCCCCGGCAAAAGGGAUGUUAGUACGAAAUAAUAUACAGAGUAUGUAAGGCAACAUAAUAACUGAAAGCUGAAAGUGAACUGAUAAUAUAAUAACUGUAAGUAACUAGGAGUCAAAGGUAAUCUGAAGAUAUGCUUAUCUGCUGAUACUGACUCAACUCUCUCAAUAUAGUAAGUAAAAUAGCUGUCCGGCCUUAUAAGGCUCGGUGUGUAUAUAUAUAUAUAUGCUCUGCCGUAGUAGGCUCGCUCAUAGGUGCUCGGCCAUACUAGGCUCUGUAUCUCGGCCAUUCUGGGCUCGCUCAUAAGCGCUUGGCCAUAGUAGGCUCGGUAUAUAACUUACUAUCUGAUCAGAGGUUGCCCAAUAGGGGCUUGCCCAACCGAUAAUAGCUUGAUGGUGGUGAAAAUACUGUAAUACUGUAUACAUAUAUAUAGACCCUCCGCUCUCUUGACUGGAAGAAGACAAUACUCAAUUAAAUAUGAAAUCCCGAUAAGGGAGAAUACUGUAACUUAUGAGACUAGGAUAAUGUAUAUAAAUUCGGGAGUAUGAACUUCUCUUUAUGCCUCGUUAUCAAACACAUAUAAUUACGAGAUCAUGCCAAAAUGAAGGAAAGGUUUAGCCUUAACAUACCUGAGCUGAUUCUCUUGACAAUCCAUCUACUACACGCCAAUUGCGACAAAACACGUAAUGACGGAUCGAAGUAGAAAAAAAUCCGUAUGAUAUUCUUGAGAAAGAUUGCACCGUACCUCCUUAGAGUCGCAAAAUCUCACGUUGCUAAGUAUUAAGUAGUCUUGUAUGAGAUUUGAUUCUAGAAAAUCCCGUAUGUAAUUCGUAUGGAAUUAUAAACGAUUUUGACAAUUCACCAGCUCCAACCAUUAUCAAAUCACAUAUGAAAUCUUUCUGAAAUGUAUGCUUGCAUCUUCUAAUCUUAAGGGGAUAGGCAAACAUUAGCUUGCAUGUGUUGAAAGAAAUGGAUAAUAUUAUGCAAACUUUUAUCAGAAGGCUAAAGAGAAUGUGAAUCACUUUGUAUGCUUUAACAAUGUGACACCUUGUUACAUAGUAUAUGAGUCACUUAUUGGAUUUAUUAUCCACUUCAUGGGCUGCCACGUUGGUGCCUUUAACCUUAUCCAAAUAAUUUACCUUUUCCUUAAUUAACUCAUUAACCCCCCACUAAUCUAAUAAUUUAUCAAUUACCCACGUAAUUAAGAAUUAUCUCAAAUUAUUUAAAAUACUACUUACUUUUAACACACUUUGUACACUUUACUAUUAUGGUCAUAUGGUACCUUAUAUGGUACUAGUUCAUAAAUACCGGGUAUUGUAGCUCGGACCGUAUUUUAUCCCAAAUUAUCAAAUUUCGACGAAACUCAUUUUCUUCGAUUUGCUUACCCUCUCACCUUCAUGAAUUUACUUAUCCCUUAUUUGAAAUAUCAUCAUACUUAUAAUCCCAAGAUAAUCUCAUUCCCGAGCUUACGUCGAUUAACUUACGAUGAAACUUUAACGUACAAAAAUACAGGAUGUAACAUCUCAUUUUCGAGCUUUCAUCAAUUUAUUUAUAGCAUACUUUUACGUACGAAAAUAUGGGGUGCAACAAGAUUGUGACUUCUUAUGUGAGUCAUGCAUUCUACGUGAUUUGCUGUGUUGCUUUAAUGUGCCAACCUGUGCCUCCGUGUUACUUGGCGAAUUGAAUUUUAAGAUGAAUUUACUUGCGUGAAGUCAUGAUCUCAUACUCUGUUGAGUUUUUGGUAAUAUAACUAUUUUAAAUAAAAGAAUUAUUAACAUGCUUUAUUUUGUGUGACUUUUAAUAUAGAACUCGUUAUCUCACUCGGUGUUUUGCUAUUUUUAAAUGAUUAUCACAUUUUACUUUAAUUGGGUUCUCAAAUUAAACUCAUUACCCUAUUUGAUAUUUUACUUUACAUGAAAUUGUUAUCACGCCUUACUUUAAUAAAUUUAAUAUUUAAUUCAUUAAUUUAUCUGAUAUUUUCCUUAAUUUAAAAAUGCUAUUUUACUUUACCUUAUUGAUUUCUAAACUAAACUCAGUUGAUACUCUAUUUUGUAUAAAUUGUACUUUACUUUACUUUAUUUUUUUUUUCUAAAAUAAACUCAUUAUCUAAAUUGAGAAUAGUAUUGGAUUUUCAUUUCAGAAUAAUAUUGUAUUUAGAAAUUCUAGUGUAUGUCGGUAGAGCUUAUGGCUCUGUACUACCGGUUCUGGGGAUUAUAUAACAAUUGUUCAGUUUUAGUUACGUUAUCCUAUUUAUCAGUUUAACUUUUAGAUAGUUAAGAUGGUUAUCUUUGUUAGAUCUCUUAAUGUAUUAGGCUUACUUAGUCUUAAAGACUAGAUGCCAUCACAAUUCCUAAGGUGAGAUUUUGGGUCGUGACAAAUAACAAUUCUCACCACAAGUGCCCAUAUGCUACAACUUGCCAAUAAUCAACAAUGUCGAUGUUUCAACAAUAAUAUCCUAUGGAUCAACCACAAUGUGCACAAGAAUAGCAACAAAAGCAAUGAAUGUAAAAUUCUCAACAAGAAGGAUAUCUCAACAUUAAACAACUUCGCCUCAACGUGAUAACGACUUUUACAACUUCAACACCAAUAACUCAAUAAUGAGAAAGAUAAUGUGUAACCACGAUACUAAAUAAGAAUAACUCACAAUGAAAAAUAUAGCAUAUACUGAUGACUUCAAAUAAGAAUAAUAGCAAUGAAAGAGACAACUAGUAACAAUAAAAGAGGCAACAAAUUCAACUAAAUCAUAAGAGCAAAUUAUCAAGUAGGAUGUAGAACAAGUGUUAACAAAGUCAAAGGCAUGUAAGGAUAGACUAACACAAGUAAGAAUAGAUUGACUAUGAAAAUUUAGAACAAGAUAUGACAAUUCAAUUAAAGCAUGAAAAUAGUCUAACUAGCCUAAACUGGUCGAAUACCACAUACAACCCAUGUACCCACUCGUCACCUUGAGCACACAGCUUUCACAUAGCACAAAUGACACAAUCAAUCCCAAAAUCCUAAGGGGUAGUUUUCUCACACAAAGUUAGGCAAGAUACUUACCUCAACUAGGCACAUUCAACCCUCGGAAAUAGCUUUCCCCCUAAAUUUUGCCUCCACACUGCUCAAAUCUAACCAAAAUCGACUUAAUAUCAUCAAACAAUGCAAGGAAAAUCAAUUACAAUAGAUAAAACUAUGAUCUUUACACUUUUCCGAAAGAGUCAACAAAAGUCAACCUGGGGCUUGCCCUGUUAAAACUCGGGUCUAAUGGUAGAUUCUGACUACCCAUGACCCCACGAGUCCAUAUAUAUGAUUAUUUUCAAAAUCCAUGUCCAAAUCAACUCUCAAAACUCAAAUUCUUAUUUUUCAAAAACUUGACAAAGUUUCACAAAUUUUCACUUUGAUUCACAUGAUUUUAAUGUUAAAAUCUAAGAUAUAUUGAUGGAAUAUGUUUGGGAAUAGAUUAGAAUCACUUACCCAAAGUUUGUAGAUAAAAAUCCCCUCUCCAAAUUGCCUCUACCGAGUCUAGGGUUCUACAAUGAGAGAUUGUGAGAUAAAAUCCCGACACCCAGCCCUUUUGAUUAGCUGCAGAUGUCGCAAUUGUGAGGAAAUCAUCGCAAAUACGGCCACUGACCUUCCUAUAGGGACAUCGCAAUUGCGAUAAAUGGGUUCGCAAAUGCAGACCCUGUCCCAUUUGCAAAAGCGACAGUUUAGUCGCAAAUGCGAGCUGCCCAAAAUUAUAAACCACUUCGCAAUUGCGAGCCAGGUAUCGCAAUUGCGAUUCCUGAGGCCCCUUGCUAAGCUCGCAAUUGCGAACCUGGUGUUCGCAUAUGCGAUACCUUAAGCAUCAGCACAUCAGAUUCGGCAUUUCAGUCCAAAACACUCCGAAACAUGCCCGAAACUUAUCAGAGCCCCCAAGGCUCCAACCAAACAUCCACACAAGUCUAAAAAUAUCAUACGAACUCGUUCGCGUGAUCAAAACACAAAAAUAAUAUCUAAACCUACGAAUCGAACACUAAAACGCAUAAGUUUCAAAGUAAACUUCAAGAAUCUCUAAAAUUACGACUAAACGUCCGAAUCCUAUCAAUCAACUCUAAAUGAUACCAAAUAUUGCUGACAAGCUUUAAAUAGAAUAACAGACCUAUUUCAAGUCCCAAAAUCAAAUUAAGAACUCGAUAGCUAAAAGUCAACCUACGAUUAAAAUUUUUAACUUCAAAUUGCCAAAUUUCAGCAAAACAACACAAAUCAACCUACAGACUUCCGAAAUCAAUUUCGGGCAUACACCCAAGUCCGAAAUCAUGAUACGAAGCUAUCAGAGAAAUCAAAGCACCAUUCCGGGGUUGUUUUUACAAAAGUUAAAGUUUGGUCAACAUUUCUAAUUUAAGCUUCUAAGUCUAGAAUCAAAGGGUCUAAAUCAACCUGAAAACUUCCCGGAACGAAACUAAUCAACCCCGAAAUUCAUAAAAUCAUAAACACACAUGUGUGAAGCAUCAAAAUGAGAAACGGGGCGCAAUUACACAAAAUGACCGGUCGGGUCGUUACAUUCUCUCCCUCUUAAAAUAAACGUUCGUCCUCGAACGUGCAUAAGGACAUAUCUGAAGUGAUGAAUAGAUGAGGAUAACGACUCUGCAUAUCAUGCUCGGUCUCCCAGGUAGCCUCAUCGACCAGAUGGCCCCUCCAUUGAUCCUUCACUGAAGCAAUGUUCUUUAAUCACAACUUCCGGACCUAUUUGUCCAAGAUAGCCACCGACUCCUCAAUAUAAGUCAAAUCAUCAUCCAAUUCAACUCCGCUGAAGUCUAAAACAUGAGACGGAUCACCAUAAUACUCCCGGAGCAUAGAAACAGGGAACACCAGAUGAACCACAAAUAAAUUAGGUGUCAAUGCAAACUUGUAGGCCACCUCACCAAUACUCUCAAGGAUCUCAAAAGGUCCGAUAUACCUAGGGCUCAACUUGCCCUUCUUUCCGAACCUGAUCACACCCUUCAUAGGUGAAACCCGGAGUAAAACUCGCUCUUCAACCAUGAAUGCAACGUCACAAACCUUAAGAUCCGCAUAACUCUUUUGUCUAGAUUGGGCUACAAAAAGAUGAUCCUGGAUCAACUUGACAUUCUUUAAGGCAUCUCGAACCAAAUCUUUGCCCAAUAACUUAGUCUCUUCUGGCUCAAACCAACCAACUGGAGAACGAUGCCGUCUCCCAUAUAAGGCCUCAUAAGGAGCCAUUUUAAUCCUCGAUUGGUAACUAUUAUUGUAAGCAAACUCCGCAAGUGGCAAGAACUGAUCCUAAGAACCCCCAAAAUUCAUAACAUAGGUACAAAGCAUAUCCUCCAAUAUCUGAAUGGUGCGCUUGGACUGUCCGUCCAUCUGAGGUGAAAUGUUGUACACAACUCAACCCGUGUGCCUAACUCACGCUGUACAUCUCUCCAAAAAUGCGAUGUAAACUGCUUACCCUGGUCAGACGCCAUGAAGUCAGACAAUCUCGCGGAUAUAAAUCAGAGCCAACUGCUCUGAAGAAUAGGUAGUCACUAUCGAAUUGAAAUGAGACGGCUUGGUCAACUAUCCACAAUCACCCAUACUGCAUCAAAUUUCUUCUGAGUUCGUGGGAGCCCAACAACGAAGUCCAUGGUGACACGCUCUCAUUUCCACUCGGGAAUCUCAAGUCUCUGAGGCAAACUGCCCGGCCUAUGAUGCUCAUACUUCACCUGCUGAUAAUUUAAGUACCGAGCUACAUACUCCACUAUGUCUUUCUUCAUUCUCCUCCACCAAUAGUGCUACCUCAAAUUCUGAUACAUCUUAGCAGCAGCCAGAUGAAUGGAGUACCAUGAACUGUGGGCCUCUUCUAGAAUCAACUCACGCAACCCAUCCACAUUGGGUACACAUAACCGAUCCUACAUCUGCAACACACCGUCAUCUCCAAUAGAAACCUCCUUGGCAUCGCCGUGCUGUAUCGUGUCCUUAAGCAACUCUAACCAUCUCCGCUGCCACAAUUUAAGAUCUUUCUUUUUGAACAGAUGCUGUAGACUCCGGUGGUUUGUAAAGACCUCACAAGGGACACCGUAUAAAUCGUGUCGCCAAAUCUUCAAUGCAUGAACAAUAGCUGCCAAUUCCAAGUCGUGGAUCAGAUAAUUCUUCUAAUGGCUCUUCAACUGCCGUGACGCAUAGGCAAUCACCCUAACUUCUUGCAUCAAUAUCGCGACAAGGCCAACACGUGACGCAUCACAAUACACAAUAUAAGACCUCGAACCUGUAGGCAACACUAACACUAGGGCUGUAGUCAAAGCAGUCUUGAGCUUUUGAAAGCUCGCCUCACAUUCCUUAUACCAUCUGAAAGGAGCACCCUUCUGGGUUAAUCUGGUCAUAGGUGCAGCAAUAAAUGAGAAACCCUCUAUGAAACGACGAUAAUACCCGAUCAAACCAAGGAAACUCCGAAUCUCAAUAGGGGAAGACGGUUUGGGCCAACUCUGAACUACUUCAAUCUUCUUCGGAUCGACCUUGAUCCCCUCACUCGCUACCACAUGACCCAAAAAUGUCACUGAAUCAAUCCAGAAUUCAUACUUUGAGAAUUUUACAUACAACUUCUUCUCUCUCAAGGUCUGAAGCACGGUCCUCAGGUGCUGCUCAUGAUCUUCCCAAUUGCUGGAGUACACCAAGAUGUCGUAAAUAAACACAAUAAUGACUGAAUCAAGAUAUGGCUGGAAUACACUGUUCAUCAGGUGCAUAAAUGCUGCUGGGGCAUUGGUCAGUCCAAAUGACAUCACAAGGAACUCGUAGUGACCAUACUGAGUNNNNNNNNNNNNNNNNNNNNNNNNNNNNNNNNNNNNNNNNNNNNNNNNNNNNNNNNNNNNNNNNNNNNNNNNNNNNNNNNNNNNNNNNNNNNNNNNNNNNNNNNNNNNNNNNNNNNNNNNNNNNNNNNNNNNNNNNNNNNNNNNNNNNNNNNNNNNNNNNNNNNNNNNNNNNNNNNNNNNNNNNNNNNNNNNNNNNNNNNNNNNNNNNNNNNNNNNNNNNNNNNNNNNNNNNNNNNNNNNNNNNNNNNNNNNNNNNNNNNNNNNNNNNNNNNNNNNNNNNNNNNNNNNNNNNNNNNNNNNNNNNNNNNNNNNNNNNNNNNNNNNNNNNNNNNNNNNNNNNNNNNNNNNNNNNNNNNNNNNNNNNNNNNNNNNNNNNNNNNNNNNNNNNNNNNNNNNNNNNNNNNNNNNNNNNNNNNNNNNNNNNNNNNNNNNNNNNNNNNNNNNNNNNNNNNNNNNNNNNNNNNNNNNNNNNNNNNNNNNNNNNNNNNNNNNNNNNNNNNNNNNNNNNNNNNNNNNNNNNNNNNNNNNNNNNNNNNNNNNNNNNNNNNNNNNNNNNNNNNNNNNNNNNNNNNNNNNNNNNNNNNNNNNNNNNNNNNNNNNNNNNNNNNNNNNNNNNNNNNNNNNNNNNNNNNNNNNNNNNNNNNNNNNNNNNNNNNNNNNNNNNNNNNNNNNNNNNNNNNNNNNNNNNNNNNNNNNNNNNNNNNNNNNNNNNNNNNNNNNNNNNNNNNNNNNNNNNNNNNNNNNNNNNNNNNNNNNNNNNNNNNNNNNNNNNNNNNNNNNNNNNNNNNNNNNNNNNNNNNNNNNNNNNNNNNNNNNNNNNNNNNNNNNNNNNNNNNNNNNNNNNNNNNNNNNNNNNNNNNNNNNNNNNNNNNNNNNNNNNNNNNNNNNNNNNNNNNNNNNNNNNNNNNNNNNNNNNNNNNNNNNNNNNNNNNNNNNNNNNNNNNNNNNNNNNNNNNNNNNNNNNNNNNNNNNNNNNNNNNNNNNNNNNNNNNNNNNNNNNNNNNNNNNNNNNNNNNNNNNNNNNNNNNNNNNNNNNNNNNNNNNNNNNNNNNNNNNNNNNNNNNNNNNNNNNNNNNNNNNNNNNNNNNNNNNNNNNNNNNNNNNNNNNNNNNNNNNNNNNNNNNNNNNNNNNNNNNNNNNNNNNNNNNNNNNNNNNNNNNNNNNNNNNNNNNNNNNNNNNNNNNNNNNNNNNNNNNNNNNNNNNNNNNNNNNNNNNNNNNNNNNNNNNNNNNNNNNNNNNNNNNNNNNNNNNNNNNNNNNNNNNNNNNNNNNNNNNNNNNNNNNNNNNNNNNNNNNNNNNNNNNNNNNNNNNNNNNNNNNNNNNNNNNNNNNNNNNNNNNNNNNNNNNNNNNNNNNNNNNNNNNNNNNNNNNNNNNNNNNNNNNNNNNNNNNNNNNNNNNNNNNNNNNNNNNNNNNNNNNNNNNNNNNNGAUCAAACCAAGGAAACUCCGAAUCUCAAUAGGGGGAGACGGUUUGGGCCAACUCUGAACUACUUCAAUCUUCUUCGGAUCGACCUUGAUCCCCUCACUCGCUACCACAUGACCCAAAAAAUGUCACUGAAUCAAUCCAGAAUUCAUACUUUGAGAAUUUUACAUACAACUUCUUCUCUCUCAAGGUCUGAAGCACGGUCCUCAGGUGCUGCUCAUGAUCUUCCCAAUUGCUGGAGUACACCAAGAUGUCGUAAAUAAACACAAUAAUGACUGAAUCAAGAUAUGGCUGGAAUACACUGUUCAUCAGGUGCAUAAAUGCUGCUGGGGCAUUGGUCAGUCCAAAUGACAUCACAAGGAACUCGUAGUGACCAUACUGAGUCCUAAAGGCAGUCUUCGAAAUAUCCGGAUCCCAAAUAUUCAGCUGAUGAUAACCUGUCCGCGAAUCAAUCUUUGAGAACAAUCUGGCACCCUGUAACUGAUCAAAUAAGUUAUCAAUGCGCGGUAACGAAUAUCUGUUCUUCACUGUAACCUUGUUCAAUUGCCGAUUAUCAAUACACAUGUGCAUAGAACCAUCCUUCUUCUUCACAAACAAGACUGGAGCACCACAAGGCGACACACUAGACCGAAUAAAACCCUUAUCUAGCAACUCUUGCAAUUGCUCCUUUAAAUACUUCAGCUUUACUGGGGCCAUACAAUAUGGUGGAAUAGAAAUGGGCUGAGUGCCUCGCAAUAAGUCAAUACCAAAAUUUAUUUCCCUAUCAGGUGGCAUGCCUGAAAGAUCUACUGGAAAUACAUCUGGAAAGUUUCUCACUACCGGAACUGACUCAACGGUAUGAGUAUUGGCACUGACAUCUCUCACAAAGGCUAGAUAAGAAUCACACCCUUUUUCAACCAUCUGCUGAGCCUUUAGAAAUGACAUAACCCUGCUAGGAACAUAAUCCAAUGCACCCCUCCACUCCAACCGUCGAAAACCUGGCAUAGCUAAUGUUACAGUCUUGGCGUGACAAUCUAGAAUAGCAUGAUAGGGUGACAACCAGUCCAUGCCUAAGAUAACAUCAAAGUCUACCAUACUAAGCAACAAUAGAUCAAGUCUGGUUUCAAAACCACCCAUAACAACUAAAUACGACAGAUACACAUAGUCCACAACAAUAGAAUCUCCCACAGACAUGGACACAUAAACAAGAGAACUCAAAGAAUCACAAGAUAUAUCCAAAUACGGAGCAAAGUAAUAUGACACUUAUGAAUAAGUGGAUCCUAGAUCAAAUAAGACUGGCCCCCCACCUCUAGCAGGCUGUACGGGUGGAGCGACAACUGAGACAACAACCAUGGCCUGAGAAGUCUGUGGACCUGACUGAAUCCGCGGAGCCUGAGAAGUCUGUGGAGGUGCAUCCCUCCUAAGUAUGGGGAAGUCUCUAACCAUGUGGCGGGUAUUACCAUACUCAAAGCAAGCUCUCGAUGGGAAUGGCUGCUGGGACUGGCUCAGGCCUGGUCGGCUGGACUGACUGCUAAAGGCACCUUGUGUAAGAGGUGCACUAGAAAGUGGUUGAGCAAAGUGUGCAACCUAAGAUCUUGGAAUAACCAGAGCACCACUAGAAGCUGGAAGUGAUGAGUGAACUAGACAGCUCACAUAGCCUCUUCCAUGACGGGUUGUAGCUGCAGCGUGGCUACCACUAAAUCCUCCAAUUUCUCAAGGUCUCUUGGCCUCCCUAUCCUCUCUCUCACGACCCCACAUACCUUCACACCUUCGUGCAAUCUCUACCACCUGCUGAUAUGGGGUAUCUGUCUCUAACUCUCGAGCCAUACUGAAUCUAAUACCAUAGUUGAGCCCCUCGAUGAAUCGAUGGUCUCGCUCUAAAACUGUAGAAACCAAGGCACGUGCAUGUCUGGACAAAUCACUGAAUUAGACAGCAUACUCUGACACUGUCAUAAUACCCUGGCACAACUGCUCGAACUCCAUGCGCCAUGCAUCCCUAAGGGUUUGAGGAACAAACUCUCUCAAGAAAAACUCUGAAAACUGAAUCCAUGUAAGUAAAGAUACAUCGGCUGGGCUUACCUUCUCGUACACCUGCCACUACUGAUAUGCUACUCCUGACAGCUGGAAAGUAGCGAAAGCAACCCCGCUCAUCUCCACAAUACCACCCAUGGUGUGGAGAAUACGGUGGCACUCCUCUAUAAAACCAUGUGCAUCCUCUGAAGCAAAACCACUGAAAGUAGGAGGGUGAUACUUCUUGAACCUCUUAAGUCUAAGUUGCUCCUCCUCAGAUGCUGUUGCCCUAACCUCGAGCUGAACCGGAACAACAAGCUGUACUGGUAUAACCUCUAGGACCUGAUCAAAAUGGACCCGCUACUCUGGAGUACAUGCCGCGGGAGUCUGAGCUCCUCCCUCAUCCUGAGAUGUGGUUGGUGCAAGUGGAAUCAACCCCGCUUGAGCUAAAGUACCAAAUAUGCUCAAGAACUAUGCGAGGGUCUCCUGAAGUGCAGAGGUGGCAACAGGCGCCUCGGGUGCCUGCCCCCUAACUGGAGCUACUGGUGGCUCCUUUGUCACAGCUCAAGCAGGUGCUCUGGCUGCCCCAGCCCCGGCCUCUCGCUGCUCUAGCAGGGGAUGCGAGUGUCUGAUCGUCGGAUCUAGCAGUGCGUGUUCUCACCAUCUGUGAGAGAAUUGAAAGUCAAGGUUAAGAUUUUGAAGUCAACAAUCUCUCACGAUAAGCAAUCAAAGAGUGGAGUUUUCCUAACAGUUCCGUAGCCUCUCAAAUAUAAGUACAGACGUCUCUGUACCGAUCCGCAAGACUCUGCUAAACCUAUUUAUGACUCGUAACACCUAUGAACCUAGAGCUCUGAUACCAACUUGUCACGACCCUAAUUUCCCUCCUUAGGAUGUCAUGAUGGCACCUAGUCUCUGAGACUAGGUAAGCCUAACAUUUUAUAAUAAUUUAACAAGAAUAAUCAACAACAAUACUAAAAUAGAACUACAAAACUCAUAUAGUCUCCCAAAAUAAAAUCUUAACAAUAACUUUCCCAAAACCGGUAGAACUGAGUCUUAAGCUCUACAGAGUAAACUAAAAUAUCUACUACAUCACUGUCUGAAUGAAAAUACAAAAGGAAGUAAAGAUAAAGGAAGGCGACUCCGAGCAGGCAUACCUUGAAGUCUCCAUAAAGUAGCUAACAGUCGCUCACUAACGUCCAGCACGAGUAGACGUACCUGGAUCUGCACAAAAAGAUGUGCAGAGGCAUAGUGUGAGUACACUACAAUGGUAUCCAGUAAGUGUCAAGCCUAACCUCAGUAGAGUAGUGACGAGGCCAGGUCAAGACACCUACUAGGAUAUAAAAACAGAAUGAAAAUGUAAUAACAAGAAGUAACAAAAAGCGGAGCAAUAAGUAAUAUGAAGCAAGUUAAUAACAUAGACUAAUGAGAUAAACAACAAGAAUCACAACGAGGUACCACCCAUGCAUAAUAAGAAUUUCAAUCGAGGUACCGCCUCGUAUAUAAUAAGAAUCACAAUUGAGGUACCACCUUGUAUUCACAUUUCUCAAUUUCAAUCACAAUCUUUACUGCCGCGUGAGCCUUACAUUUAAAUAGUUUUGAAAAUAUUUUUUUUUCGAAAUAGCUGCACAUACUUUAGCCCACCUUAUGACGUUGCGUGGCGUCACAUAAUUCUCUUACAAGUAACAUGCACAUAAGUCACCGCAUGCACAUUAACCCCUAUCCAUAUAUCACGGCAUGUGAAUCAAUAUCACAUCACACAAGAACUCGCACCAUAAGUGUCCAUAUGCCACAACUUGCCAAUAAUCAACAAUAUCAAUAUUUCGACAACAAUAGUCCAUGGCUCAACCACAAAAUGUACAAGAAUAUCAACAAAAGCAACGAAUGGCCUCACAACUUCGCCUCAACAUGAUAACGACUUUCACAACUUCAAUACCAAUAACUCAACAAUGAGAAAGAUAAUGUGUAACCAUGAUACUAAACAAGAAUAACUCACAAUGGAAAAGAUAUCAUAUACCGAUGACUUCAAAUAAGAAUAAUAGCAAUGAAAGGGAUACCAUGUAACAAUUAAUUCAAAUAAUGAUAAUCAACAAUGAACGAGACAUGUAACAAUAAAAGAGGCAACAAAUUCAACUAAAUCAUAAGAGCAAAUUAUCAAGCAGGAUGUAGAACAAGUGUUAACAAAGUCAUUUAAGUCAUGUAAGGAUAGACUAACACAAGUAAGAAUAGAUUGACUAUGAGAAUUUAGAACAUGAUAUGACAAUUUAAUUAAAGAUGGAAAUAGUCUAAGUAGCCUAAACCGGUCGAAUACCACAUAAAACCGAUGUACCCACUAGUCACCUUGCGUACACGACUUUCACAUAGCAUAAAUGAUACAAUCAAUCCCAAAUCCUAAGGGGUAGUUCCCCAACACAAAUUUAGACAAGAUACUUCCUCAACUAGGCCAAUUUAACCCUCUGAAAUAGUUUUUUCCCUAAAAUUUACCUCCACACGGCUCAGAUCUAACCAAAAUCGACUUAACAUUAUAAAACCAUGCAAGGGAAAUCAAUUAUAAUAGAUGAAGCUAUGAUCUUUAUACUUUUUUCAAAAAGUCAACCCGCAACUCGCCCAGUCAAAACCUAGAUUCUGACUACCCAUUAUGUAUGAUUAGUUUCAAAAUCCAAGUCCAAAUCGACUCUCAAAACUCAAAUUCUUAUUUUUCAAAAACUUGACAAAGUUUUACAAAUUUUCACUUUGAUUCACAUGAUUUUAAUAUUAAAAUCUAAGAUAUAUUGAUGGAAUAUGAUUGGGAAUAGAUUAGAAUCACUUACCCAAAGUUUGUAGAUAAAAAUCGCCUCUACAAAUUGCCUCCUACCGAGUUUAGGAUUCUAAAAUGAGAGAAUGUGAGAUGAAACCCGACUUCUAGCCCUUUUGAUCAGCUGCAGAUAUCACAAUUGCGACAUGGAAUCGCAAUUGCGAACCCUCGCAAUUGCGAAGAAAUCAUCGCAUAUGCGGCUACUAACCUUCCUACAGGGACAUCGCAAUUGCGAUAAAUGGGUUCGCAAAUGCUAACCCUAUCCCCCUUCGCAAAAGCGACAGUUUAGUCGCAAAUGUAAGCUACCCAAAUCCUAAACCACUUUGCAAUUGCGUUGCAGGUAUCAGAAUUGAGAUAACUGAGGCCCACUACUAAGCUCGCAAUUGCGAACCUAGUAUUCGCCAAUGCAAUACCUGAAGCAUCAGCACACCAGAUUCUGCAUUUCAGUCCAAAACACUCCAAAAUAUGUCCGAAACUCAUCCGAGCCCCCGGGGCUCCAAACCAAACAUCCACACAAGUCUAAAACAUCAUACAAACUCGCUCGCGCGAUCAACACACAAAAAGAAUAUCUAAAACUACGAAUCAAACACUAAAUGCAUAAGUUUCAAAGUAAACUUCAAGAAUCUCUAGAAUUACGACUAAAUGUCCGAAUCCUAUCAAUCAACUCCAAAUGAUACCAAAUCUUGCUGACAAUUUCUAAAUAGCACAACAGACCUAUUUCAAGUCCCAAAAUCAAAUUCUGAGCUCGAUAGCUAAAAUUCAACCUACAGUCAAACCUUUCAACUUCAAAUUGCCAAAUUUCGGCAAAACAAUACAAAUCAACCUACGGACUUCAGAAAUUAAUUUCGGGCAUACGCCCAAGUUCGAAAUCAUGAUACGAAGCUUUCGGAGCCAUCAAAACUCCGUUCCAUGGUCGUUUUCACAAUAGUUAAAGUUUGGUCAACAUUUCUAAUUUAAGCUUCUAAGUCAAGAAUCAAAAGGUUCGAAUCAACCCAAAAGCUUCCCGGAAUAAAACUAUUCAACCCCGAAAGUCAUAAAACUAUAAACACACAUGUGUGAAGCAUCAAAAGGGGAAACGAGACGCAAUUACACAAAAUGAUCGGUCGGGUCGUUACAUCUCAAGGUAAGGUGAGAGACUGAAAAAGGUAUACAUGAAACAAAGGAAUUAGGCAUAAGAUCAAAACUAGAACCUUGAUAAAUUUUAAAGGUAAAGAGGGUUUUAUGUAAUUUUCGGAUUGUUAUCUCCUACCCUACCUCAAUAGGUCGAGGUUUCCCCAUACUAUUCAUAUGACGACUCAAAUUUCUAACCUAUCAGUUUGAUAGAUAAAUUUCUUUUGUUCCAUACCAGUUAUAUACAAAUAACUAAAUUGGCUAAAUUGUUGUUGAGUGUUCUGUCCAAAAUGGGUGUUUAUCAUAUGUUGGAUUAUAUAGUUGGUUAAUUUCUUGUAUAUGGUCAAACGAACUAUAAAUUGACAGUAUUAUCAUAUAUAUGACAAUAUUAUAAAAAAAUUAUACGGACAAUAUAUAUGACUUAAACACAUUCCCAUUUAGUUUCGACCAAUCUAUAUACGGCCCUUCCCCUAGAGUUUUUAUUCACUGUUUCUCGUUUCCAUACUUAAUUUGCCUUCAAACCAUUAGAAUAUUAUCCAACUUUAACAUGUACCCUUUACUUGGCAAUGAUGCAUUAUAACCAAUUAGCUCCUUUUUGCAUAUGUACUAUCUAGUAGUAAUAACUUUUUCUUUUUCGUCAAGAUCUUAACAAAAAAGCUACCAUAAAACCACUAAGGAACAUACUUAAAAUAAAUAAAAUAUAUAAAAUGAAAAAGAACGACCCCUUCUUCCUCGAAAGUAGGACCCAAAAUUCAGAGUCCCCCUUGAAUUUAUAUUUGGACUAAGAUCUCCGUGUAAAUAGUCACAUCUUAAUUAUUUAGGGGUGCUAAUCGUAAAAAGAUAUCCAAGUCCCAUGGGGUAUAAAGAAAAUUUACGCUAUAAACAACUUUAUCAUAAAAGAGAAGCACCAUUUGAUUAUUUUUCUUUAUUAGAUCAAGCGAAUUGAUAGCGGGUCGAAGGGAGUACAAUAGGGCAUCAUCUAUCCGGGUCGGUGUCGAACUCCUUUGUCUUCAAGAGUUUGUUUAGUUGAUCGAGAAAGUAGUAUUUACCCGUAAAAAAGGUACAAUUGACUUUGUAAUGUGAUUUAUAGACACGUGAAUUAACUUGAUCCAAAAAUAUAAAAUAAAUAAGAACAGAGUCAAGAUUAUAAAAAUAACUUAAAAGAAAUACAAGCCUAGUUGUAUGAUGAGCCUCUCCGGAAGCAAUAAUAUGAACAAUAUUAAGAACAAAGGAAAGUGAAUAAUUUUAUAAUAUGAGAGCAAAUUAUAGCCUUUGAGUCAGAUGAUUUUUCAUCUGCUACAAUGGAUACUAAUUCUCCUAUUUAUAGCUCUAUUUAGGGAGACAAGAUCCCCAAAUCAAACUCCUAUUAAAUGAGAAUAAAAUUGCCAUCGAUGACUGCAUAACAAUUGGCUAUUAAUAGAGAGAUUCUUUGUAACAGUUGCUAAUCUUCUCGUCGUGAAGGGAGAUUGCAAUUAGAAUAAUAUCGAAAUUUUCGCCCCCAGUGAGGUGGAAAGGGUCACAUUCUCCAAUCUAGGAUUAAUGUAUGUUUAUACAUACCCAUUCACUUUGGGAUUGGGUCAAGGAAUCGAUCCAAUAAUUUUAGAAUUCUGCCAUCAUUACCAAAUCUGUUUGGCUCAAGCAGGCCCAUUAGUAUAGUGUACGUUGGCUUGCCUCCGAAAAUUAUGCCCCGAGAUCGGAGAAACCCUAACUCUCGCACAUAUGAUCAAUCUCUACUCUCCAAAGAUCUUCUUGGAGGCAUCCUAAAGCUCAGCAAAUGCGGUCACCACGCCCUUCUUACCAGUAUUGAUGAUGAUAACGAUCGUGGCUGGAUGGAACGGUACGUUGUCAUCGCUACCAAAUAUAUUCUCCCGACAACAGUACCUGCUAUUCCUGAAUCGUGGAACCUUUUUUGUAAGUCUUCGGAUAUCUUUUCCUUUCCGUAAAUAAAAAAAUUUCCUCCUUCAUUAACUUUGUAUUUUUUUUAUUCCGGCUACUCAUUGGGAACCACCACAAGUUCAGAACCUAGCCUAAUGGGUACAGAAAAUUUAGACAUUUCUAUACCGGAAUCUCGAAGGUGGAAAAAAUGGAUCCCAGAUUAAUUGAAAAGCCAAAAACCAUGGUAAGUAAAGGUUCUUCUUUCCUUCUUUAAUCUUUUAGCAUGAAUCAGAAUCAAUUUGUUAACUCUCUUUUUGCAAUACACAGGACUUCUGAAGGGAUCCGUUGUUUGCCCCGCCAUUGAGGUUCUCGAUGAUCCAAAGGAAGCCCAAAAGACAUUGCAAAAUAUCCUUAACUGGAGGAGAGUUCGUGAAUCCACUCUUGCUUCCGGUGAAGGAAACUCCUCCCGGAGUCCCCAACCCAAAGACAAGAAACCAAAGAGAAAAUGUACCUCCUCAGCUGGGACUCGGGAGAAGAAUGUGAAAGAAACACCAACCGGACCGGCUACAAUGGUCCUUGAUGAUGAAGGAAUAGAUGAUGAAGCGGCUCCCCUUCAGAGAAGAAAAAGAUCUUCAUCAGCUCAACUGGAAGCUCAUCCGAGUGAGCUUCAAACUCCACAACCAAAAGAAGUUCAAGGACUCUUCACGGAAAUGGGAUUGGCUGAAAACUCUUCAUCUCGUUUUUGAAUCCCCAUUAUUGCUUUCGAUCAAAGGAGUUCUACCCAUAACGUUCCUCCGCCAUCAACUUCUGAUCCAGCUACAACCGCAUCUCCUUCUACACUAGCUUUCCCCUCUCCACCGUCCCCAUCCGAACAGAUGGAAGAUGUUCCUUCCCCACGGUGACCCGACCAUGGAAAUUUGGGGAAUACUUACCCGACACCCACUCAAAACACUAAUGGAAAUAGGAAUGUCAUUCUCACAGUUUCGAAUGAGUGCCACAUACUUUUAAAGUCGGUAGAGGUUUGCCAACUAUCCGAAAUCGCUGGCCACGAAAAAAUACUGGAGAAAAAUAGAAUUUCUUUCUGCCUAGUGACUGAUAAACAACAACAUGCACUGUUCGACUCAGGUAUCAAUCUAACCUUCUUCUCUACCCUUUUUGUUUGCUAGACUUUGCCUUAAUAACCUUAGCUUUAAUCUUUUUAGGCUAACCUCCUUGCUUUCGAGGGCCUGCAAAGGUUGAUUUUGGAUAAAGAGGAACUUUCUAUGGAAAGAAAUCAACUUUUGGGGGAACAAAACCAGCUUGCCGAGCGCCUCCUUGUUUCGGAAGCAAAAGUUACACAAAUGGGCGAGUUCGAGGCUUGAUUACAGCAAUCUGAGCAAGAUAUAAUGGCCCACAACCAAGAAGCCGCCCAAUUACAUGAAGAUCUCAAGGACGCGAAGGCUAAGUGGGAUGAACUGCAUGAUGCUGUAACUGCGGCGGCCGAGCUUGAGUCUGCCUUUAUGGAGAAAAUCAAAAACUUAGAGGAGUAUUUCGGGAGAUAUGAGACCCAACUAGUGUAGGUUGGACUCUUGGGUUAUGAACACCCAAGAGAGAUAUUUUGGCAAAUUGGUUGAGCUAUCGGACUCCAAUUGAGUCGGUUUACGUUCGUGUGAGCUUGUAUUGGUUCGGUCUGCACUCGGGUAAGCUUGGAUUCGGAAUCCAAGGCGGGCCUGACAUUGAAUUUUGUUGACUUUUUAGGGAAAAUAUAAAGAUCAUAGCUUUAUUUAUUAUAAUUGGUUUCUCUUGCAUUGUUUGACGUUAUCAAGUCAUUGUUUAUUAGAUGUGAGCCGUAUUGAGGCAAAUUUUAGGGGAAAAGCUAUUUCGGAGGGUUGAGUUGGCCUAGUUGAGAUAAGUAUCUUGCCUAACUUUGUGUAGGGGAAANNNNNNNNNNNNNNNNNNNNNNNNNGUACGCAAGGUGACGAGUGGGUACACGGGCUAUAUGUGGUAUUUGACCAGUUUAAAUUAUCUAGACUCUUUUCAUGCCUUUAAUUGAAUUGUCAUAACAUGUUAUAUCUCUUAUUGUUAAUCUACUCUUACAUGAUCUAUUUGAUGUUGUUAGCACUUGUUCUACCUCUUGUUAUUUUGCUCUUAUAUGUUUUAGUUGAAGUUAUUACCUUCCUUAUUAUCUUGUUACCUCUUAAUUGUUGAAUAAAUUUUAAUUGAAGUUGCUAUUUCGUGGAAUAACAUCUUCGUUGAGUUAUUGGUGUUGAAGUUAUAAUAGUCGUUAUCACAUUGAGGUGAAGUUAUUAAUUGUUGAGAUACCUUUCCUUGUUGAGCAUUCUCAUUCAUUUUAUUAUUGUUGAAAUUCUUGUACACAUUGUGGUUGAGCCAUGGGAUAUUUGUUGUGAAAAUAUUGGUGUUGUUGACUUUGUGGAAAGUUGUGGCAUAUGGGCACUUGUGGUGCGAGUUGUGAUUGUGUUACGAUAUUGAUACACAUGCGGUGGUAUAAGGCUGGGGGUUGAUACGCAUGCAGUGAGGUAAGGUGGGCUUGAUAUGCAUGUUGCUAGUAGGGAAACUACUUGAAGCUACGCGGUGAGAUAAGGUGGGUUAAAAUGCGUGUAGCUAUUUCGGGAAAAAUAAUUUUUAAAACUAAAUGUAAGGCUCACGCGGUGAUAUAAAGAAAGAUUAUGAUUGAAAUUGUAAAAUAUGAAUACGAGACGGUACCUCAGUUGUGAUUUUCAUUAUACAUUCCAUGUUGGAACAACUUGUUGAUUUGAACGGUCAUUGUUCUUCCUUCAAUCAUUCAUCCGCAUUCUGAUUGUAUUUGGUUAUUCGUUGUUAUCUUGGUAUUGGAACGAUUGUGGUUUAUUGUGUGAGUCAUGCAUUCUACGUGAUUUGUUGUGUUACUUUAACAUACAAAUCUGUGCCUCCGUUAUAACUUGGUGAAUUGAUUGUCAAUGUGAAUUUAAUUGUGUGGAGUCACUAUAUCAUAUUCUGUUGAGUUGUUGGUAACAUAAUGGUUUAAAUAAAAGAAUUAUUAACAUGAUUUAUUCUAUGUGCCUCUUAAGAUACAACUCGUUAUCUCACUCAGUGCCUUAUUAUUCUAAAUGGUUAUCGUACUUUCACUAUAAUUUGGUUCUCAAAUUAUACUCAUCACACUGUUAGAUGUUUACUUUACUUAAAAUUAUUAUCAUAUUUUUCCUUAACAAAUUCUAUAUUUAAUUCGUUAAUUUAACUUAUGUUUUGAUUUGUUUAAAAAUGAUGCUUUUACUCAAUUUUAUUGAUUUCUAAAUUGAACCCAUCUUAUACUUUGUUUCGUAUAAAUUGUAUAUUAUUUUACUUUACUUGAUUUCUAAAAUAAACUCAUUAUUUCAUUUGACACCUUACUUUAUUCAAGAUUGUUAUUAUAUUUUAUGGUGUUUAAAUAUAUCUUUCGUUCAUCUAAAUUAAUAUUUAUCAAGGUUACAAAGUACAUGGUAGCACGUGGGCUUUUCCAUAUGAAGGUGAUUGUUAUUAUGGGCACGAAGUGCCAUAUGUGUAAGAUUUGGAAAUUGUGGUCCAUGACUUGUGCUUUAUGAGGUGUGGUGCCUCAGGGUAAUUCUUGUUGUAAGUCCAUGCGUUGGGAGCGAUUUGAUUAGUUGAGUUGUCAUCCAUUUUUCCUUAUUUGAGUUCAUUUACAUCUCAUCGGUGUUCUGAUUAUGUUGUUUCUUUAUUACUCGUUUACUACUUGUUGCCAUUUAUGUUUCUAUUACUUCAUUGUUGGUUGUAAAUCAAUAAUUUUUCUGCCGUUGGUCUUACAUUGAUGUUCUUUCCAUUAUUAGCUUAUGAUAUCUUGAACAGGUUUCUAUGUCUAGUAGGUGUCUUGACCUGGCCUCGUCACUACUCUACCGAGGUUAUGCUUGAUACUUACUGAGUACCAUUGUGGUGUACUCAUGCUAUACUUCUGCACAUUCUUUUGCAGAUCCAGGUAUUCUGAUUGUGUUGUUAAGAGUUACGUAUGCGCGGCGGGAGAAUUUAAGGUAUACCUGCUUGACGUUCGCAUGCCUCAGAGUCUCCAUCUUACUUCAUUAUGCUACUUUUAAAUUGUAGUUCAAAACAAUAUUGUGUUUAGAAAUUCUAGUGUGUUUUAGUAGUGCUUAUGAUUCCGUACUACCAGUUUUGGAAAAUGUAUAACUAUUGGCCGCUUGCGGCUAUGUAUGUCAUUUAAUUAUUUAUGAUAAAUGAUUAAAUAGUUCAAUUCUGUUAUUAAAUUAACAUGUGUUAGGCUUAUCUAGUCUUAGAGACUAGGUGCCAUCACGACAUCCUAAGGUGAAAAAUUGGGGCCGUGACACACUUGCUCCGAGUAUUCAGGGUGCUGAAGGAGAAGAAUUUAAGGAUGAAGGCCUCGAACUGAAAGCGGAAUAGCCUUCUCAUGAAAAGGAAAAUAAAGUCUCUUCUCUCCCUUCGGGUUCUGGCAGCAAAACUAACUAAUGUUUAUAUUUUUUUCCUUUCCUUUUGUAACUAUGCCAAAACUUAUUUACCGAGUUUGGCAUUUUAAUAAUGAAAGUAAUUUUUUGCUUAAGUGUUGUGCAAGAAAUAUUCUCUUUUAUUUAACUGACAAAGCUCAAGAAUUCUUUUUACAUCCGAUAAUUUUUAAUUUCGGGCAUUCACACUUUCAGAAUCUACCCUUUGACUAUGAGGGUUCAUAAGAGAGGACUCUUAUGUUUACGAUGCUCUUGAAGAGUACGUCUCAUGUUCAUUCUGGCACAAGCAUUUGCAGUUUUAACUAACUUUCAAAUGAAAAAUAAAUUAACUUAUCAUUUGGAUAAGAAAUAAGAUAAAAACAAAAUGACUUUGAUUUAUUCCUUCCAUAUCUAAAAGUACAUUUACAUAAAUAUUUAUUUGCUUAAAUAAAUAAAUCUUCCAAUAUAUGUGGCUAACUUGAACAACUUAUUUCUACGAGACUGAUCAUGCAGUCCCCGGUCCUGAUAAGAUAUAGAUCCCGGUUCUAACAAUCUCCUGUCUUCGUAACACUUCUAGUGCCUUAGUAUGUAAUAGUUCCCCCCCCUCCCCAGCGUUCGGAUGCUAAGUAUGAGAAUUCGAACACUGGAGAUCUUGUUAUCGCUAAUGACCCUUUCUUUGUAGUAUGUUUUACAUUGCUGGCUCAUUAAAAACCUUGCCAAAAAAACCCAAUUGGGAUAAAAACUAGACGAAGGUAAAAAGAGUGUAGCACAUACUUUCAGAAUCAGCAAGGAUCUUCAGUAGUAAUACCUUUUGAGGUGAGUCACGUUUCAAUUGCUUGACAAUUUAACUCCAUUUUUAUUCUCCAAUUGAUACGAACCUUUUUCCGGUUAUAGCAAAAAUCCGAUAAAGUCAUUCCCACGUUGGCCCCAACUUCCCGGCAUUAACCUCUCGAGUACUCUGACUUACCUUUCUCUGGAAUGUUUAAUUUGUAUGGCCUCAGUGAUGAGAAUAUUUUGUGUGCCACUUCUCACUAAAUCUCUGACUUUGAAAUAUCGAAGAUUUGCUCUGCGAUUGUAAUGUCUUUUCAUUAUUUAUUUUUAUACCACCAUCCUCAUAUACGCCAGAUUUUGAUGUCCUUCAAGGAAAUAAAGUUUAAUCAGCAGUGCUUCAUUAUUUGCUUCUUUGUUUGCUUGGUAAUACCUUAUGGUCGAUUUCCCAAUCUCCACCGGGAUAAAAGCUUUCGCAUCGUACACAAGUAAAAAUGGUGUUCCCCCCGUGCUCGAUUUCUCCUUUGUUCGUUAUGCCCACAUCACACCCAGUAUCUCAUCUGGCCAAUUACGUUUAGCAUCUUCUAACAUCUUUUUGAGAUUUUGAAUUAUUAUCUUGUUGGUAGACUCUGCUUGUUCGUUAGCACUUGAAUGGUACAUAGAAUAUGUAACCCGUUUGAUCUUCAAACCUUCCAAAAGGUUUGUAACUUUGGAACCUAUAAAUUGCAGCCCAUUAUCACAAACGAUUUCUUUUGGUAUUCGAAACCGACAUAUAAUAUGAUCCGAUAUGAAAUUCAUCACUUCUUGUUCUCCGAACUUUUUGUAAGCACCUGUUUCAAUCCAUUUAGUGAAAUAGCCAGUUAAAAGCAAAAGAAAUCUUAGCUCGGGUCCUUGUGGUAAGGGAUCAACUAUGUCCAUUCCCCAUUUCAUAAAUGGCCAUGGUGAUAUCACCGAAUGCAAAAGUUUUGCCAGUUGAUGCACUAACUGCACAUGACACUGACAUUUGUCACAUUUUUGUACAAAUAUCUUCACGUCUUGCUCCAUCAGGGGCCAGCAGUAGCCAGCCAUCAUCAAUUUGAGUACCAACGAGUCUGCACCGGUCCAAUGGUCCUUGAAAAGAUCUCCUAUACAAUUGACCAUCAAUAAGGCAAUAACGAGCUACUUUAGUGCGUAGCGCCUGGGGUGCUUUUGGAUCUUCAUGCAAUUUUCCAUGCCUUAAAUACUCUAUAAGCUCAUUUCUCCAAACCCAAAUUAGGUUGUUUGAGUUAUCUUCACAAUAUCCAUCCACAUCCAAUACCGAAUGCAACAGUUGAAUGACCGCACCGGAAUUAGUUCCUUUCAUUUUCAUGGAUGGCCCCAAAUUGGCCAAUGCAUCUGCCUCCACAUUUUAUUCCCUCGGAAUGUAUAUAAUUGACUAUUCCCUAAACCGAGAAAGUAAUACUUGAACCUUAUUCAAGUAUUAUUGCAUACGCUCCUCCUUGGUGUCGAAAAUUCCAUACACCUGGUUCACUACCAACUGGGAGUCGCACUUUAUUUCAAUUACCUUGGAGCCUAGUCCCUGGUCUAAUUCAAGUCCUACAACCAAAGCCUCGUACUUGGCUUCAUUGUUUGUUAAUGGAACGGUUCUAAUGGCCCGUCUCAAGGUUUCUCCUGAAGAAGUGAUAUUACUAUCCUAAGACCGGACCCUUUUUACAUUGGAAGCUCCAUCCAUAAACAAGAUCCAAACACCUGAUACCGUCCGUGAUACCAACACUGACUCAUUAGUAGUUAAAGGCAUAAGUCCCGGACUAAAGUCAGCCACGAAGUCAGCCAAAAUUUAUGACUUGAUCGCAAUCUUGGGUAUAUAGUCAAUGUCAAAUUCACUAACUUCGACUGUCCAUUUAGACAAUUGACCCGUUAAUUUAGGCUUAUGAAGGACAUUCCUCAAGGAAAAAGUUAUCACAACGGCUAUGGGAUGACAUUGAAAAUAAGGCCUAAGCUUUCGAGAAGCAACUACGAGAGCUAGGGAUAACUUUUAAAGUGUGGAUAACGUGUCUCCGCUCAUGAUAAAACUUUACUAACAUAGUAAAUAGGAAUUGCGUACCUUCCUCCUCUAAGACCAGAACAACACUUACUGCUACUUCCAAAAUUGACAGAUAGAUUAACAGUUCCUCUCCUUCCUUCGGUUUUGACAACAAAGGAGGGCUAGACAUGUACCUUUUUAUGUCUUUCAAUGCUUUGCUUGCAUUCCAAACUCCACAUAAAAUCGUUCUUCUUUUUCAAAAGCGAAAUGAUGACAUUUCUCCGAAGACCUUAAGAUAAACCUGCUUAGAGCCGCCAACCUGCCGGUCAACCUUUGUACUUCCAUCACACUAGUUAAUUGAUCUGAGAUAUCCUCGAGGGAUUUUAUCUUAUCGGGUCUUACUUCAAUUCCUAUUUGAGAAACUAAUAACCCCAUGAACUUACCGGAAACAACUCCAAAGGCACAUUUCUCUGGGUUGAGCUUCAUGUUGUAUUUUCUCUGAAUGUCAAAUAUUUCCUGAAAGAUAAUUCAAAUGAUCUCCUUUAUUAAGAGACUUAAUCAACAUGUUGUCAAUAUAAACCUCCAUCGUAUUACCAAUUUCUUGUUUAGAUAUUUUAUUAACAAGCCUCUGGUAUGUGAAUUUUAUUAUAAUGCCCGAAAAUAUUUUAUAGCAGUAUGUGCCAAAAUUUGAGAUAAAUGAGGUCUUCUCUUGAUCUUCCGGGCGUAUCCUAAUUUGAUUAUACCCGUAAUAUGCAUCAAGAAAACUCAUUAACGCAUGCCCGGUCGUUGCAUCAAUCAUUUGAUCAAUGUUUGGCAGCAGAAAAGAGUCCUUGGGGCAUGCCUUAUUUAAAUCUUUAUAAUCUACACACAUUCUAAAAUUCUUCUUCUUCUUUGGUACUACCACUAUGUUAGCUAACCAAUCAGGGUAAUUUACCUCUCAAAUUGAACCUAUAUUCAGUAACCGGGUUACCUUUUCUUUGACAAACCUGUUUCUGACCUCUGCUAUUGGUCAUUUCUUCUGCCUUACCAGAGGGAAUUUAGGAUCCAAACUCAACUUGUGGACAUCCACUUCCAAUAGAACACCUGUCAUAUUCGAAUACGACCAUGCAAAACAAUCGAUGUUAGCUUUUAGAAUAUCUAUAAUUUUUAACCUGAGUUCGGGACUCAACCCCGUUCCUAAAUGGAAGUUCCUUUCUAAGAAUUCUGUGAACAAGGCCACUUGUUCGAGCUCUUCUGCGGUUGACUUGGUCGCGUUCGUUUCCUCCAGUAACUGAAAGACUUCGGUACCUGAUAAAAAUUCGAUGACUCCUCUUCUCCAUUAUCUUCAACCCGGGUGGAAGAGGCACUGGCUCCUGUAGUUGCUAUUUUCUUGUUUCUGUCCCCUUGCUACUAGACAAGGUAACUGUGUUCAUCUCUCUUGCAGCUGGUUGAUCUCCUCAGAUCUGCUUGAUCCCUUUCGGUGUGGAAAAUUUAGCAGUUGAUGAUAUGUUGAUGGCACAAUCUUCAUUUCAUGUAUCCAAAGCCUUCCAAGGAUCACAUUGUAUCCCAUGUCACCAUCUAUCACUUUGAACGGAGUGGUCUUUGUUAUGACUUUGGCAUGCGUGGACUGCAAAAUCUCUCCUCGGGUCGUAACACUUGUUAAGUUAAACCCGGCUAAAAGCUUUGUUGCCGGAACUAUGUUUCCGAUUAACUUUGCUUGCUCUAAAACUCUCCAUUAUAUGAUAUUGGCUAAACUACCUGGAUCAACCAACACACUUUUAAUUUUAAAAUCUAAGACAUUAAAUAUUACCAAAGAAUCAUCGUGCAGUAAAAGAAGUCUAUCAACAGCCUAUUCCGUGAAGGUGAUGUCAUCAUCUAAAGAUUCUCGGAUCCUCUUGCCAUGAGUAACAUAUAUCAUUUUUAUCUUUGCUGCUGAAAACGUCACCCCAUUUACUUCGUCACCAUCGAAAAUCAUGUUUAUCAUCAUGCGAUAAGACCCCGUAGCUGGUUUUGCUAGCUCCCCAGCGUCUUUAUAUUUUUCCAUAAUUAUUUUUGGCCCGAUCACUUAGAAAUUCUCUGAGAUGACCAUUCUUUAACAAUGCUGCCACCUCUUCACGAAGGUGACGAUAGUCCCCAGUCCUGUGACCUUGUGUUACAUGGAUCUCACACCAUAAAUUAGGAUCUCUCUAACUAGAAACUAACCUUCUUAAUGUUUCUCAUAGUCGACACCUACUCUUCUAAACUGAUGUUAAAGUUGUAAUCGGAUAACCGAGGAUACGUUGAAUCUUGGGACCCUGAUGCUUCUUUCUCCUGUAAUGUUCUGCUACACUGACCAUGAUCCAUUCAUCUAUCGGAAGCUAACCUAUCCGAUGACUGAAAACUUCUAUUUCCUUACCCAUCAUCCCUCUCGUAAGGUUGAAAGAGACCUCUAGAAGAUCUCCGAUUUGCGUCAACAUCAACUUUAAACCUUUCCUGAUUCUGAUCACGAUUACAUCCUUUGGAAGAACCCGAGUAACUUAGUCGAUCAUCUUCUAUUCUAAUCUUUGACUCAUAGAGAUUGUGGACAUCUGCCCAUGUGGUUGCCUUAAAUUCUAACAAGUUUUCCUUCAGUUUCCUUGAGGCAUCGGAGUUCAAUGGGUUGAGACCCUUUGUAAAUGCUUCAGCUGCCCACUCAUCCAGUACUACCAGCAACAACAUCUUUUCCCUCUGAAAUCGAAUCACGAGCUCUCGCAAUAGUUUAGAUUCUCCUUGGGAUAUUCUGAAUAUACUGCCUUCUUUUCUUGGACCUUUCCUGCUCUAUCAUGAGCUUUAAUAAAAGAAUCUGUAAGCAUUUCAAAAGAAUCAAUGGAAUGCUCAGGGAAAAGAGAAUACCAAGUUAAAGUACCCUUCGUCAAGGUUUCGCCAAAUUUCUUCAACAAGACAGAUUUGAUCUCGUGUUGGGCCAAGUCAUUUCCUUUUACAUUCGUGGUGUAGGUUAUGAUAUUCUCCUGUGGAUCCAAAGUCCCAUCAUAUUUCAGAAUAUCCGGCAUCUUAAACCUUUUCGGAAUCAAAUCUGGAGCCGCACUUGGUUUGAAUGACAACUGCAUAUACUUCUUGGAAUCUGGUCCCUUUAGCACCGGUUGCGCUCCCGGGAUCUGUUCUAUUCGAGCAUGAAAUUCUUUAGCAUUUUGGUCCAUUCGCUCAUUCAUUUCCUUAAUGAAUCUCACGAGCUCAGUUUUGAAAGGGUCGUUAGCGUUGUUGUCAUUCCCGGAUCCACUACCGGUACCACCUGCCUCGUUAAAGCUGAACUCCUACCUUGGAGCAUCGUUACCGAUUCUUUGAACUGUUUGAUUUGCAGGGACGUUGGGAGGAAUCUAAACUCCUCCGUUAGAAUUAUUGGAAGCAGCCGAAAGCGCCUGCUUCAAUUCUAUCAUCACCUGGUCUUGUCUUGAGAGGUGAUUCAUAAUUUUUCUUUGUUGUUCUCUCAAGAUUUUGACCGGUUCAACAACGUGUUUAUCAUCCGCAUCAUCAGGAGUUGGACUUCUCACAUGACACGCAAAUUAACUUAAUCCAAAAAUAUGAAAUAAUUAAUAAUAGAGUCAAGAUUAUAAAAAUAACUUAAAAGAAAUACAAGCAUGGUUGUAUGAUGAGCCUCUCCGGAAGCAAUAAUAUGAACAAUAUUAAGAACAAAGGAAAGCGUAUAAUUUUAUAAUAUGAGAGCAAAUUAUAGCCUUUAACAAAUGAUUUUUCGUGUGCUACAAUGGAUACUAAUUCUCCUAUUUAUAGCUCUAUUUAGGGAGACAAGAUCCCCAAAUCAAGCUUCUAUUGAAUGAGAAUAAAACUACCAUUGAUGACUGCAUAACAGUUGGCUAUUAAUACAGAGAUUUUUUGUAACGGCUGCUCAUUGAAUGUUGUCUUUCUCAACCGAUGUAUUCCUUUCAAAUCUUUAUUAUCAGUUCCCAUGCCUUUGGAAUUUACACAUCACCGAGCUCAGGUUUGUAUCUGAUGUCAACUAUUUGCUGACUUAUACAUUACCUGUCUCCAGUUACACAUGUCACCUCGUAAUUCAUCCAGCUGUUGCUAAUCAAUUUUCUCCAUACAAGCAGUAGAACCGUAAAGCUUAGUCUUGAGUUGGAUUGCGGUCUCGCAAAGCUGGUAUCUUCAAACCGCCUGAGACUUUCCGGACUAUAGAUUAUAGUAGACUAUCACCCUAUCCAAAUUACAAUAUCAAGCUUGAUAUGAAAAAUUAUCUGCUAUUGUAAAUUAACUUAUUUUGAUAGUAUAGAAAAUCUAUAAGUUGUCAGUGUUGAGAAUUGUAACUCUAGACAGUUGAUGGCAUCGAUUCUAGGAAAGGAAAAAAAAACAACAAAAAACGAAUUUUACAUUAUCUAGUAGUAAGAUUCUUUGUAAUAAACUGGUGAUGGGGAAAGUUGCAUUGCACUUAUGAACUCAUCAUGAGGUGCACAAGGAGCGCCUGUCAAACAAAGAUUAUUCUUGUAUUCCAACAUCCUUAUCCUUUUCUACUUUUCAGAUACUCCAACUUAACCAAACUCCACUUCCAACCCCCCCCCCCCCCCACAGGGAAAUAAAUUCAUUAAAUCCCACUUUCCCUCCUAUGAGAAAGAAGGUUAUACUCUCUCCGUUUUAAAUUAUGUGCGAAGUUUGAUUGGAUUUAAAAUUUUAAAAAGUAAUUAUUUUAAAACAUGUAAGUACUUAUCUUAAACGAGAUUUAUGUGGCUAUAAAAGAUAUUAUUAUUAAGGAUAAAAUUAGAAAUUCAAAAUUAAAUGAGUAAAUGUGUCAUUCUUUUUAACAUGUACCACAUGAAAAUGGAGUAUACAAGAAAUUUUGGUGCUCGUAGUGCAUGAAUUGAGAAUCAUGAGAUCUCAAGUUUAGCAGAAACAAAAAUACUGCGUAAGUAUUUUUUCUUAUUUGUUCAAUUCUUGAUGGACAUAAUUACGUGAUAUCUAUUAUGAUGGAAGGUUGCACAUACCCCGUAAAUUUAACCAAAGUGCGUACACUCAAACCUUAUAAAAAAGUGAUACCCGUAAUAGUUUGCGGCAGAAUUCAGUAAUUAUCAUUUAACGUACGAAAAGAAUUGUAGUAAGGCAUGCUGCUGCUAGUCAUGUCGUAUAGUGCAUGAAAAUACACAAAGCAAAGGAAAGGAAAGAAAAGAAAGAAAGAAAGAUUACACUUUGUGUACAUACAAGCAUAUAAAAAGCUUGGAGAAAUUAAAGUAGCAGAAUCACUCCAACCUAUAAAGAAAAACCAACCACCCUUAGCCCAUGUGGUAAAACAACCAAAGCCAAACACAAACUCAAAUACUUCAGCUUUCACUACCCAUGCCUAAUUUCUUCAGUAUUUUUCACUUUCGUGUCUUGUCUUCUGAGGUAAAAACUCCAUAGUAAAACACAACUUCUGAUUGUUUUUCUUCUUACAUGAAACAGUGAGAGAUAUAUUAAAGGAGGAAAAGAGAUUAUAUAUAUGGACAGUAGUAGUAGAAUUAGGUUUUAUAAGGGCUUCUGGGGUUCACUUGUAGUGGUAGGAGUUGUUUGGUUAUUGCUAGUUGGAGUCUUAGAAAAUGGAAGAACAAAUAUGAAGAAGAACAAAGUGAUGCAAAAUAAGGUUCAUUCUCAUAUGGAUCUCAACUUCAAGAGUAUUAAAAGAAGAGUUCCUAAUGGUCCUGACCCUAUCCAUAACAGGUAUUGCAUUCUUUAAUUUCUUCCUCCCAAAUGUUCUUCAAUAGUUAUGUCCUCACCUCUCACAAUGAAAUGUAUAUAUAUAUAUAUAUAUAUAUAUAUAUAUAUAUAUAUAUAUAUAUAUAUAUAUAUAUAUAUAUAUAUUUAGGUUACAGACAAUAUUAUUGUAUUUUAACAUCGUAUAGCAUGUUAGUUACUACUUCUCCCAUUUUAUUUUAUCCGGUGAUAUUUAAUUGGGC